RNAcentral lists this long non-coding RNA (98797 nucleotides) under Citrus maxima (pomelo). RNAcentral's name for it is "long non-coding RNA (CMAX_LNC003448)". The record is from RNAcentral. Lineage: Eukaryota; Viridiplantae; Streptophyta; Magnoliopsida; Sapindales; Rutaceae.
UUUUGACGACGAAGAGAGAGCCUUCAACAUCCUUACGACUCCAUUGGCUGAGAUCGAUGUUGAACUCGUAGAAGGUGACAUGAGCGGCCGUGAUGAGGAUCUCCUCAAUGAAUGGAUCGAUUCGCUGAAGAACUGUCAGGUUUAGGAGUUUUGUGCUCUGCUGGUCCAGAUUAGGCAUCAAUUUUCCGUUCUGCGACAUUUUUCAUAGUCCUUUUGGGCUCUGCCCCGAGCACAAGCCCCAUGGUUUUUCUGUGAGCUCUCUCUUUUGUAAAUAAAGUGUUUCAUGAGAUAGUCGAGAGAGAGUGAAAGAGUUGAACAGCUAAACAAGGUGAGGUGAACACUUUCGGACUGAGACUCGAGAUUGAUCUUUGCUUUAACGUCUUUCAAACAUUUGGGAAAUAGCAUUUAUUUCUUUCACAGGGAUUUGUCUGUGGUAUACCCCAAAAAAAGGGUAUUUAUCUAAAAAUACCUCCAUACUCAAAAAUUUCUCGUAUAUGCCUUUUCUAAUAUGCAGUUACGAAAUUACCCUAAUGAAAAACCUAAAUCAACUAAACUACCACAAUCAAUCGUGUAACAAAAUCCCUAAUUUUUUCUCAUGAGCAGCUUCUUCUUCAGCCCGUUCUUCUGGGUUUCUCCUCCUCCAUUUUACAAAUCCCUAUUAUUUUACAACAAUUCUUCUACACACUCUCGCCUCUCUGCAAAUCAGUAGCUGCAAUUCCCCCACUCUGCUUCAGCAUCUCCUCUUCCAGGUACUUUUAGAAAGUCAAAUUUUUUGUUUUAAUGUAAAAUAAAAUUUGAAAGUUUCAAAGCUCAAGUUAUUGAUUUUUCUGAAAAAAAUCAUUUGCAGCUGGUAUUGAAAUGUGUGCAAAGUCUUGUGCCAAAAGCUUAAUUUUCAUUUCUCGCAAAAGUCAGAUGACAAGACUUCACUUGAUUAGGCUUAUGCUUGUCUUUUACCUUGCAUUAAUUUUCAUCUCUUGUAAAAGUCAGAUAAUAAGGCUUCACUCGAUUAGACUAAUAAUUGAUUUAACAUAUUCAUUUUCUGAUUAAUUGUCAUCCAAUUUGCACGCACAUCGGAUAGAAUUCAUCCAAAAAAAUGGCUCGUAAGGUACGGGAGUCCAAAUACUUAUAAACCUACACACCAAGCCUUAGCUUAGCAAUAUGACACUCAAUUAUAGUUCAUAACCGAUAUGCAUGGUGGCCAUAUAUGGGGCUGAGUGACUUCACAGAUUUCAUACAAGGUGAAUAGCAGGUCUUCUUCUCAACUUACUUCGUCUGUGAAGAGAGAUUUCAUCAAAAAAUUGGUAAAACUCAUUCAAAAGACCGACUUAUGAUGUUAGAAAGACCAAAUACCCUAUAAAAUGCUUAAUAAAGUGGUCGCACAAUUAUUCUUGUGUACACAGUACCAAUGCAAUAGAAAAUAGGGUAAACAUUAAUGUCUCUAGCUACUCAGUCCAAUAGACAGUAUAAUCUAAAGAUGUCGUGUUGUUGUAUUGUUACACUGGUGAGACAAUUGCUGCAUGUUGCAGACAUGAUACCUCUAGUACUUCAAAAGAUAGCAUAUCACGAAACACAUCCAGACUGUAGUGAGGUUAUUUCGAAAAUUCCUUGGCCCAUUGUGUGAGUGCGUGACAUCCCGCAACAAAAAUCAGGGUAUGUACUAUAUAUAUAAUGUGUUUUGAACAUAAUAAUAAAAAUGAUGAUUUUUAACAAUUGAUUUAUAUGAAUAUUUUUAGUGGUGACUGUGGAGCAUUUUUGUUGCGGUACUUGGAGGUCCUAGCCCAUGGACUUGAUGUCAAUUCAUACUGCCAACAAGAUCAUGUUACACAAUUUCGACAAGCCUUGGCUGUAAAAUUAUUUGGGCAUAGGUCAUGGAAAAAAACUCCGUAGUGUCAUUUUUUGGAUUAUGAGAUGUAAUAGUUGUAAUGAGGAUGUUGUUGAUAUUUGAUGUCAUUAAAGACAAUUGACAGCAUUAAUAUAUUUUAUUUCUUUGUUAUUUAUAUUAAUGAUAGAUAAGAUAGUUUGCACAAUAUAUGCACAGGGAAUACACUGUAAGAGAAUACACGACUGCAGUCGGGUAUUUGCACAGAUACACGACUGCGGUCGGGUAUUUGGAAAUAAACAUAAUACGCUCUGUGUAAAAUACUCGACUGCAGUCGGGUAUUUGGAAAUAAACAUAAUACGCUCUGUGUAAAAUACUCGACUGCAGUCGGGUAUUUGCACAGAUACACGACUGCGGUCGGGUAUUUGGAAAUAAACAUAAUACGCUCUGUGUAAAAUACUCGACUGCAGUCGGGUAUUUGCACAGAUACACGACUGCGGUCGGGUAUUUGAAAAUAAACAUAAUAAGCUGUAACAAAAUACUCGACUGCGGUCGGGUAUUUGCAAAUAAACAUAAUAAGCUCUGUGACAAAAUACUCGACUGCAGUUGUGUAUUUGCACAAAUACACGACUGUAGUCGGGUAUUUACAAAUAAAAAUGACAAGCUCUCUGUGAAAAAAUACUCGACUGCAGUCGAGUAUUUGCACAGAUACGCGACUAUAGUUGAGUAUUUAGAAAUAAAUAUGACAAGCUCUCUGUGACAGUCGGGUAUUUACACAGAUACACGACUGUAGUCGAGUAUUUAGAAAUAAACAUGACCAGUUUUGUAACAGUCAAAAUACACUAUUGUACUGGGGUAUGUGCACAGAAUAAAAACUCUUUUCAAUCAUUCAUUAUAUUGAUGACACAAUCAAUAUAGAUUUUAAACAUAUCAAACUUCAAAUAAAUGAAACUAACUAUAGUCUGGUUGCCUAUCAAAUAACACAAAUCCAAUAGUUAUUGAAAUCGUAAAUAAGUCGUAAUACAAUAGAAGUUGUUUAACAUUCAUCAUAAAUUUUUGGCAUAUUCAACCCAAACACUCGGUCCAUAUUUUAUAAGCCUCUGGUCGCCUCCCUUCAAUACUUGUUCUUAGAAAGUCACACAAACAUGUUUAUUCAUCUGCGAAACAAAAAGGUAGAAAUUUAUCACUAAAUAUGAAAGAUAUUAAAAAAAUUAAAACAACAAAAAAUAACAAGUAUAUAAGGUUCAUAGUAGUCGUGUAACUUAUUAACAAUUAUAGUAUGUAAGUUUAUACGUACACGCUAGUAGUCGUGUAACUUAUUAACACACAUGACUAUAGUCUAGUAAUAGUAAAAGGAUAUAUAUAGUGAAAAAUAUAUAUUUUUUGAACCAAUAGAAUAAUAAGGUGUCAUAAUAAUUGAAUUUUUUUGCACAUUUUCACGACUACAGUCGUGUAAAUACAUACAUACACGACUGAUGUCGUGUAUGUCGGGUGCAGAAAAAAAAUUUGACAACAACUUCAGAUUUUAACGAAUGUAGUUAUAAAAUCCAUCAAAUAACAGUCAUAUGAUGCAAAUGUAAUAAAAAUAUGAGUUGCUUUAGUGUUUAUCACAAACCAAACAAAACCCUAAAAAUAAUAUAAUGUCAACAAAUUGAAUAGAUAGCCCAAAAUAAAAUAAAAAAAGUUUCAAAUACCUUAUUCAUGGGAUGAAUAAUACACCCAGCUGCAAACAAACUCAGUGCAUUAGCUGUUUGUGAGUGAUUUUGAGUGUGGUGUGAGUUUUUGUAUAGGUGAUAAAUACGUGAGAAGCAAAGAGUGUUGUGAGUUGUGUGUGUGUUUUAUAUUUUUCUUUAGGGAUAUUUUAGACAAUGUACCACAUAAAAAGGCAUACUUAAAUAAUUUUCAAACAUGAGGUAUAUUUAACUAAAUACACUACUUUUAAGGCAUAUUUAAUUAAAAACCCCUUUCUUUCAAUUUCUCUACUUUUUUUUGUUUUCCUUUAUGUCAUUUAGACCCCAAAAUUAGAUUUAUUAUAAUCAUAUUUUACCCAUUCACUAUUAACCCCUUUUAUUUUUAAAAUUGUCAAUAUUAAUGUAUUAGAAUAAUGUUAGAAAUCCCAAUUAUUAUCUCAAUGUUUAAAUCAUAACUAAUAUGAUAACUCAUCGGUUACUGCAACAUUAACUUAAUUAUUAAUGUUUAUCAUGAAAUGAUGAGAUUAUUAGUCAAGAAAGAAUUAGAAAAUAUCAAUGACUAAUACAAUGUGGCAAUUACAGUUGAAUAUUAAUACAAUAAUUAGGAUCCCAAAAGCUAGUGAAUGUAUUAUAAUAUAUGUGUGUUACACCACUUUAUGUCUCUCAAAUUCAAAUAAGUAAUUUCAUAAACCUGAUCUUUUAUUACAUUAAUUAGGAAUGCAUACAUGAACGAAAGAUGUGCAAUUUUUGUUCUAUUUUUCACUAUUAUUUACCAUUCAUCUGCUUACGUCACUUGAUUUUUUGCGAUUAAUAUGCUUAAAUGGAUCUCUUAGAUAUAAAUAAAAUAAACGAAAAGUCUUAAGAGAAAAAAAAAUGAGGACCGAAAUUAUUACACCUACGACAAAUUUGCCCGGAGAGCAAUAAACCAAACUUGCUUAGGAAAUACAAUGAUUAGUUAACAACUAAAAGAGCCUUCACCUUACAACUUAAAGCUUCUGUCAAGCAAACACCCAUUGAAAGCUGUUUAGGUCCGUUUUUAGAUCAUCGGAAAUUUGACAAAAUCAUAAAAACCCUCAUCUUAGAAAUUCCAAGCAUCAGGCAGUAGAUCAGGCAGUAGUCCGACUUUAUUGAUAUUGAGAGUAACACAAUAAAAGUUUCGUACAGAUUUUGCAAACGAAAAGCACAUAAUACACUUAACUAGGAGGAAAAAUUAAAGUGUACAUAUUACAAUCUGCUAACAAUAUACAAUAGUAUAUUGUAUAUACAAUAGUAUAUAUACAAAUUAACUAGGCACCAAUAAGAGUAUGAUACAACCAUUCUAAAUGAAAGAGAAUACAAUUGUUUUACAACUAUGUCACAUCAGGAGAUAUGUUAGCAGGAUUAAUCCAGAUACCUUCGAACCCAAUUAACGAACUCGAGUCAGAAACCAGGGGCCCCUAACUGAACCUUACAAUCUUGAAGGAAGAAGGAGACUUGUGGUCCAGAUAGGAGACUUACUAGAUCUCCUGCAAAAGAGAAUAUCUAUUGCUUUGAACCUCCAUUGAAAUUUCUUUUUCCCUUUUUCUUGUUUUGACUUGGAACUUUCCAGCAUCAUCUAUUUGAUCUUUUUUGAAGGUAAAAUAGCAAUCUAUAGGUUGCCAACAUGUUAUUCUGCCAAACCCCACCCCACCCCCCCGGGGGACAACAAAUCGACCUAGCACACACCUUUCUUCAUUGCCCACACCUACAGAACUAUAAUAAAAAGACUACGUUACUAUUGGGGUAGAGAAAAUAUACAGACUGUAUUAUUAUUACAUCGCAUUUUACUAAUUAACUAGUGCAAGACUUCUUUAGUGUCAAAUCAAGAACUAAUUAGAAAAGACAACUCAUGAUAAUACAGACCUUAAUAAGCAAUUGCUAACAACAUCCCAUAUACUCCUAUUUUAGCCUUCAUUAUCCUGGUAAAAACACAAAUAAGUCUUGCAAACGAACAUUAUAAGUAAAUUCAACAUUAAUUAAGAUUAGGUAUCUACUGCACCUAAUAGCAUGGUCAACCAUCUAGUUCCUGUAGCCUUCCAUGUACCUAUGUUAGUUACAUUUUACAUAUUAAGCCACGAAAACGAAGAAUCACAGCCUGGUAAAGAAAGACAUUAAUUAAUAGUUUUUGUUUAAAAAGUUCUCGUUUAGAUCUUUCCUAGUCAAUGAAUCAAUGUAAUUUAAAGAGAACUCUUCUAUUUCAAACAGUGUUAGAAGAUAUUUGCAAAGCCUAAAGAUAAUAUACAAGGACCAAGAUAUACACAGAUUGUUUCUUUAUGGGACUAAAGAGCUUUUUUAGAUGUUAAAACUGUUUCAAACUGUUUUUCUGGUUUGGUUUAACUAAGGAAGAGCUUGUGGAAGAUUAAAAAUGAUGUUUCCUGUUCUCUGUAGGAAGCUUUUAGGAGAUUUUUUGGGCUUUUUUGAAAGGUUGAAUUGUCAAAAAUACCUUCAUGUUAUUGUUUGCUAAAAGAUGUUAUGGACAACUAAACAACCAACAAUAUUUUGUUAAAAGCUCUACUAGUGUAGGAUCUACUUAAAGAAGCUAUACCAAACAGACUCUUAGACUGAAUAACUCGAUCUUAAGUUUGUAAAAUUGGGCUCAGAAUCUCCACUAACAACCCCGCUUCGGUGAGAAAGCCCAAGCCUGUUACUUUGUAUAACCUUAUUCUGUAUGUUUGAUUGCAGGAACUGGCCAAUCAUACCGACGAGGUGAGUGUGCAGCAUGACGUGCUUGACGGGAUGGUUACUUUCUAUGAUACAACUAAAGCUAGCCUCAACAUAUAUCAGGUGCCUGCUUGUUUUUACCUUAUAGAUACUAAUAUUGUUUAGACGUGUAAUCUCUCUCUCCAUUGAACGCUAGACGGCUCGUCUCAAGCCUUCUACGUACUUCAGAGUCCUUCAUUAGCUUUUUAUGUAUAAAGUUUUGAUCUUUUUCCUUCAUUUGCUUGAAGCUCAUUACUGCAGAUUUGUUUUACAGGUUGGUAGUGUAACAUUCGACUUGCUGUUGCUUCUAGUGUUGGGAUCGUAUUUAAUUGUGCUUUUCAGCUUUCUUGUCAUAACAACUUGGGUAUUACUCUUUCUCCAUAUCAAGCUUGAAGUUCUAAAUUUCAGUUUUAUCUUGUAUUUGAUUUUUUAUAAUUUCAUUGCAAACAGAUUAGAAUAGAAACUUCAAAAGUUCCAAGGUUUCCAACAGGGUCUUGAUGAUCUAAUCAGUUUGUUUCGAAGACCCCAUCCCGUAAGGUAAAAAAAGCUUGAUGCGGAAGCACGAUGCUGCACCUGUCCUGUGUAACUUUUUCAGGGAAGAUUUUCUCUGAUAACCGAGGUGGAAGUCUCCCAGGAGAAGUUGGCAAAUGAUAACUACGAAUGUGUUAUGGUUUAGCUCAGUGACACAAAGGACAUUUUUCAACAAUUGAUCCUAGGAAGAUGCCUAUAGCUUGUUGUGCCAAACAUAGAAAAUCAAAGAUGCGAAAAAAUUUUGUUGAGAUUCAUUUUAGUUAAAAUUGUUUUAUUGAGUGUUUAGCAAACGAGAAAAUGGAAGAAAGUUGAGAGAAUAAAACUGAAGCUAAGAGGAUUCUAGAACAUCUUUCAAUUUGUUCCGAAUACUCAAAAUGUGAAUACAUUGUUGUUUAUGUACACAGCUGAAGAUAACAGCUCAAUUGUAUAACUAACUACUACUUAGCAAUUUACUAACUGUAACUAAUCAAACUAAAUCUUCACGUGCACUGGUAAUCACAUAACCACUAGGUGCCAGCUGGACAGCCAAGUCAUCAACCUUUAACCGUGUGCCAUAGCUGCUGCAAUCCUCUGCUUUAUCUUCUGUUUUGCAUACUGUACAGCAAGCAUGAUGAGCUUCCUUAACAAUUUUUUUUGGGGCAGAGAAUAAUGCUUAUGUGAUUUCUGAACUUGGGGAUUAUGGCGGAUAGAGGCACUAAGGCAAGAGAAAUGUCUGAAUUAUCGAAACAAGAUGAAUUAUUUUUUGUUUAUCGCAGCAGACGAUCUAUGAGCGGAAUUUCUUACAACAAAAGAUGUGUGUCCACCGGCUUGUAUUUAGUCUCGUAAUGCAUUAUAUAUAUGCACGCACACACAGUUUGAGAAGAAUCAGACCAUUGAUUUUCUUUUGAGCCAAUCAACAGAAUGUACAUUUCUUCUAAGAUCUUGUAACCGAAACCGCAGUUUUUCAAGUUUGAUGCAUCUGGGAAAAUUGUCAGAUGGAAUAAAACCACCAUGCGCCAAGGUACCAAUGAUGUUUCUUCCAGCUUAUGAGCACUUCAAAUCAACUUAGGUCAUAUUUACACAAGGGCGCACAUGAUAUCAAUCUAAUGGCAAUUAUAUCAUCUAAAAUCCAAAACCAAGAGUCUCCCAUUUUCCCGUUCUCUACUCUGUUCAUAUUAUCAUAACUUCGAAGAUUGCAAGGCAGCCGCAGAUCCAGCGCAAUCUCUCAGAUCUUUGCUCCUUCCUCAUUGCAGUUAGUCAAAAGAUAAACAGAGGUGUCCCAUGUCAACAAGAAGGUAAUCAUAAAAGAACAACAGAAUUGUAAAACAUAUUUUGUUAUAGAUGAAAUGAUAUGAGCAUCCAUGUAUCUAUCCAGCAUUUAGGACACCGCAAUAUAUUCAUAUGAAACGUAAAACGAUUUAAUAUCAAUUUUCUUAAGGAGACUGAGCAGGUUGUCUCGCAAGUGGCGCAUUAGUAUUGUAACGUCUGUGGGGUCUUACAUUAUCCACAAAAAUAACUCGUCCAUCUAGUAAAUUAGAGAAAAAUGAUGCAAUUUCACCUUCCCACUCAUGUCUGCCAAGGCUUUUUGGGCUUCCUCUUCUGUACGGAAAGUCACAUACCCGUAACCUUUUGAUCUGUUCUUACCUUUAUCCAUUAUUAUGGUAGCUGCAAAAAGAAAAGAAUCGGAUAUUAGAAAACAGUGAAGAGGGAACAGGGGUUGAGACUUAAAAUAGAAAUAGACCAAACCCUCAGUGACUUGGCCAAAUUGUGAAAAAGCAUCAGCUAACAUUCCUUUAGUGGUUGAGAAAGAUACGCCUGCAAAGGAUGCCAGUUAAUUUUAUCAUAAUUAGAUGGUAAGAUUGCAAAUUCUGCAGCCAAAGGCAGUACGCAACUGAAUGAAGGAAAUCAAAUAUGAACAUGUUUUCAAUCUCAAAAUAUGAAGAGUAGCAGAAGUAACUUGUGAAACAGUUAUAAGUUCAAGGGAAUUAGAUGAUGGCAUGGUUGAAUUUUAUAAAUAUUUGAUAUUUUGGACCGAACAGGGCAAACAGAUGGAUCCAGAUAAUUAAGAAAAACAUCAAUUCCAUGCAACCAAAUUAGUGUGGACAAUGCAAUUGCCUUUCCCUAUGAGAGUAGAGGGCCUAAAUACAAGCAAAAACCUACUGAUGCAUCUACAGAAGCUCACAUUCACUAGCUGCAUGAUUAAAUCACUGGAUGGUCUCACUAUGCAGUAAAGAAUGAAAUAAUUAACGACCUGAUAAGCUGCAAGGUGAAGAAAAUAUUCACCAGAAAAGUUCAAAAUCAAAUCAACGUGGCUUUGAUUAUGGAAAAAAUGAAACAAUAUGUAGUGAAUGAAUCUUCUCGUAACUAUGCAAGACACAAUCACUUCCCAGGAUCUCAGAUAUAGAUUUACCAAGUUGCACAGAUUGAAGAACGAAUCCAGAAAGAAUCAAUUUAAGACAAGAAUUAAGAGAACUGAAAACAAUAGAAACAAACACAGACAACACAAGAAUCAAUUACGUGGUUCGGUUGCACCAAGGAGGCACAACCUACAUCCACGGGAGAUGCUUUCUGGAGAGCUUUUAUUGAAUAACAAUGGAGGAUCUUUUACGGGGCUUUUACUUAAGAUUACAGAGAACUCAUCUUUCACAUUCUCUGAUAUCUCUCUCUCUCUUAACACGGUUACACACCCGCUCAGCUCACAAACUGAACUACAAGAGCAACGAAUCAGCUAAAUCCAGAUUGCACAGCUUGUUGACACGUUGAGUAACAAACUUAACGAACUGAAUCAAGUUGCCUCGCACGGCUAUCACGUGCAUCACUUAAAGCUUUCCCUUAAACGACAAAGAUGAACUGCCGUUUCAAGCUUAAGAAACAAGUGAUUACACACGUGCUUCAGCCCGUGACUUUUAAGUGCUCUUAUCUUAUAUUGCCAAAACGCUGCCGUUUAGAGCUGAUGAGUUUGAUUCACCAGCAAGCCUCACACAAUAUCAGUUGAGCAACACUAUAAAAUUAUUCAAAGAAAUCUCUAGGUCAGUAUCCAAAUAUGUGGCUCCGUCAGAAGCAGAAAAGUUCAAAACCAAAGUAAGAGGUGAGCAGAAGCGGCCCAGUUUAGUUAUAUGCCAUGCAUGCGAUCAAAAUUGAAUGGUUAAAUUCAGUUGUUUCCAAUAAUUUUAUGUUGUAUCUUUUUUAAGAAUAAAGAAAACUUGCAUUAAAACUAAAAGUAGGGUAAUACCUGAUUUUCUAAAUAGAUUGCAAUGUAAUUUUGAAAAAUAAAACAAUAAUUUACGAAAUGGUUAUAACAUUAUUUUAAUUUUUUUUUCAAAAAGGAAAAACAACAAAAAUAAGAAAUAAAGAAUGAGGGCUACAAACUUUUUAUCUUAAACGGCCGUUAGAUUAUUUGUAAAUGAAAGCAACGGUCAGAUAUUGGUGGCUUAUGGAAACAGGUAAUCAUAAGGACUACGAGUUUUUUUUUUUUUUUUUUGUUCCAUUGAUAUAUAACAAUCGGGAUUCUAUUAAUAUUUACAAUUAGAAUUUUAUCUAACUAUCUUUGAUAAUUCUAAACUAGUACAACCCAAAUUCCUAUUCUCAUAUAAUAUGAAAGAGAGAUAUAUAUUCUUUUCCUCUAUUAACGAAGAGACAUUUUUACUUCUAUCCAAUUUAACUGGAACGAGAAUUAAAUCCUUUCAAUAGUCAGGACUCAGACCUCAUACACGCUAAUUUGAGAGUGUGAGGUGUGACAAUGGGCCAAGAGACCAUUGACAAGUACAAAAGAGUGAUUGCAAUUAAUUCAAACCGCUACACACGCUAAAUUAAGGGUCCAUUUUUGUUUAUUUCAUUGCAAAGUAGUUUGCACAAUUAAUUCAAACCGCUACACACACUAUUGCAUCUUUUGAAAAAGAAAAAUGGAAUAGUUUGAAUUGCCCAUGACAAGAAUGCUUGUGUUGUGAAAAGAAAUCCAAUGGUUUGUAAAUGGGUUGAAUUUUUCGCUUACUUCAAUGACUUGCUUAUGCCCAAUAUAUUACUUUGCACAGUAGUAUUUGGGAUCCUAACAAUCAACUCUUAAUUUGGUCCCAAUAUAUUACUUUAUGAAUGCUUGUGCUGUUUUUUUAAUAUAAAAUAAUUUAUUUAACUAAUCAUAGAAAUAAGAGAGAAAAGGGGGCAUUUGUUGACUCAAAGUCAAUUACAAAUAUUCCAUGCCUAACUUCCACGCACCCUAAAACGGUUUGAUUUGCUUUCAUGCGUUCAUGAAUUUCCAUGAAAGAGAGUGCCUCCCGUCUCUUUACGGACAGUGACUCCAAUUAUGUUAGCGUGACAAAUACAUAACGUUAUUACAUACAAGAAUAAGUUUUUGGAGCCGAGACUUGAGGGAGGUUCUAUCUAAUUCUAAAGAUUGUAACCAAAUCAUUAUCCCCAAUUUUUUUCAGUUAAAUAAAAUAAAAUUUAUGCUUAAAUAUAAAUAAUACUUUGGACAUUCUUGAUAUUUGUCCUUUUAAGAUAAACAGCAACCCAAUUAUCUAUUUGUUUGUCUUUUUUUUUUAGUAACAGUUUGUUAGCAUAAAUAUUUACCUGUGAAGUCGAGGAGGAGAAAAUAUUAGAAAAAUAAAAAGAAAAAAAAAUUAAGGGAGAUAGAAUCAGAUUUUCUUUUUUGAGCAAAGAACAUACGUAAAAAGAUAUUAAAUCUAUUAAGUCUAAUUGUCUAUAACAGUAAAUUGCAUAACGAAUAAUUUAUCAGCGUAAAAUAAAUUUUAUUAUGUUAUGAGUGUUCUGAUUAUUUUCUAGAGUACGAAUUGUCCCAUCGUAAAACAAACGACGAGAAAUAUAACCUUUGCGGUGGUCUUUUACCGUGUCGUUGUAAAAAGGUUAGUAGUUGAGUACUAUUAGUAAUUUAAUGCACCAAUAUUCUUUCUUUGUCUUAUGAAAUUUUUUCGUUAUCCAAGAGUUUUAAUUGAAAUACUUGGCUUCCAGUUAUUUUGUAAAGCUGUUGAAAACUACCACAGUAAUUUUUAUUUGAGGGCCAAUGUUUAGCGAUUUGGGGUCAAUUCAAAGUCAACUAACGUGUAAAACAUGAUUUCCUUUCAUGAACUUCCAAGAAAGAAAGGAGACCAUUCACCUUCUUCGUGACAACAAAUGAUGUUGAUAUGACAAAUACAAACGCUAUUACAGUAUAAGACCGAGACUUGAUAAAUUGUUAAAUUACAUGUCAUUUUCUUGUUGACUAAAUUGGAAGAAAAAAAUUAAAAUAAAAUAAAAUUGUAAUCAGGGUGAUGUGUGGAAUAUAUUGAAAUAAAUAAAUGGAGAAGAGAAAUUCGUUGAUCAAUAUUCAAGAACUCAUCCAAAGUGACCGUUAAAGUCUGGAGGUUCCGUAUGAUUAGCAUUUAUUUUUAAUUUUUUGGCUUAACAUCAUAUGUAGUCAUUGGUCGUGUGAUCUAGGACAGGUUUAGAAAUCUUUUUUUUUAACUUCCGUAUUCUUAUUAUUUAAUUAGUUAUAGGAUUUUUUAGUAUUUGAGUAGUGAUCGCAUGUCUCCUAAUCUAAAAAUAUGUUUCUACGAGUACAAAUAAAAACUAAGAUUUUAACAACCUUUUAUACUAAACCCUAAAAAUACAUGAAUUUAUCAAAAUAAAUAAAUUUGAAUUGGUAUGCCAUAAUAAAAAUUUUACUUGCCAAAACAAAUUAAAAAAAUGUGACGCUUAAAUCAAAUGUUGACAAAAAUAGACAAAAAUCCAACAAGAAUCUCAAAAAUAAGAAAGAUAUCUUCAAACAAAAAUAAAAGCGCUCAAGAGAAAUUUGGCGACGAUCUGCUAAUCCAUAUUAAAAAUGUCACUUUGACUCACACUCUUUUCCUCGAGAACUUCAGAAUGAUAUAUUAUGAGCCUAAGACAAAUAGCUAUUGCUCAAGUUAUGGCCUUAUGAAUACAUCUUACUCAAUGGCCAUCCUAAAUCAAUAGAGCAACUUGGACGUGUCGAACAUGUUUGCAUUCAAAUUUAGGUAAAAAUCUAUUCUUAUUGAAGGUAUAUAUAGGUGCCUGUGAAGUCUCAUACCGGAUAUAAUGUGAAAGCAAAUCAUGAAUUUAAUCAUUCAGCCAAUUAUUAGUGUGUACGUAUGGUAGGGAUGGCAAAAACCCCGACCGUAGGUAUAGUAUUACCCAGAUUUGGCCUAAUCAUUUUUUUUUAACACCUAGACUUUUUCAAUCAGAGCUUAAAAACCUAUAAUAUUAUAUAUAUUUUUAAUUUAUUUUAUAAUUUUAUAUUUUCAAAUUUUAUUUUAAUAAAAUUAGACUUGAAAAUAUGAAUUUUAAAUAUUUAAAACUUUAAAUAUAGAUAAUAAGUGGACCAAAUGAACAAAAUAAUAGAUAUUUUAUAAUAUUCUUCAUAAAAAUCCAAGUUUUGAGCUGGCCCAUAAGCUUGUGUGGUGAAGUCUGGGAACCCGCGUUGCCCAAGGUUCCGUCAGAAUCCAGGCUGUGCAGAUAUUUAUGACAUCCCAUAUGGACGGAGAGGAAAUAUUUUCAGUUGACUGAAUUAAAUAAAAAUAUAUUACAAUCAUAUUAUAUAUUAACAGAAAAAAUAAAAAGAAAUGAAGAAAAACGUAUGCAAGACUUAGAGAAGUCAAUUAAAAGCUGGGAGUAUCAUCAGUUCAAUUGGUUAUAAAUAGCGUAGAGCCAUCCUCUCGUUGUUGCAGAACUGAAGGAAAGAGAGACAUAAAGAGUGUGUGUAGGUGAUUAUAAUUAAGAAGAUAUAAUGUGUGGUUCAAAAAGAGUGUGGGUGAGUGAGUUGAUUUUCAUAUUAUUAGUAGUAAAAGGGUGGUGGAGUGAAGGAUGUUUGGAGCAAGAGAGGUCUGCUCUCCUCCAACUCAAACAUUUCUUCAAUGGUGAUCAACGUCUUCAAAACUGGGUAGACGCAGGAGAUGAUGAGAAUUAUUCAGAUUGUUGUCAGUGGGAAGGGGUUGAGUGUAAUAACACCACUGGCAGAGUGAUUGAAUUACAUCUAGGAUAUACUCGGAAUUGGGAAUCAGCAGAGUGGUAUAUGAAUGCCUCUCUCUUUACUUCCUUUCAACAAUUAGAGUCUCUUGAUCUAAGUUGGAACAAUAUAGCUGGUUGUGUUGAAAAUGAAGGUCCUUAAUUUACUCUAUUUUAGUUCUUCCUCGUAAUUUCUUACAUUUAUCUGAUCCCUUUGGGCUUUUGUUUAAUUUGUACAUGAUACAAUAACAUUUUUUUUAGUUUUUAUUUUUUAUUUUUUGGCAGGUCUAGAGAGGCUAUCAAGGUUGAACAACUUGAAGUUUCUUUAUUUAGACGAUAACCACUUCAACAACAGCAUCUUUUCAUCUCUAGGUGGUCUUUCAUCACUCAGACGCUUAUCAUUGGUUGAUAAUAGAUUGAAUGGAAGUAUUGAUAUUAAAGGUAAGCAAGCUUCAUCCCUUCUCCCGUGUCCCAUCUUUUGUGGAUCUUAUUUCAUUGACCGGCUGGAAGUAUUGAUAUAAGAUCUGGCUAAACUCUUGCUAGUUUAAGCUUCAAGGAUUUAAAUAUUAUAAAAAUAGGUUUAAGAAAUUAUCAAUAUAUGCAAUUUUCAAUGCUUCUCAUAAUCAGACACAAUUCAAUCUAAUUAUUUUGUAUGUCCUGUCUUCAAAAGUAAAGAAUUGUACACUAAAUGGAAAUCGACAUCGUAGCUUUUUAUUUUUUCUAAUGCUCUUUUUUCGUUAACAAGUUUAUAUCCUAAGAGGGAUUGGAUUAAAAAAAAAAAAAAGUUUUGAUGUUCAAGGUAGGCCAUAAUAACCUGCAUGUUAUUUGUCUGCCUGUAUCUAAAUUUGUGCACUGAAUUUAGUAUUUUGGUUAUUGUGAAGGGAUCAGAUAUUGGCUUCCAUAGACCAACUUGUAUUUAGUUAAUUAAUUAAUUAACUACAUUUAGUAUUUAACAAAUUAAAAUUUAGUGUUUAAUCUAUUUUAAUUUUUUUAAGAAAAAAGAAAAAGAUAUAGCAGUAGGUAAAGCUAAAAUAAAUUUUAAUUCCUUACAAAUUUAAAUUCAUGGUUGUCAGCUAAAUAUACUUGCUUAAAGCCACUUAGUCGAGCCCUUUGAGAGCUGCUUUAAAUUUUUCGGAUUAGCCAUAUUCUUUUCUUAUUAAUAAAAAUCUUUUCGUUGAGAUUUAACAUAAAAAAGGAGAAAAUAAGUUAUUUAAUUAACUCUGUUUUAAGUGUUGGAAUAAAUACAGGACUGGAUUCCUUGAGUAACUUGGAGGAGAUGGACAUGAGCGACAAUGCAAUCGAAAAUCUAGUGGUUCCUAAAGGUAUACAAAAUGUUCAAAUAUUAAUAAUUUGGAGGACAAUUUAAUUGAUUUGAUUAGGGAAUGCCCAAUGACACUUACCCAAAAUAAUUUAAUCCGAAAUUGUAUCUCAAAUAGAUUACAGAGGUUUGAGGAAGUUGAAUACCUUUUAUUUGGAAGCAAGGUGUUGCAAUCAAUAAAGAAAUUCGUUGGUAAAUAUUCAAGGACUCAUCCAAAGUGAUCAUUAAAGUCUAGAGGUUUGCUCUCCUCCAAUUCAAACAUUUCUUCAAUGAUGAUCAACGUCUUCAAAACUGGGUAGACGCGGGAGAUGAUGAGAAUUAUUCAGAUUGUUUUCAGUGGGAAGGGGUUGAGUGCAACAACACCACUGGCAGAGUGAUUAAAUUAUAUCUAGGAUAUGCUCGGAAUUGGGAAUCAGCAGAGUGGCAUAUGAAUGCUUCUCUGUUUACUCCCUUUCAACAAUUAGAGUCUCUUCAUCUAAUUGGGAACAAUAUAGCCGAUUGUGUUGAAAAUGAAGGUCCUUAAUUUACUCUAUUUUAAUUCUUCCUCAUAAUUUCUUACAUUAAUCUGAUCCCUUUUGGCUUUUGUUUAAUUUGUAGGUGAUACAAUAAAAUUAUUUUUUAUUUUUUGUCAGGUCUAGAGAGGUUAUCAAAGUUGAACAACUUGAAGUUUCUUCGUUUAGAAUCUAACUACUUCAACAACAACAUCUUCUCAUCUCUAGGCGGUCUUUCAUCACUCAGAAACUUAUCAUUGGCUAGUAAUAAAUUGAAUGGAAGUAUUGAUAUUAAAGGUAAGCAAGCUUCAUCCCUUCUCCCAUGUCCCAUCUUUGUGGAUCUUAUUUCAUCGACCAGCUGGAAGUAUUGAUACGAGAUCUAGCUAGACUCUUGCUAGUUUAGGCUUCAAGGCUUUGAAUAUUAUAAAAAUAGGAUUAAGAAAUCAUCAAUAUAUGCAAUUUUCAAUGCUUCUCAUAAUCAGACAGAAUUCAAUCUAAUUAUUUUGUAUGUCCUGUCUUCAAAGGUAAAGAAUUGUACACUAAAUGGAAAUCGACAUUGUAGCUUUUUAUUUUUUUCUAAUGCUCUUUCUUCGUUAACGAGUUUAUAUCCUACGAGGGAUUGGAUUAAAAAAAAAAAAAGUUUUGAUGUUCAAGGUAAGCCAAAAUAACAUGCAUCUUAUUUAUCUGCCAAUAUCUAAAUUUGUGCAUUGAAUUUAGUAUUUUGUUUAGUGUGAAGAGAUCAUUUAUUGGCUUCCAAAAACCAACUUGUAUUUACUUAAUUAAUUAAUUAAUUAACACCAUUUAGUAUUUAACAAAUUAAAAUUUCGUGUUUAAUUUGUUUAAUUUUUUAUUUUUUGAAACAAGAAUAAGGUAUAGAAGUAGGUAAAGUUGAAAUAAAUUUUUAUUCCUUACAAAUUUAAAUUCGCCAUUGUCAGCCAAAUAUACCUACUUAAAACCACUCAAUCAGGCCCUUGGCAUCUGUUUUUUAGGUUUUUCUAAUUAGCCGUAUACUUUUUUGCUUAUUAAUAAAAUUCUUUUGCACCAAGAUUUAAAAAUAAAGGAGGAGAAAAUAAGUUAUUUAAUUAACCUUGUUUUAAGUGUUGGCAUAAAUACAGGACUGGAUUCCUUGAGCAACUUGGAGGAGCUGGACAUGAGCUUCAAUGCAAUCGACAAUCUAGUUGUUCCUAAAGGUAUACAAAACGUUCAAAUAUUGAUAAUUUGGAGGGCGGUUUAAGAGAUUUGAUUAGGGAAUGCCCAAUGACUUACCCAAAAUAAUUUAAUCCGAAAUUAUAUCCCAAACAGAUUACAAAGGUUUAAGGAAGUUGAAUACCCUUCAUUUAGGGGGAAGGGAAAAUGCAAUGAUAGAUGGAAGACAGGUGUUGCACUCAAUAGGAUCACUGUCGUCCCUCAAAACACUUUACCUUUUGUAUACCAAUUUUAUGGGAACAGUAGUUAAUCAAGGUAAGUAAAUCUUUUAUCUCGAAAAUAAUUGAAUUAAUAUAUAUAGCUAAAAUUUAUUGUUUCUACUUCUUUCUAAAUAGAAUUGCACAAUUUCACCAACUUGGAAGAAUUGAUAUUGCUCGAGUCUUAUCUCCAUGUAAGCCAGCUUCUACAAAGUAUCGCAUCAUUCACUUCGUUAAAGUAUUUGUCAAUGCAACAUAGUGUACUCAAGGGUGCCCUGCAUGGUCAAGGUAAAUUACGGGUAUAUGAAGCGUUUGUGAUAUUAAUUCGAUGAUAAUUCUUUCUUUUCAAGUUAAGUUUUUCUUGUAAAAUAAUUUUUUUCUUUUUAAUUUUAUAUAUUUUCACUGUCCAAUAGUUCUAUCUUCUCUAAUUUGCUGGAUUCUUGAUUAAGGUUAAUGAAAUUUUAGUUCUGUUAUGUUAAGAAUAUUUCGAUCGCUUAAAAGAGUAAAGAAAAAUAAGUAAAUUAACCCAAAAAAAAAAGAAAAGAAUAGGACCGGAUUAUCCUUAUUCCCUUGCAUUAUGUGAUCAAUAUCAAAAUUAUAACCAUUUCUUGUUUAUUGCUUGUAGAUUUUCGUAAAUUCAAGAAUUUGGAACGUCUGGACAUGGGUGGGGCGCAGGUUGACGUCAACACCAAUUUUCUUCAAAUUGUCGGCGAAUCGAUGCCUUCUCUUAAGUUUUUAUCACUGACAUAUUCAAGUCUUAAUAAAAACACCAUUCUUGAUCAAGGUUAAUUAAUGAUUCUCCGUCUCCCUCUCUCGCAUCAUAACUAAAUUUAAUUGAAAAUAUCUAUAAUGUGAGCUAUUUAUAAACUUAAUGAAAGAUGAUAAGGAGCCAUAAUAAUGACAAAAACAACUGUAAAAUUUUACAGUUAUUUUGUUGCCAUUACGUCAGAUUCUACUGUUCAACUAUCAGUGAUCAAACUUAAUUUUUAAUAUGUACUUUAAAGAUUUUAUGCAAUUAUUUAUCUAUGUGUACUGAAGGAUGAAUUAUAUAUUUUUCAGGACUUUGUCAGUUAGUGCAUCUGUACGAGUUAGACAUCGGCCGUAACGAUUUGAGAGGUAGCUUGCCAUGGUGCUUGGCAAACAUGACAUCCCUUCAAGUGUUAGAUGCCUCUUCUAAUCAACUUACUGGAAACAUCUCCCCAGGCCUUUGUGAGUUGGUGCUUCUGAGAGAGUUAUACAUUGAUAACAAUGAUUUAAGAGGUAGCUUGCCUUUGUGCUUGGCAAAUUUGACUUCCCUUCGAGUAUUAGAUGUCUCUUACAAUCAACUUACUGAAAACAUCUCAUCUUCCCUCAUGCAUCUAAUAUCUAUAGAAAAGCUCAUACUUUCAAAUAAUCACUUCUUCCAAAUCCCUAUUUCACUUGAACCACUUUUCAAUCUCUCAAAACUCAAGACUUUCGAUGGUGAAAUAUGCACAGAAACUGAGUCACAUUAUAAUUCUUUGACCCCAAAAUUCCAACUGACUUCUAUCUCACUGUCUGGUUACAUAGAUGGUGGCACAUUUCCUAAAUUCUUGUACCAUCAGCAUGACUUGAAGAAUGCUGAUCUCUCACACCUUAACUUGAGUGGAAAAUUUCCAAAUUGGUUGGUAGAAAACAAUACGAACUUAGAGACGCUUCUUCUUGCCAACAACUCUCUUUUUGGGUCAUUUCGGAUGCCAAUUCAUUCCCACCAGAAAUUGACAAUAGUGGAUGUCUCCAACAAUUUCUUUCAAGGCCAUAUUCCGGUGGAAAUCGGAACAUAUCUGCCAGGUUUAAUGGAUUUAAACUUAUCUAGAAAUGCUUUCAACAGUAGCAUUCCCUCUUCAUUUGCUGAUAUGAAAAUGUUGAAAAGGUUGGACAUAUCCUACAAUCAGUUGACUGGUGAAAUCCCUGAGCGCAUGGCCACGGGUUGCUUCUCUUUGGAAAUUCUUGCAUUGUCAAACAACAGUUUGCAAGGUCAUAUAUUCUCUAAAAAAUUUAACUUGACAAAUUUAAUGAGGUUGCAGUUGGAUGGUAAUAAUUUCACUGGAGAGAUCCCAGAAAGCUUAUCUAAGUGCCGUUUGUUAGGAGGACUAUAUCUGAGUGAUAAUCAUCUCUUUGGUAAGAUUCCAAGAUGGUUGGGUAAUUUUUCAGCUUUAGAAGAUAUUAUAAUGCCCAAUAACAAUCUUGAAGGACCAAUACCAAUCGAGUUUUGUCAGCUUGAUUCUCUGACGAUUUUAGACCUUUCAAACAAUGCUAUUUUCGGAACCUUACCAUCUUGUUUUAGUCCAUCAUUUAUCGAACAAGUUCAUUUGUCAAAAAACAAGAUAGAAGGACGGCUGGAAAGUAUAAUCCAUGACAGCCCUUAUUUGGUGACAUUAGAUCUUAGUUAUAACCGCUUCCACGGAAGUAUUCCAAAUUGGAUUGACAUACUUUUUCAGUUAAGCUACCUUCUUCUAGGUAAUAAUUAUAUUGAAGGAGAAAUACCAGUUGAAUUAUGCCAGUUGAAGGAAGUGCAGUUGAUUGAUCUUUCUCAUAAUAAUCUAUCUGGUCAUAUUCCUCCUUGCUUGGUUAACACUGCACUCAGUGAGGCAGUAGCUCCAACUUCUAGUUCGUGUGGUCGAGCGUCUGGCUAUGCACGUCCAUGUGAGAAAAAUACAAGUGGACCUCCGAUGGGAAAGGAAGAAACUGUACAGUUCACAACAAAGAAGAUGUCCUACUAUUAUCAAGGAAGAAUUUUGACGAGUAUGUCUGGGAUUGAUCUUUCUUGUAACAAACUGAUAGGUGAAAUUCCUACUCAAAUUGGAUAUCUUACUAGGAUUCAUGCACUAAAUCUAUCUCAUAACAAUUUGACGGGCACAAUCCCGACAACAUUUUCAAACCUGAAGCAAAUUGAAAGCUUGGACCUCUCCUACAACCUAUUGCAUGGGAAAAUCCCUCCUCAACUAGUUGCGCUAAAUACAUUGGCAGUCUUCAGAGUAGCAUACAAUAACUUAUCAGGUAAAAUUCCAGAUAGAAUUGCACAAUUUUCAACUUUUGAGGAAGAUAACUAUGAGGGGAAUCCUUUUCUUUGUGGAUUGCCACUGUCUAAAAGUUGCAAUGAUAGUGGAUUAUCAGCAGUGACACCGGAAGCUUACAUUGAAGAUGAAGAAGGUGAUUGUUUCAUUGACACGAGCAGUUUCCUGAUCACUUUUACAGUAUCUUAUGGAAUUGUUAUAAUAGGAAUUAUUGGAGUUUUGUACAUAAACCCCUAUUGGCGACGAAGAUGGUUUUACCUUGUUGAAGUAUGUAUGAUCUCUUGCUACUAUUUUGUAGUAGAUAAUCUUAUUCCUAGAAGAUUCUAUCGUGGAUGGAUGUAAUUUCCUUACAUUACAACUUAUAUGUAAUUUUUAAAGAAUUUUCUUUUGCAUGCAUGGAAUAGCAACUCAAUAAAAGUAUUUGAUGCAAAUUGUCCAAGAACAACUUAGUAAUUUCAUUGCAACUAUUCGGUUGUAUAUAUACAGUUAAUGAAAUUUUUAACCAUUCGCAGAAUACCCUUAGGAAUUUCUUUAGAUGGCGGCCAAAAAGAGAUUCGGGGCUCUACACGGUCUGGAUGAAGAUUAACUUAAUGCCCUCUGGAUUAUGUGUAAGUUCUCUUUUAAAUUUAAGGGUUGAGAUUUCAGGUCCGGAUGAAAGUUGAAUGCAGGUGACGAGACUUCACUGGGACAAACUUAAAAUAAAAAAUUAUAGUCCACAAUAAGUGUAAUACCCUACCCCUGGUUUUUGACCAUGCUGACCACCCAUAUAUAUAUAUAUAUAUAUAUAUAUAGAGAGAGAGAGAGAAGUAAAGAGAGAAGAGACGAGAGAGAGAGUGAAAGGAGUUGACCCGAGUUUGACCCGAAUCCGACCCGGAACCCGCGACUUUGACCCAGCGAUUUCUCCCAUUUCCGGCCACCGUUCCGGGCAAGCUUGGUACCGAUUCGAAGCUUGAGAGACGAGCUACGUGUCCAUGCCAUCCUUGCCGCCGGAAAACGAUCGGAAAGCCACCGAUCGAAGCUUUGAAGUUCCGCGGAAUCACCGGCUCGAUUCGCCGGUUUCCGGUGAAGCCAUCACUUGGGUUUGGUCCUUACCUUGCCCUCUGCCAUUUCCGACUAACCACUGACGCCGGGGACAUCGUUUUAUCGGUGAUCAGCCGUUAGAGGAUUCACGACUUCGGGAGCUCGAUUCGGAGCCAUCGCCGCGCGUGGGAGGUCACCACCGCCAUCAUUGGACUCAGCGUGGCUUGAACUUUCAGUUCUGAGCUUCCCGUCGCCGUCGGAUGAAUUCCGGUGACCGUUGACCGGCAAGGGUAUUUCGGUGAUUUCACAGUCUAAGGGCAAUUUUGUAAUUUCAGAUUUUGUGGGUAUUUUCGUAAUUGCAUUGAUUGAGGAUAAAGUUGGUAAUUUAUGAUUUUGAGGUUAAUUUGGUAAUUUUGAUAUGGGGGUAUUUUGGUAAUAUUGAAUUCAAGGGUAUUUUGGUAAAUUUUGUAAUUUGAGGGUAAAUAUGUAAUUUGUGGAAUCAAUGGAUAAUUGGUAAUUUUAAGUGAGGGCAGUGAGGUAAUUUGAGAUUACGAUGGUAACUCGGUAAUUUAAGUCGUAAAGGAUAUUUUGGUAAUUUUACGUUCCGAGGGUAAUUUCGUAAUUUCUGACAUUGUGGUUAUUUUUGUGAUCUGAAUUGAGGACUAUUUAGUAAUUGAAGAUUAUGAGGAUAAGUUGGUAAAAUAAUGAUGUUGGGGGCAUUUUGGUAAUUUUGGCAUGUAGGGGUAUUUCGGUAAUUUUGUGCAUGCGGGAAUAGUUUAUUGUUAAUAGAUAUUCGUUUCGAGAUUUAUUAUAUAAAAUUGGUUGUAUUUCAAUUUACGGAAAAUGAUUAUGGCGUUUCCUUGAUUAGGAGGAUUCGCGAACGAGAAUCAACCCGCGGACGUUGUUGGCACCAAAUCUGGAUAUUGUCACUCUGAGUGGAAUAUACGAAACUUAUUUUUAGAGUUAAUUAUGAUAGUAAAGCAUGUUUGCGGAAUAAGUAUUUUAAAUGUUCUGAUUUAAUGAUUUCUUGAAAUGGAUUUAAUGUGAUUUCCUCGAAAUGGAUUUAAUGUGAUUUCCUCGAAAUAGAUUUUAUUCAUGUGUUGAUAUUUUAUUAAAGUGUUUGGUCAAUGAUUUUGCGUAUCCAUUUUGAAUAACGCAUGAUAUUAUUUGAAAAAUAAGAAAAGUGGAUUCAAAUGUGGUAUGAUUUAAAAUAUGGUUAAGAGGAUUGUUUUUGAAAUCAUUAGACAGUACCCUUCCCCUCCAGAUACAGUGAUAUAAAUGAUAUGAGAUGAGAGGCCUUUGGGGUUCGUCUGAACACACAUAGAGGCUUUGGGCCGUGUGUUUGAGCGUUUUUGCCUUUAUAUGCAUGCAGUACAGAUAUUGAGUUACAGUGAUACAGAUAUGGGCUACAGACAUAUAUUGAGUACAGUGAUACGGAUAUGGGAUACAGAUCAGUUAUUGAGAUUCAGAGAUACAGUGAUACAGAUAUGAGAUACAGACAGUUGAGAUACAGAUGAGAUACAGGCCUUUGGGGCCCGUCUGAGUACACACAGAGGCUUUGGGCCGUGUGCUUGGGCGCUAUUGUCCUUUGGGGACUAGAUUAUGCAUGCACAGAUAUGAUGAGAUAUGAAAUAGUAUUUCCCUAUUUAUCCGUGUAGCUCUGGGGUGUGACGUUACCCAGAUAGUACGUCAUUGCCCGUCCGUUGAGGUCCGUAUAUGACGAGAUUAUUUCCCUGGGUACUUGUUUGAUGAUAGUUUUGGUAUUUAGUAUUUGAUAUGAUAAGUAUGGGUAAUUUUUAAAAACCUCCCCUGAGGUUUGAGGCUGUUGCAAGUAGAUGGUGAAAAUCAUUUUAUUUGUAAAAGACCCCCUACCGUCAGUUAAAAUUUUUAUUGACUAACUGUUGACUUUAAAAAGACAAUAUUACCGCCAAUAAUAGUUUACGUCAGUUAAAAUUUCCUUAAAAUCUUAAAAAAAUAAAAUUACAAACUUAAAAAAAUUAUAUUUUUAUAUCAAAUAAUUAAGAUUUGUAAUUUUAUUACAAACUUUAAAAAAUUACAUUUUUAUAUCAAAUAAUUAAGAUUUGUAAUUUUAUUACAAACUUAAAAAAAAUUAUUUUAAGAUUUGUAAUUUUAUUUUUUUAAGAUUUUAAGGAAAUAUCAAUAACUUAAUCAUGGUGAAAAUAAUUGUUUUAAUUACUUAUGAAAUUGUAAAUAUUUGGAAUUGUAAAUAUUGGGGGUAAUAUUGUCUUUUCAAAGUCAACAGUUAGUCAAUGGAAAUUUUAACUAACGGUAGGGGGCCUUUUACAAAUAAAAUAAUUUUCACCAUCUACUUGCAACAGCCUCAAACCUCAGGGGAGGUUUUUAAAAAUUAUCCUGAUAAGUAUUAUGUUUCCAUCGAUUUUAUGCAGAUUUAUGUAAUAUAGUAUUUCAGUGACUGAUUUGAAUUAAAUAAGUUUAUAUAAGUUCUUAUGAUAUUCUGAUGAAAUUGAUUUGAGAAAUUGAUUUGAGAAAGAUUAAAUCAUUUUAAAAGAAUUGAUUUUUUAAAAUUACUAUCCACUCACUGAGUUCACUGAGUUUUAUACUCAUUCCGCUUUUAUUAUAUUUUCUUCCCCCCACAGGAGAUUUGCAGGUACAUCAGUCGACCUAGUAUCGAAUGUUAGUUUUGAAAUUGUUGCCACGUGAUGGUGUUAGGAUGUCAUAGAGUUAAUACUGUGAUAUUUAGGAUAUUGCGAAUUGUAUUUAUUUAUUAUAUUUUGUAAUUAAGGAUAACCAUUGUAUUUUUUAAUAUUAGAAUGACUUGGGUGGUACUUGGUAUGUUGACUUGAGAAGUUGGUUAUGGAAGAUGGUUGGAUAUUGAAUUAUUUUAGGAGUAUUGUUUUGUAAUUUGCAGGUUUGAGAAUGUUAUAUUUAUAAGGGAGAUUCUGCCGAAAUUUUUAUAGAAUUCGUACUUAAUAUCGAUUCAAUUUUACGAGUUUAGAUGGACUUGCCCUGGGGGUGCGGGGCGGGUCGUUUCAGUAAGAGCAAUGGGUAGUUUAACUUAUGGAAGAUAACUAGAACUUGGAAUAACUAUCCGAUCUGCACCUCUUUAUUUGUUAUAUGCUAGUGGGGAUUUUAGGUAGCGUUUAUCGCCAGGGGAGUUACAGUAAUCGAUUCAUAUAUCCUCCUUUACUUCCGAGGGUAACCCAGCUCUAUACAAGAACAACAAGAGGGUUCAAUUAAGAACUCUCUCUCUUCCUCACAACAAAUACACCUAACAGACCAAACCGUGCGCAAAAUAAUUCUAUUCCGUUCUAUUCAUGUCAUGAAUCCCACAAGUCAAAAACUAUCGCAACUCAUUUUGUUUAAUCAGCAUAACUAAAUUGUGGGUAUAAAUGAGCAAACUUUUGAAGCCUGUAACUUAUAAUAAACGCAAACCCAAAAAUGACAUUUAAAUCCUCAUCAUCCCUAACAAAAAGAAACAGGAAUAAUUAUAUACCAAUAAUUUUUCCACAACAAAUACUGAUUUGAGUUGAAACACUAUACAAACUGGGUCCUAUACACUUGCAGAAAGCUACACAGUAGAGAAAAUCUAGCAGCUACAUAAUGGUAUCACUUUCAGCUGGUCACGAAUGGUGUGCAUUCAGCAGUGCUCGACAGACCAUGUCUACGAAUUGAUUGUCCUAUUACAUAUAAAAGCUGGUUAGAUAUACAAGGAAAAAAUUAAUAAUUGAAAAUGCAUCACAAAAAUUAAGAGUAUCGCAUUAGUGUUUGCACUCUAAGCAUGGCAAAGUGGUGGGGGGUUCAUUAUUUUGAAGACUGGGAUAAGUGAAAAAUAGUUCAAUCCACUGAUGAGCAUAAAUUUAUUUACAUGUCAAUUUAGAUAUCAUCAAAAAGUAAACAGUAAUUCACAGUCACUUAAAAGAGUGGACAAAAUGCAUACCAUGAAUGCAUUUUUGUACGUAAGAAAUCCAAAGAAUAUUUCUGAUAAUACAAAUAUGCUGGCUUUAAAUCUGCUGUCAAUAAGCAAUUAAGAAGAUUAUACCAGCUGCAUGGUAAAGUUCCCCUACUCUUAAUAACAGUAAACAUGAACAUGUCAGAUGCAAUUCUAGCAUCGACCAUUUGCAUAACCAGAAAUCCUAACCUGAACAAGCACCAGAAGUGCCUCCCGGACUUUCUCCUUGCUGAUAAAUGGUCCACAGUUUGAAGUAAGAGCAGGAGUAAGAGAUGGUGGAGGGAUUGGUGGUGGAAAAGGUUGAAGCACUGGGGCACCACAUGGGCGUUGUAGACUCAAGGGAGUAUUAAGUGGCGGAGCUGUUGGUGUAGAUGAAGAGACAGGCUGCAUCAUCCGCGCAGAGGAGGAUGGAGGAGGAACAAAGAAUAAGGAAGGCUUUACAAGAUUAGGUGUCCAGUUGCCAGAUUCAGAGGUGUCAAUGGGUGGCAUUAAAGGGGUAGGUGCUGAUAGAGGCGGGGAUGGUAUUUGCAAGGUUGGCACGAUAGGAUAAGCAACACUGGCGGGAUGAGAAGGUACAGAAAUAGUUGUAUCAGACUGCUAAGGUUGUGCAGAGAUUGCUGCAUUAGAAGUACUCCCCACAAUCAUAGCUGUCUGUAAUGAUAAGGACAGAUGUCAGAUACAAGGACUUCAUAGAAGUUGAACCUCACACUAAAAAGAAGUGAUAACAUAUGAAAAUAGUAUAUGACUUGCAGCAUUUUUGUGGUAAUGUUGCAUACUUAUGUAGAAACAUAUUAUUUCAAAGAAAACAUACACUGAAGAAGUUCACAAAAGCAGGAUCCUCAGGAACAUCAGCAGCAUUUGAGGGAGUUGACUCUAGAGGACCAUCCAUAACUGCCGUAGUUGGAACAGCUUCCAGUUCCUCAAACUCACUGCAGUUUAACAAUAAAAGGAACUCGAUGACCAAUUUAAGUAACAAUUAGAUGAUAUAAGAGGUUAGGGAAAAUGAUGAGCGGACCCUUAUGGAAGGUGAUUUCACCUUAGCUAAACACGAAAAUAAAAAGAAAUCAAGGCCGACUCCUCGAGUGCAAUGCAAAAAAUAUUUUCCCUCUUCUCUAACUCCUCUUAUUCAAAAUUGCUCAUCAUUGUGCUGUUCUUUGAGUUUUCACUAGAGUAGAGAACGCUAUUCUCCUGUUAAGUGCAGAGGAAAGAGAAGGGCAAGGGCCUGGUAUGACGCUAUUCUAUAGAAAGUGAGAAGGUGAAGGGUUAAAAUAUUUUGCAAUUUGGAGGUGGUGUUUGUUAGUGUUCGUACUUCUGAGUUUAUUACCUCUUUAGGAUCCAUAGAAAUUGCCUCUUGUUUAGCAUGCACUGUGCCUAAGAGUAAGGCGAGCUUGCAGAGUAUCUAUUAUUUAUUUACUUGGAUAUUCAAACAGGACUACCAGCAACCAAACCUGUCCCAGCACACUAAUCCCCAAACAAAACACUCCUUCAAGUGCAAGGAAAGAGUAACGUGGGCAUAUUUAUGGUUCAAGCACUACAAUAACUAAGAAUGUGAUGACUGUCCACAAACACUAUAUCAGAACCUUUUGAACUACAUCACAUGCUCGAAGAUUGUUUUUUCAGUCAUACAUAAAUUAGCCAUAAAAUUAAGGCCAUUAUACAACUAAAAAGAAAGAAAAAUUGUUUGCUACUACAUAUCAAAACUGGUAAUAGAAAUGUAAUAUGGCAGACUUCUUACUUAAACAGAUGAGAGGCUACAAAAAAAAAAUUGUGCAAAUAAAAUAUAUGAUAAAGAGCAUAAUACUUUCUUGGGGGCUAAAAAUAAUAUACAACAUGUAAAAUAUAAAUUGAGCUAUCAUUACCUUUUAGACGUGGCAACUUUCGACUUUUGAGGCACCUUGGAAUAUGCAUUCAGAAUCCUGCAUUUGGAAGCCAAAUAAAUAAUGUUAAAAACAAUUUUACAAUAGAAACAUUAAAAAUUGAUAAAUUACAGUUGCAAUUUAUGUAUGCGAAAAGAUAGCAUCACAUCCAGGGUCCUCCCCUAAACAUGCUUGUAACGAGAAUUAGUCUGCCUCCACUGUUAGCAACUGCUAACAAUAUACAAUAGUAAAAAUCACUCUCAUGAACUCACCAAUACCAGACACCAAUAAGAGUAUGAUACAACUAUUCUAAAUGGAAGAGAAAACCACUGUUUUAUAACUAUGUCGCAUCCAAAGAUAUGUUAGGAGGAUUAAUCCAAAUACCUUCGAACCCAAUUAACAAACUUGAGGCAAAAACCAGGGGCCCCAACUGAACCUUACAAUCUUGAAGGAAGGAGGCUUCUGGCAUUUUUCAGAUAGGUGAGUUACUAGAUCUCCUGCGAAGAGAAUAUCUUUUGCUUUGAACCUCCAUUGAAAUUUCUUUUUCCCUUUUUCUUGUUUUGACUUGGAACUUUCCAGCAUCAUCUAUUUGACCUUUUUUAAAGCUAAAAUAGCAAUCUAUGGGUUGUCAACAUCUUAUCUCCCCUUCCCCCCCCCCCCCCAAAAAAAAAAAAUCAAUGGGUUGUCAAUAAAUAGUGCCUACUCAACUUAUGUUUUCCAAGGGAUGACAAUGUGCAAAUCGACCUAGUAGCCACACUUUUCCCCCACUUUCAACCACCGUUAGGCAACUUUUCUAACCUUUCUUCAUUGCCCACAUCUACAGAACUAUCAUAUAAAGACUACAUUAUUAUUGGGGUAGAGGAAAAAAUACAGACUAUAUUAUUAUAUCUCAUUUUACUAAUUGGAAAAGACACUCAUGAUAAUACAGACCUUAAAAAGCAAUAGCUAGUAACACCCCAUGUACUCCUAUUUUAGCCUUCACUAUCCUAGUAAAAACACAAUUAAGUCUUGCAAAAGAACAUUCACAAGUAAAUUCAACAUUAAAUGAGAUUAGGUAUCCACUGCACCUUCAAUCGAUGACUGGGUGAAUAGCAUGGUCAACCAUCUAGUUCCUGCAGCCCUCCUUGUACCUAUGUUAGUUACAUUUUACAUAUUACGCCACGAAAAUGAAGGAUCACAGCCUGGUAAAGAAAGCCAUUAAUUAAUAGCUUUUGUUUAAAAAGUUCUCAUUUAGAUCUUUCCUAUUCAAUUAAUCAAUGUAAUCCAAAGAGAACUCUUCCAUUUCAAGCAGUGUUAGAAGAUAAUUGCAAAGCCUAAAGAUAAUAUACAAGGACCAAGAUAUCAAUAAAGUCAAAUAGUGAAUGUCAAAUAUAAAAAAUAAAUAAAAUAGUUGAACGUGAUCAUUUACUAUCAAGUUCUGUAAAACUGAAAAUACCAUUAUCCCUGUAGAGAUUCUCAAAAAACUCUUUAGCAAAUCAUUAAAUAGCAAAAAAAAGAACGAAAGUUCAAAAAAAAAAAUGUACAACAUCCAUAUCAGGAGAUAUUUUUCUUCUCAAUAUCAAUAUUUUCUAGCCGUGAAGCAAUUGAAAAGCUUAACACCAAGUGAAUUAUUAAGAAUUCAUCAUUUAAAUUCCCAAAUCGCAAAAUGUUGGUGCAACUAGGAAAGUGCAAAUGCAGUCACUUAACUAACACAAUAAGCACCAAUAGUGAGAAGCCCACUUUGUAUCAAAUUUGAAACAGAUAGAUAGAGGUCAAAAAAUUUAUAAAGACACUCAAUUGAAAGCCUUUCAAGCAGCUUUUGCAUGCAACAAGAGCAAAUCAAAGGCGAUGAGAAUGUAUUCAAAGACUAAUUUACAAUCAUCUAUAGACAUAAAUAUCUUGGAUACCUACUCUCUAUACCUUACUGUCCCACUGAAAAUCAUCAAAUCCCUCCAAACAAAAAUGACAAAAUGUAUAAGAAUUGUGUGGUCAAACUUCAAUAACUUAGCAGCCACAGCAAAAACUUAUGUAGACAUGCAAGCCACUCAAAAUAGUCAUAUUUUUUGCUUUCCAAACACAAGCCACUGUGUAAUGAAUGCUCAUAAAUUGCUACUACCAUGUUUGUUAAAACACGUGAAAACCACCAUAACUAACUCAAUGUAACUGAUGAUCACAUCACAUUCAUGGAAUCACAUAUCUGACAGUAUUAAUUAGUGCAAACUGCAUGCUUCUUGAAACUCCUUAUUUAUCACAUGGGUGCCAUUCCAAUCAACCAAUGAUUCUGAUCUAGUCAGCAAAUUCAACCCACGAGCGAGUAAUACCUCCUAUUGCUUCUUUACAUUUCUCAACAAAAUUCCACAUUCUACCCAUACUUCUGAACUUGAUGCUCCCAUAGACUAAUACAAUAUAAAGAUUUCUUCCCACACCACCCCAACCCCCACCCCUAAAAAACCAAUUUAAAUUCUCAUUGGAUGUACAACUUAUAGUCCAUACCAAAUUGAAAAAUUUGCAAAUAUAGAACCUCAAAGAAUCUGCUUGCGUUCCAUUUUCUACAGCAAGAAAAUUGACCUUUACCACAUGCAAGUCAACAUAUAAAACAAUCAUGUCUUUGUGAGAUGCACAUUUUCAGAUGAAUCUGGAGAGCAAUGAAACCAUAAAAACCUAAUAUGAGAACACCGAGGGCUCCAGAUAUCAUCUAUAGAAUCUUUGGUGCACCCUUGCAUGAUGAAAAAAAUUGAAGGCUUCGUCACCAACUCCCCAGGUUGUUUUGUUCUCCUAUCUCCUAAAUGCACAGGAAAGGCAACCCGUUCUUUUUUCCAAUCUUAAGGGGCACAGAAUGACUCCGGUAUAAAAUAGUCAGUUUCUAUACAAAAAUAACUCCUUUGCACUUGGCAUUGCACAUCUCAAAAUAAAAAGCAUGCAAGGAGGAGAAUAUAAUAGCAUUAAACAAGUUUUAUUAACCAAACUUCAAAGAUGCCAGACAAGGCAAAAAAGGAAUCUGUACAAGCCAGAUUCCAAGAAUAAUAAUUCCAAUAUACAAUUCAAGAAAACAAUAACUAAAACCAUGUUCAUGAGGCCUCAGUAGAAGCAACAUGUAAUAACCAUACUCUAUUAUUUGAAACACAUUUCCAAGUUUGGUUAAGAUUCUAAACUAUUCUCUAUCUGUCAAUUAUUAACAUGUAAAACAUAAUAAUAUACACUUAAACUACUACAGUAGUAAAACCAGUAAAACAACAAUACCUGCUAAAAAGAUUUGCUACCUCUUCACAUUCACGAGCAUUGUAGAACCAAAUCCCAUUUACUUCUUGGGAUGCAUUUCGAUAUAACAAAUACGGAACCUGAACUUCAAACUCAAAAUCUCCCAAAAGAUUUUCCACUAAAUUAUCUGCACAUAUACAAGAUAUUGAAGCUUAUCAGUGCAAAAACAUAUAUAAAAAGACAUGAAGGUUAGAAGACAUAACUAAAACUUAGCAACAACUGAUAAGCACAACAAGACAUGAAAUAUAACACUAGUUGUAAACAAGAUAGACACAUGGUAUCUAAAAAAUUGUACCAACCCCCUCUCCUGAUUGUCAUAAAACGGCCAAUAUUUAACCCUAGACAACAAAAUUGCAAAUACUCUAGCCUCUAUAUUAUUGGCAUAUAAAUAUUUUAGGUUAGGUACAUUAUAUUCUUCGUUCUAAAACCUCAAUUAUUAGCUAGUACUGUGAUAAAAUGAUUCAUCACUGAAAUUAAAACUAGGUCACGUACAAAUAAUCAAAACUGAAAUAGAAGCAACGAUAAACCAACCUGUAUUACGUCGAUUCAUCACAACAAACUGAAAUCGAGGCUGUGUGUUCCUGAAAAUUGAAAAAAAUAAUAAUUUCACCAACUUCAUGUGUAAUACAAUCUCCAAAACACCGAAUAUCAAAUGAAAAAAUGGAAAGCAUAAGAGAGAAAAGAAUCUAAUUUUAUUGACCUUUUGACGACGAACAGAGAUCCUUCAACAUCCUUACGACUCCAUUGGCUGAGAUCGAUGUUGAACUCGUAGAAGGUGACAUAAGCGGCCGUGAUGAGGAUCUCCUCAAUGAAUGGAUCGAUUCGCUGAAGAACUGUCAGGUUUAGGAGUUUUGUGCUCUGCUGGUCCAGAUUAGGCAUCAAUUUUCCGUUCUGCGACAUUUUUCGUAGUCCUUUCGGGCUCUGCCCCGAGCACAAGCCCCAUGGUUUUUCUGUGAGCUCUCUCUUUUGUAAAUAAAGUGUUUGAUGAGAUAGCCGAGAGAGAGUGAAAGAGUUGAACACCCAAACAAGGUGAGGUGAACAGUUUCGGAUUGAGACUCGAGAUUGAUCUUGCUUUAACGUCUUUCAAAUAUUUGGGAAAUAGCAUUUAUUUCUUUCAAUUUCUCUACUUUUUUUUUCCUUUAUGUCAUUUAGACCCAAAAAUUAGAUUUAUUAUAAAUUUAUAAUCAUAUUUUACCCAUUCACUAGUAACCCCUUUUAUUUUUGAAAUUUGUCAAUAUUAAUGUGUUAGAAUAAUGUUAGAAAUCCCAAUUAUUAUCUCAAUGUUUCAAUCAUAACUAAUGUGAUAACUCAUCGGUAACUGCAACAUUAACUUAAUUAUUAAUAUUUAUCAUGAAAUGAUGAGAUUAUUAUUCAAGAAAAAAUUAGUAAACAUCAAUGACUAAUAUAAUGUGACAAUUACAGCUGAAUAUUAGUACAAUAAUUAGGAUUCCUAAAGUUAGUGAUGUAUUAUAAUAUAUGUGUUAUACCACUUUAUGUCUCUCAAAUUCAAUUGAGUAAUUUCAUAUACCUGAGUACCUUUUAUUACAUUAAUUAAUUGGGUCCGCCUAACUUACGCUCAACGUAAGUUACGCUCAGCCCGUCCAAUUUCAUAUAGUCCCCCUAUACUCUAUACUAUUUAUAUUUUAUUCAUAAAUAUUAUAAAUUUUUUGAAAUGUAAAAUUUCAUUUAACCCCCUCUACUCAAUUUUAUUUUAUUAAAACCAUAGAGUAUGAAUUUGCCCCCAUAAUUUUAAAUUCUCAAAAUAACCCCCAUUUAAUUAAAAAUAUAAUUAUUUUUAAAUGAAUUAUAAUUAUAAUUAUAAUUUUAUUAUAAUCAUAAAUAUUUUUUUAAUAGAUUAUUGUUAUUAAAAUAAAAUUUUGUUUAGCCCCUCUACUCAAUUUUAUUUUAUUAAAACCAUAGAGUAUAAAUUCGCCCCCAUAAUUUUAAAUUCUCAAAAUAACCUCCAUUUAAUUAAAAAUAUAAUUAUUUUUAAAUGAAUUAUAAUUAUAAUUAUAAUUUUAUUAUAAUCAUAAAUAUUUUUUAAUAGAUUAUUGUUAUUAUUAAUAACGAUAAUAAAAAAUAUUAUAAUUAAUUAAUUAAUCUAUUAACAAUAAUUAAUAAUAUUUUUAUUAAAUUGUUAGUAAUAAUAAUAAUAAUUAAUGAUAAUCAACAUAUUUAUGAUUAUAAUAAAAUGGAAUAAACACUGAGUCUAUAUUUAUAUAGGAGACUCUUUUAUAUUUCUAUACAUUUUAAUUUCAAGUACUUUUAGGAUUUUUUUGUUACCUUCAUAAAUAAUGAUUUUGUAGGCAUCUCAUUAUUAAACGGUCAUUUUUAAGUGCUUCUAGUGUUGGGAUCGUAUUUAAUUGUGCUUUUCAGCUUUCUUGUCAUAACAACUAGGGUAUUACUCUUUCUCCAUAUCAAGCUUGAAGUUCUAAAUUUCAGUUUUAUCUUUUAUUUGAUGUUUUAUAAGUUCUAAAUUUCAGCUUUCUCUCAUAACAACUACGAACGUGUUAUGGUUUAGCUCAGUGACACAAAGGACAGUUUUCAACAAUUGAUCCUAGGAAGAUGCCCAUAGCUUGUUGUGCCAAAAAUAGAAAAUCUAAGAUGCGAAAAAAUUUUGUUGAGAUUCAUUUUUCAUCCUGAUGUUACAGCUGGCCUUUUUUUUUUUUUUUUUUGGCAGAGAAUAAUGCUUAUGUGAUUUCUGAACUUGGUUAUUGUUGAAAUGAGCUGAAAAUGAGCUGGAAAUGUGUUUGGUUAAUGAGAAAGAGAGCGAGAAAAUGAAAGAAAUCUAUUUCACUUUUUAUUUAUCAGAAUGAUUACAUUCACAAUGAAUCUAAGCUGAUAUUUAUACUUAAAUGAAUACACACGAGAUUCUUCUUGCUAGAUACUUCUAGAAACUCUACACGCACACUCACACUGAGCUAGUGGUUACUAAAACCGUUACAACAAUAUUGCCAGCUCAGCAUAACCAACUUAUAACUAACACACUCAGCUGCAGGGGAAACCAUCAAGCAUACGGUGCAUCCUCUGUAAUCAAGCUUCUUUAAGCAUGCUCUGCAGAUCAUACGUCUGAAUUAUCGAAACAAGAUGAAUUAUUUUUUGUUUAUUUUAGCAGGCGAUCUAUGAUCGGAAUUUCUUGCAACAAAAGAUGUGUGUCCACCAGCUUGUAUUCAAUUCGCGAACACAGUUUGAGAAGAAUCAGACCAUUAAUUUUCUUUUGAGCCAAUCAACAGAAUGUACAUUUCUUCUAAGAACCUGUAACCGAAACCGCAGUUUUUCAGGUUUGCUCCUUCCUCAUAGCAGUUAAUCAAACGAUAAACAGAGAUAUCCCAUGUCAACAAGAAGGUAAUCAUAAAAGAACAACAGAAUUGUUGCAACAUAUUCAUAUGAAAUGUAAAACAAUUUUGAGAAAAAAUAUUGGGAAGAUAUUUUUUUUUCAUAGAAGUUGCAAUCUUUACGUUAUUUACUAGUUGCAAUCAUACGCCUGCAAAGGAUGCCAGUUAAUUUUAUCACAAUUAGAUGGUAAGAUUGCAAAUUCUGCAGCCAAAGGUAGUACGGAGCUGAAUGAAGGAAAUCAAAUAUGAACAUGUUUUCAAUCUCAAAAUAUUAAGAGUAGCAUAAGUAACUUGUGAAACAGUCAUAAGUUCAAGGGAAUUAGAUGAUGGCAUGGUUGAAUUUAUAAAUAUUUGAUAUUUUGGACCGAACAGGGCAAACAGAUGGAUCCAGAUAAUUAAGAAAAACAUCAAUUCCAUGCAACCAAAUUAGUGUGUACAAUGCAAUUGCCUUUCCCUAUGAGAGUAGAGGGCCUAAGUACGCUGCCGUUUAGAGCUGAUGAGUUUGAUUCACCAGCAAGCCUCACACAAUAUCACUUGAGCAACACUAUAAAAUCAUUCAAAGAAAUCUCUAGGUCAGUAUCCAAAUAUGUGGCUCCGUCAGUUCCACCACAACCCAAAAUAUCAGAUCCCCCCAUUUGGAUUCGACUGAUCAAUUUGAGCAUAUAAAAUCGGGUUUUAAACUUCCCUAAUUAAAAUUUAUAUUCCACAGAAUCGUUUCCUUUAACAUGAUGCAUUACAUAAUAUUUUGUUUGCAAAAUAAAGAAGAAAGAUGACAUAAUAGAAACACUCACAGAGAGAGAAUACCUUUGACGAAAAGCUUAGAAGUGAAUCCUCUGUAAAAUACGAGUUGAGCUGCUGAAUUUUUCGAGUUUGAAUGAGAGACUGCGCCGUUUCUGAAAAUGUUUUUUUCUCAGUAGCGCCGCCAUUUUUGUAAUAGAGGGUAAAGAAAUAAGUAACAGAGUAAGAGGUGAGCAGAAACGGCCCAAUUUAGUUAUAUGCCAUGCAUGCGAUCAAAAUUGAAUGGUUAAAUGGCAGCCACUAUGUUACAUCUUGUGUAAGUAACAAACCGCCUACAUGGAUCGUUGGAUUUGGGAAUAUGAAAUCCAAUGGAUAAUAUUGAAUUUAACGAAAAAUAGAUUACAGGUUGCAUUAGUCCAAGUUUAUUUCAAACAAACCAGCUGACGAAAUAGCCGCUAAUCAAAUUUAAAAGGGAAAAAAAUUCAAAUUAUAGGUUAUAGAUCUUAUUUCCAUCUUAAAUCUAUUUGUCUUUCAUGGUGUCUCAAUGUGUAUACUAAUUUAUAAUUUGGAUUUAUAUUAGAGCUAAUGCUUCCCUAAAUAACUAAGAAAAUUUUCUUUUCAUUGAUUUAAUAUUUAUUUCCAAUAUCUUGUAUAUGUAGGAUUUGAAAAGAGGAAAAAUAGUAGGGAUGAUAAUGAGAGAAGAUAAAGGUGUCGAUUCUCAAAUCUAAUAUUAAUGCUAUACUUAUAUUCCUAUACUAAAUAAAUUAUCCAAGGUUCGUGGUUAACAAUACGUUGCAAAAUUUUAAUUUCUAUUUAAAGCUCUGUCUAAUAUGACUUUUCAUAAAGCUUAGAGAAAAGUAGAGCUUUUACCAAAAAAAAAUAAUUAUUAGAAUUGUCAAUGAUAAAUUUUAAAAAGUACUUUAAUAAAUAAGCUUUUAAAGUUAUAUAUAUUAUGAAAGAAAUGAAAUAAGAUUAUAUAAUAAAUUAAGAGUAUCUUAGAUAAUUGAACUUAAAAAAAAAAACUCGCUAAGAGGUUUAAAAUUUGAGUUUUAAUAGUGGAUACAAAAUAGUUUAUUUAAUUCUCAAAAGCUCUACUCAAAAUAGUUUAUUUAAUUCUCAAAAAAUAUUUUUUUCAUUGAGUAAAUAAUACUAAACAUGCACUAAAGUGUUAGGACCAGAAGUUGUACAAAAAAUGAUGGCUACAACUUAAAUUAUGAAUGGAGUAAUCGGAGAAUAUUGAAACCCGUUUAAUUUGGAUCGUGCAUUGAGGGACGAAAGGAUAAAAAAUUUAAUUUUGAAAUUGCUGUUGGGUACGGUACAAUGACUUACCGUUGACAGCUUUUGCAACCGGAUUACAAUCGGUUAGUUCAAUAAUUUUAUAUCCCCAUUUAACCGCCAUGUGCUGCUGUUACAUGGGUCAAUUAGUCAUGUCAUUACUGUUACUUACAGAUGCCGCAACAUAACCGGACCCUGGUUAAAUUCUGUUGUUUCCAAUAAUUUUAUGCUGUAUCUUCUUUAAUAAUAAAGAAAACUUGCAUUAAAAUUAAAAUUAGGGUAAUACCUGAUUUUAUAAAUAGAUUGCAAUGUAAUUUUGAAAAAUAAAACAAUAAUUUACAAAAUGUUUAUAACAUAAUUUUAAUUUUUUUCAAAAAGGAAAAACAACAAAAGUAAGAAAUAGAGAAUUAGGGCUACAAACUUUGUAUCUUAAACGGCCGUUAGAUUAUUUGUAAAUGAAAGCAACGGUCAGAUAUUGGUGGAUUAUGGAAACAUGUAAUCAUAAGGACUACGAGUUUUUUUUGUUACAUUGAUAUAUUACAAUCAAAAUUCUAUUGGUAUUUACAAUCAGAAUUUUAUUUGACUAUCUUUGAUAAUUCUAAACUAGUACAACCCAAAUUCUUAUUCUCAUAUAAUAUCAAAGAGAGAUAUAUAUUCUUCUCCUCUAUUAAUAAAGAGACAUUUUUACUUCCUUUUAAUAGUUAGGACUCAGAACUCAUACACGCUAGUUUGAGAGUGUGGGGUGUGACAAUGGGCCAAGAGACCAUUGACAAAUACAAAAGAGUGGUAGAAAUUAAUUCAAACCGCUACACACGCUAUUGCAACCAAAUUGAGGGCACAUUUUUGUUUAUUUAGUUGAAAAGUAGUCUGUAAAAUUAACUCAAACCGCUACAUACGCUAUUGCAACCCAAUUGAGGGCCCAUUUUGUUUAUUUUGUUGAAAAGUAGUUUGCGCAAUUAAUUCAAACCGCUACACACGCUAUUGCAUCUUUUGAAAAAGAAAAAUGGAAUAAUUUUUCAAAAUUAAUUUAGAGAAUAAGAUUUACUAAUAAUGAUGUUAGAAAUCUUGAUAUUUGAAUCUUAAUAUUAUCUAUCACUCAUUUAUUAAAUAAUAGAUUUCAUAGUUUGUAAAAUUACUUAACCACUUGAUAAAUGUUAUAUUUGUUGGGACUAGAUUGGGACUUAAAUAUUGGAAUAUCUAGUAUUGCAUAAAAAAAAACUUAACAAUUUAUCUUCACACGACUAAUUGUUUUUACAUCACAACUAACCUUAAUUAUUUUAAAAGUUAUAGUAUUAUUAAAUUGCCCUAACUAGUUAUCAAAAGGUGAAACCAUGUUUUAAAAAGAAAUUACUAAGAAACAUUUGUUUAAACGAAGGUUAAGGUUAUGAUCAAUUAAUUAAGAAGAAACUUACUAUCAAAGGUUAAGAUUAUGAACAAUUUAAGGAAGUUAUUGAGUAGAGAAAGGGACAGAAUGGUUGUCUGAUUUGUCGGUGACAAGAAUGCUUGUGUUGUGAAAAGAAAGCCGAUGGUUUGUAAAUUUGUUGAAUUUUUCGCUCGCUUCAAUGACUUGCUUAUGCCCAAUAUAUUACUUUGCACAGUAGUAUUUGGGAUCCUAACAAUCAACUCUUAAUUUGGUCCCAAUUAGUAUAGUAAUCAUCUAUUGAGCGGUAAAAUAUUAAUUCUAAUAGUCAUGAAAUCCAAUAUAUAAUAGAUUAAUAACACACAUAAAUUAAAACAUAACUGUCUGAAAUCAUAACAUUACUCUACUCUUCAGUGAAGUUCUCUUAAACUGAUUAUGUGAAAGCAAUAUUCGCUUUUUGAUUAUAUCCAUAACUUUGAAUUGAUAAAGUUGUAUUCAACAGCUCUUGAAAAGACUAAGCAGGUCUUCUUUGCAUUUGAUCACUGGCAUUUCAGUUAAGUUUGUCACUUACUUAAAAUUUUCUUGCUUUCAAUUUCCACUGUUAUUUUUUUUUAAUAAAAUAAUUUAUUUAAACUAGUCAUAGAAAUAAGAGAGAAAAGGGGUCAUUUCUUGACUCAAAGUCAAUUAUAAUUAUCAAAACUUGAGGGGACAUCGCAUGCCUAAAUUCCACGCACCCUAAAACGGUUUGAUUUGCUUUCACGCGUUCAUGAAUUUCCAUGAAAGAGCCUGCCUUUCGUCUCUUUCGGGACAAUGACUACAAUUAUGGAAAAAAUUAUAAUUCUCGUUAGAUUGUAACCAAAUUAUUAUCCCUAAUUUUUUUAAGUUAAAUAAAAUAAAAUUCAUGCCUAAGUAUUUAGUAAUUAGAGAGAGAUAGAGAGGAUUGAGGGCCAAUGUUUCACGAUUUGGGGUCAAUUCAAAGUCAACUAACGUGUAAAACACGUGUAUGCAUAGAAAACGCUUAGAUUAUUUGUGUUCCAAGUGCAAGAAAUUAAGAAAAGAAAAAUUGAUUUCCUUUCAUGAACUUCCAAGAAAGAAAGAAGACCCUUCACCUUCUUCGUUACAACAAAUGAAUGAAUGAUGUUGAUAUGACAAAUACAAGCGCUAUUACAGGGAACAGCAUAAGACUGAGACUUGAUAAAGUGUUUGUUAAAUUACAUGUUAUUUUCUUUUAACUUGAAUGAUGUUGAAAAUAAAAUAAAAUAAAAUUGUAAUCAGGGUGAUGUGUGGAAUAUAGUGAAAUAAAUAAAUAGAGAAGAGAAAUUUGUUGAUCAAUAUUAAAGACACAUCCAAAGUGAUCGUCAAAGUCUAGAGGUUCGGUAUGAUUAGCAUUUAUUUUAUUUUUUUUGGCUUAGCAUCAUAUAUAGUCACCUGUCGUGUGAUCUAGGACAGGUUUAGAAAUCCUUUUAUUUUAACUUCUGUAUUCUUAUUAUUUAAUUAGUUAUAGGGUUUUUAAGUAUUUGAGUAUUGAUCACAUGUCUCCUAAUCUAAAAAUAUGUUUUUACGAGUACAAAUAACAAACUAGGAUUUUAACAGCCUUUUAUACUAAACCCUAAAAAUACAUGAAUUUAUCAAAAUAAGUAAAUUAAUUUAAAUUGGUAUGGCAUAGUAGAAGUUUUACCUGCCGAAACAAAUUAAAAAAAUAUUACACUUAAAUCAAAUAUUGACAAAAAUAGAUAACAAUCUAAUGAGAAUCUUAACUAGACAUUUUUACUUCUAUCCAAUUUAACUGGAAUGAGAAUUAAGUCCUGUCAAUAGUUAGGACUCAUAACUCAUACACACUAAUUUGAGAGUGUGGGGUGUGACAAUGGGUCAAAAGACCAUUGACAAGUAUAAAAGAGUGGUCGUAAUUAAUUCAAACCGCUACACACGCUAUAUUGAGGGCCCACUUUUGUUUAUUUCGUUGAAAAGUAGUUUUCACAAUUAAUUCAAACUGCUACACAUGCUAUUGCGUUUUUUUUUUUUUUUUUUUGAAGGGAAGCAAUUUCAUUAAACCAAAACGAAUUACAGACUAUGUAAUAACCACAAAGGUGGAACGAAAUUCCACUCUUGGGGACCUGACAUAGAACCUACUGCCCUUGCAACAGAGUGAGCAGCCAGGUUCGCAGACCGACGUACAAACGAGAAUUGUACUUCUCUUAAAGACUUAGCUAAAGCUCGACAUUCAUCAACUAUUAAACCAAAACCGUUAGGCCCUGAAAACUCCUCAACUAGAGCUUGAAAUACUUGUAAACAAUCAGUUUCAACAAUGACACAAGGAAAUUGUAAGCCUUUAAGCCAACUAAGGGCCUCCCGAAUACCAAGAGCUUCAGCCUCCCUUGCUCCAAAAUUCCCAGCCAUUCCAGCACAUCUUGCUGUUAAGAAAACACCCUCUGAAUUUCGAAGCACACACCCAAAACCAAUAUUUCCCUGAGAUGAAAAGAUAGCAGCGUCAACAUUACAUUUGACCCAACCAAACUUUGGCCUCUCCCAACAUAUUGCCCCAUGGACCAGCUUAUGGACAUCAGUAUCAGCAUAGAAUUGUUGCUUCUUUGCUGCUUGCCACUGAUAGAGAAGUUGCCCAGCAGAAUUGAGCACUUGAUUCACUGAAUCAGUUUUGUUAUUCCAUACUUUGUCAUUCCGAUUAAUCCAAACUCUCCAGCAGAUCAUCAUGGCAACAUGGCAUUCUUCUUUGCUGCAGCGUGUAAAGAUGUGAUCAAGCCACUCUAAGAAAGAAUAACAAUGGCCAACAAAACCCACAGAGGAAGAAAUCCAGCAAGCCUUAGCAACAUUACACUCAACCAACGAAUGGAGAAUAGUUUCAUCAGAAGCAAGACACACAGCACAAGUAGGGGGGAUAUUCACCCUCUUAGAAAUUAAAUUAACUGCAGUAGGCAGCACAUUAGUUGCCGCUCGCCAAACAAAAUUCUUAACCUUAUUCGGCACAUUCAAGUUCCAUAGUUUUCGCCACACAUCUGUGAAAGGGUCAGGGGUAAGAGAAUGUAAAACCUUAUAACAGCUACGGACUGAAUAGCAUCCGCGAGAAUCAGCCAACCAAUACCACACAUCAUCAUUUCGGCGGGAACUAAGGGGAAUUUGAAGAAUCAACUCCUUGUCUCUUGCGUUGAAAAGAUCCGAAACAAGAUCAUAAUCCCAAGCUCGUUGAUUAGGCACCAGUAAACUACUAACAGGAGCUGCAGCAAGCUCGGCAUGGAGAUUAGAAGGAACAAAUCCAUUAUUAGUAUCAGGAAGCCACGGAUCCUUACCAAUGAAGAUCGAAUUUCCACAGCCAACUUGCAGUCUACUCCCUUGAAUUACCACAUCCUUUGCAGCCAAAAUAGAGCGCCACACAUAGCUAGGAUUAUGCCCCGCAGAAGCUUGAAGAACAGAGGUGCGCGGAUGGUAGCGAGCUUUAAUUAUCUUGGCCACAAGAGAUUCCGGACAAGUUAACAGCUUCCACAUUUGCUUUCCUAACAUCGCUAUAUUGAAUAAAUGAAGUUGUUUAAAACCAAGGCCACCAUAUCCUUUUGGUUUGCACAGAUUUUCCCAUUUGGACCAGUUUAAAAAAGAAAAAUGGAAUAGUUUUCCAAAAUUAAUUCAGAGAAGAAGAUUUACUAAUAAUGAUGUUAGAAAUCUUAAUAUUAUGUAUCACUCAUUUAUUAAAUAAUAGAUUUUAUAGUUUGUAAAUUUACUUAACCACUUGAUAAAUGUUAUAUUUGUUUGAAUUGAUCCAAUAGCUCUUGAAAAGCACAUAAUAAUCAUUAUAAAUUUAAUCAAAGACUAAGCAGGUCUUCUUUGCAUUUGAUCACUGGCAUUUCAGUUAAGUUUGUCAUUUAUUUAAAUUUUUCUUGCUUUCAAUUUCCACUGUUGUUUUUUUUAAUAAAAUAAUUUAUUUAAACUAGUCAUAGAAAUAAGAGAGAAAGGGCGCCAUUUCUUGACUCAAAGUCAAUUAUAAUUAUCAAAACUUGAGCGGACAUUGCAUGCCUAAAUUCCACGCACCCUAAAACGGUUUGAUUUGCCUUCACGCGUUCAUGAUUUUCCAUGAAAGAGAGUGCCUCUCGUCUCUUUCCGGACAGUGACUGCAAUUAUGUUAACGUGACGAAUACAAAACGUUAUUACAUACAAGAAUAAGUUUUUGGAGCCGAUACUUGAGGGAGGUUCUAUCUAAUUCUAAAGAUUGUAACCAAAUCAUUAUCCCUAAUUUUUUUAAGUUAAAUAAAAUAAAAUUCAUGCUUAAGUAUAAAUAAUUUUUUUAAGUUAAAUAUAAAAUAAAAUUCAUGAACUUCCUAGAAAGAAAGAAGACCCUUCACCUUCUUCGCGACAACAAAUGAUGUUGACAUGACAAAUACAAGCUCUAUUACAGGGAACAGCAUGAGACCGAGACUUGAUAAAUAUUAAAUAUAUAAAAUAAGUGGAGCAAACGAACAGAAUAAUAGAUAUUUUAUAAUAUUCUUCAUAAAAAUCCAUGUUUUGAGCCUGCCUAUAAGCUUAUCUAGUGAAGUCUGGGUAUCCGCGUUGCCCAAGGUUCCGUUUGAAUCCAGGCCGUGUAGAUGUUUAAGACAUCGCAUAUGGACGGAGUGGAAAUAUUUUCAGUUGACUGAAUUAAAUAAAAAUAUAUUACAAUCAUAUUAUAUAUUAGCAGCAAAAAUAAAAAGAAAUGAAGAAAAACGCAUGCAAGACUUAGACAAGUCAAUUAAAAGCUGGGAGUAUCAUCAGUUCAAUUGGUUAUAAAUAGCGUAGAGCCAUCCUCUCGUUGUUGCAGAACUGAAGCAAAGAGACUCAGAAAGAGUGUGUGUAGGUGAUUAUAAUUAAGAAGAUAUAAUGUGUGGUUCAAAAAGAGUGUGGGUGAGUGAGUUAAUUUUCAUAUUAUUAGUAGUAAAAGGGUGGUGGAGUGAGGGAUGUUUGGAGCAAGAGAGGUCUGCUCUCCUACAACUCAGACAUUUCUUCAAUGAUGAUCAACUUCUUCAAAACUGGGUAGACGAUGAGUAUUAUUCAGAUUGUUGUCAGUGGGAACGGGUUGAGUGCAACAACACCACUGGAAGAGUGAUUGAAUUACAACUACUAGAAACUCGAAAACAGGGAUCAGCAGAGUGGUAUAUGAAUGCCUCUCUGUUUACUCCAUUUCAACAAUUAGAGUCUCUUGAUUUAAUGGGGAACAAUAUAGCCGGUUGUGUUGAAAAUGAAGGUCCUUAAUUUACUCUAUUUUAAUUCUUCCUCGUAAUUUCUUACAUUUAUCUGAUCCCUUUUGAUUUUUGUUUAAUUUGUUCGUGAUACAAUAAAAUUACUUUUUAUUUUUUGUCAGGUCUAGAUAGGUUAUCAAGGUUGAACAACUUGAAGUUUCUUUACUUAAACCUUAACCACUUCAACAACAGCAUCUUUUCAUCCAUAGGUGGUCUUUCAUCACUCAGACGCUUAUCAUUGGCUAGUAAUGAAUUGAAUGGAAGUAUUGAUAUUAAAGGUAAGCAAGCUUCAUCCCUUCUCCCGUGUCCCAUCUUUUGUGGAUCUUAUUUUAUUGACCGGCUGGAAGUAUUGAUAUAAGAUCUGGCUAGACUCUUGCUAGUUUAAGCUUCAAGGAUUUAAAUAUUAUAAAAAUAGGUUUAAGAAAUUAUCAAUAUAUGCAAUUUUCAAUGCUUCUCAUAAUCAGACACAAUUCAAUCUAAUUAUUUUGUAUGUCCUGUCUUCAAAAGUAAAGAAUUGUACACUAAAUGGAAAUCGACAUCGUAGCUUUUUAUUUUUUCUAAUGCUCUUUUUUCGUUAACGAGUUUAUAUCCUAAGAGGGAUUGGAUUGAAAAAAAAAAAGUUUUGAUGUUCAAGGUAGGCCAUAAUAACCCGCAUCUUAUUUGUCUGCCUGUAUCUAAAUUUGUGCACUGAAUUUAGUAUUUUGGUUAUUGUGAAGGGAUCAGAUAUUGGCUUCCAUAGACCAACUUGUAUUUAGUUAAUUAAUUAAUUAACGACAUUUAAUAUUUAACAAAUUAAAAUUUCGUGUUUAAUCUAUUUUAAUUUUUUUAAGAAAAAAGAAAAAGAUAUAGCAAUAGGUAAAGCUAAAAUAAAUUUUAAUUCCUUACAAAUUUAAAUUCAUGGUUGUCAGCUAAAUAUACUUACUUAAAGCCACUCAGUCGAGCCCUUUGAGAGCUGCUUUAAAUUUUUAGCCAUAUUCUUUUCUUAUUAAUAAAAUUCUUUUCGCUGAGAUUUAACAUAAAAAAAGGAGAAAAUAAGUUAUUUAAUUAACUCUGUUUUAAGUGUUGGAAUAAAUACAGGACUGGAAUCCUUGAGUAACUUGGAGGAGCUGGGCAUGAGCGACAAUGCAAUCGACAAUCUAGUGGUUCCUAAAGGUAUACAAAAUGUUCAAAUAUUAAUAAUUUGGAGGACAGUUUAAUUGAUUUGAUUAGGGAAUGCCCAAUGACACUUACCCAAAAUAAUUUAAUCCGAAAUUGUAUCCCAAAUAGAUUACAGAGGUUUGAGGUAGUUGAAUACCUUUUAUUUGGGGAGGGGGGGGGGGGGGGGGGGGGGGGGGGGGAGGGAGGGAAAUUGCAGUGAUAUAUGGAAGCAAGGUGUUGCAAUAAAUAAAGAAAUUCGUUGGUCAAUAUUCAAGGACUCAUCCAAAGUAAUCGUUAAAGUCUAAAGCUCUGCUCUCCUCCAACUCAAACAUUUCUUCAAUGAUGAGAAUUAUUCAGAUUGUUGUCAGUGGGAAGGGGUUGAGUGCAACAACACCACUGGCAGAGUGAUUAAAUUAGAUCUAGGAGCCACUAGGAAUCGGGAAUCAGCAGAGUGGCAUAUGAAAGAUAACUAGAACUUGGAAUAACUUAAAUUAGCUAUAAAAUUAAGACCAUUAUACAACUAAAAAGAAAGAAAAAUUGUUUGCUACUACAUAUCAAAACUAGUAAUAGCAAUGAAAGAUGGCAGACUUCUUACUUAAACAGAUGAGAGGCUACAAAUAAAAAAUUUGUGCAAAUAAAUAUAUGAUAAAGAGCAUAAUACUUUCUUGGGGGCUAAAAAUAAUAUACAACUUGUGAAAUAUAAAUUGAGCUACCAUUACCUUUUAGAUGUGGCAACUUUCGACUUUUGAGGCACUUUGGAAUAUGCAUUCAGAAUCCUGCAUUUGGAAGCCAAAUAAAUAAUGUUAAUAACAAUUUUACAAUAGAAAAAUUAAAAAUUGAUAAAUGGCAGUUGUAAUUUAUGUAUGUGUAAAGAUAGCAUCACAUCCAGGGUCCUCCCAUAAACAUGCUUGUAACAAGAAUUAGUUUGCGUCAACUGCUAGCAACUAUACAAUAGUAAAAAUCACUCUUAUGAACUCAACAAUACUAGGCACCAAUAAGAGUAUGAUACAGCCAUUCUAAAUGGAAGAGAAUACAACUGUUUUACAACUAUGUUGCAUCAGGAGAUAUGUUAGGAGUUUUAAUCCAGAUACCUUCCAACCCAAUUAGGAAAACUCGAGUCAGAAACCAGGAGCUGCAACUGAACCUUACAAUCUUGAAGGAAGAAGGAGACUUGGGGCAUUUUUCUAGAUAGGUGACUUACUAGAUCUACUGCCAAGAAAAUAUCUAUUGCUUUGAACCUCCAUUGAAAUUUCUUUUCCCUUUUUCUUAUUUUGACUUGGAACUUUCCAGCAUCAUCUAUUUGAUCUUUUUUAAAGCUAAAAUAGCAAUCUACGGGUUGUCAACAUCUUAUCCCCCCCCCCCCCCGGGGGCCCCCAAAAAAAAAACAUCAAUGAGUUGUCAAUAAAUAGCGCCUACUCAACUUAUGUUCUCCAAUGGAUGACAAUGUGCAAAUCGACCUAGCAGCCACAUUUUCCCCCCCUUUCAACCACCAUUAGGCAACUUUUCUAACCUUUCUUCAUUGCCCACGUCUACAGAACUAUCAUAUAAAGACUACAAGAUAGACGCACGGUAUCUAAAUAAUUGUACCAACCCCCUCUCCUGAUUGUCAUAAAACGGCCAAUAUUUAACGCUCGACAACAAAAUUGCAAAUACUCUAGCCUCUAUAUUAUUGGCAUAUAAAUAUUUUCGGUUAGGUACAUUAUAUUCUUCGUUCUAAAACCUCAAUUAUUGGCUAGUACUGUGAUAAAAUGAUUCAUCACUGAAAAUAAAACUAGUUCACGUACAAAUAAUCAAAAACUGAAAUAGAAGCAACGAUAAACCAACCUGUAUUACGUCGAUUCAUCACAACAAACUGAAAUCGAGGCUGUGUGUUCCUGAAAAUUGAAAAAAUAAUAAUUUCACCAACUUCAUGUGUAAUACAAUCUCCAAAACACCAAAUAUCAAAUGAAAAAAUGGAAAGCAUAAGAUAGAAAAGAAUCUAAUUUUAUUGACCUUUUGACGACGACGAGAGAGCCUUCAACAUCCUUACGACUCCAUUGGCUGAGGUCGAUGUUGAACUCGUAGAAGGUGACAUGAGCGGCCGUGAUGAGGAUCUCCUCAAUGAAUGGAUCGAUUCGCUGAAGAACUGUCAGGUUUAGGAGUUUUGUGCUCUGCUGGUCCAGAUUAGGCAUCAAUUUUCCGUUAUGCGACAUUUUUCAUAGUCGUUUUGGGCUCUGCCCCGAGCACAAGCCCCAGGGUUUUUCUGUGAGCUCUCUCUUUUGUAAAUAAAGUGUUUGAUGAGAUAGCCGAGAGAGAGUGAAAGUGUUGAACAGCCAAACACGGUCUCGAGAUUGAUCUUGCUUUAACUUCUUUUAAACAUUUGGGAAAUAGCAUUUAUUUCUUUUAGUUUCUCUACUUUUUUUUUCCUUUAUGUCAUUUAGACCCCAAAAUUAGAUUUAUUAUAAUCCUAUUUUACCCAUACACUAUUAACCCCUUUUAUUUUUAAAAUUUGUCAAUAUUAAUGUGUUAGAAUAAUGUUAAAAAUCCCAAUUAUUAUCUCAAUGUUUCAAUCAUAACUAAUGUGAUAACUCAUUGGUAACUGCAACAUUAACUUAAUUAUUAAUGUAACACAAUAAAAGUUUCGUACAGAUUUUGAUAUUGAGAGUAACACAAUAAAAGUUUCAUACAGAUUUUGCAAACGAAAAGCACAUAAUACACUUAACUAGGAGGAAAAAUUAAGGUGUAUAUAUUACAAACUGCUAACAAUAUACAAUUGUAAAAAUCACUCACAAAUACUAGGCACCAAUAAGAGUAUGAUACAGCCAUUCUAAAUGAAAGAGAAUACAACUGUUUUACAACUAUGUCACAUCAAGAGAUAUGUUAGCAGGAUUAAUCCAGAUACCUUCGAACCCAAUUAACGAACUCGAGUCAGAAACCAGGGGCCCCCAACUAAACCUUACAAUCUUGAAGGAAGAAGGAGACUCGUGGUCCAGAUAGGUGACUUACUAGAUCUCCUGCAAAAGAGAAUAUCUAUUGCUUUGAACCUCCAUUGAAAUUUUUUUUUCCCUUUUUCUUGUUUUGACUUGGAACUUUCCAACAUCAUCUAUUUGAUCUUUUUUGAAGGUAAAAUAGCAAUCUAUAGGUUGCCAACAUGUUAUUCUGCCAAACCCCACCCCACCCCCCCGGGGGACAACAAAUCGACCUAGCACACACCUUUCUUCAUUGCCCACACCUACAGAACUAUAAUAAAAAGACUACGUUACUAUUGGGGUAGAGAAAAUAUACAGACUGUAUUAUUAUUACAUCGCAUUUUACUAAUUAACUAGUGCAAGACUUCUUUAGUGUCAAAUCAAGAACUAAUUAGAAAAGACAACUCAUGAUAAUACAGACCUUAAUAAGCAAUUGCUAACAACAUCCCAUAUACUCCUAUUUUAGCCUUCAUUAUCCUGGUAAAAACACAAAUAAGUCUUGCAAACGAACAUUUAUAAGUAAAUUCAACAUUAAUUAAGAUUAGGUAUCUACUGCACCUAAUAGCAUGGUCAACCAUCCAGUUCCUGUAGCCUUCCAUGUACCUAUGUUAGUUACAUUUUACAUAUUAAGCCACGAAAACGAAGAAUCACAGCCUGGUAAAGAAAGACAUUAAUUAAUAGUUUUUGUUUAAAAAGUUCUCCUUUAGAUCUUUCCUAUUCAAUGAAUCAAUGUAAUCUAAAGAGAAUUCUUCCAUUUCAAACAGUGUUAGAAGGUAUUUGCAAAGCCUAAAGAUAAUAUACAAGGACCAAGAUAUACACAGAUGGUUUCUUUAUGGAAUUAAAGAGCUUUAUAGAUGUUAAAACUGUUUCAAACAAUUUUUCUUGUUUGGUUUAACUAAGGAAAAGCUUGUGGAAGAUUAAAAAUGAUGUUUCCUAUUCUCUGUAGGAAACUUUUAGGAGAUUUUUUGGGCUUUUUUGAAAGGUUGAAUUGUCAAAAAUACCUUGAUGUUAUUGUUUGCUAAAAGAUGUUACGGACAUCUAAACAACCAACAACAUUUUGUUAAAAGCUCUACUAGUGUAGGAUCUACUUAAAGAAGCUAUACCAAACAGACUCUUAGACUGAAUAACUCGAUCUUAAGUUUGUAAAAUUGGGCUCAGAAUCUCCACUAACAACCCCGCUUCGGUGAGAAAGCCCAAGCCUGUUACUUUGUAUAACCUUAUUCUGUAUGUUUGAUUGCAGGAACUGGCCGAUCAUACCGACGAGGUGAGUGUGCAACAUGAGGUGCUUGACGGGAUGUUUACUUUCUAUGAUACAACUAAAGCUAGCCUCAACAUAUAUCAGGUGCCUGCUUGUUUUUACCUUCUAGAUACUAAUAUUGUUUAGACGUGUAAUCUCUCUCUCCAUUGAACGCUAGACGGCUCGUCUCAAGCCUUCUACGUACUUCAGAGUCCUUCACUAGCUUUUUAUGUAUAAAGUUUUGAUCUUUUUCCUUCAUUUGCUUGAAGCUCAUUACUGCAGAUUUUUUUUACAGGUUGGUAGUGUAACAUUCGACUUGCUGUUGCUUCUAGUCUUGGGAUCGUAUUUAAUUGUGCUUUUCAGCUUUCUUGUCAUAACAACUAGGGUAUCACUCUUUCUCCAUAUCAAGCUUGAAGUUCUAAAUUUCAGUUUUAUCUUUUAUUUGAUGUUUUAUAAUUUCAUUGCAAACAGAUUAGAAUAGAAACUUCAAAAGUUCCAACUGACUAGUCCCGUGUAACUUUUUCAGGGAAGAUUUUCUCUCAUAACAACUACGAACGUGUUAUGGUUUAGCCCAGUGACACAAAGGACAGUUUUCAACAAUUGAUCCUAGGAAGAUGCCCAUAGCUUGUUGUGCCAAAAAUAGAAAAUCUAAGAUGCGAAAAAAUUUUGUUGAGAUUCAUUUUUCAUCCUGAUGUUACCGCUGGCCUUUUUUUUUUUUUUUUUUGGCAGAGAAUAAUGCUUAUGUGAUUUCUGAACUUGGUGAUUGUUGAAAUGAGCUGAAAAUGAGCUGGAAAUGUGUUUGGUUAAUGAGAAAGAGAGCAAGAAAAUGAAAGAAAUCUAUUUCACUUUUUAUUUAUCAGCAUGAUUACAUUCACAAUGAAUCUAAGCUGCUAUUUAUACUUAAAUGACUACACACGAGAAUCUUCUUGCUAGAUACUUCUAGAAACUCUACACGCACACUCACACUGAGCUAGUGGUUACCAAAACCGUUACAACGAUAUUGCCAGCUCAGCAUAACCAACUUAUAACUAACACACUCAGCUGCAGGGGAAACCAUCAAGCUUACUGUGCGUCCUCUGUAAUCAAGCUUCUUUAAGCAUGCUCUGCAGAUCAUACGUCUGAAUUAUCGAAACAAGAUGAAUUAUUUUUUGUUUAUUGCAGCAGGCGAUCAAUGAGCGGAAUUUCUAGCUUGUAUUCAAUUCGCGAACACAGUUUGAGAAGAAUCAGACCAUUAAUUUUCUUUUGAGCCAAUCAACAGAAUGUACAUUUCUUCUAAGAACUUGUAACCGAAACCGCAGUUUUUCAGGUUUGAUGCAUCUGGGAAAAUUGUCAGAUGGAAUAAAACCACCAUGCGCCAAGGUACCAAUGAUGUUUCUUCCAGCUUAUGAGCACUUCAAAUAAACUUAGGUCAUAUUUACACAAGGGCGCACAUGAUAUCAAUCUAAUGGCAAUUAUAUCAUCUAAAAUCCAAAACCAAGAGUCUCCCAUUUUCCCGCCCUCUACUCUGUUCGUAUUAUCAUAACUUGAAGAUUGCAAGGCAGCCGCAAUCUCCCAGAUCUUUGCUCCUUCCUCAUAGCAGUUAGUCAAACGAUAAACAGAGAUAUCCCAUGUCAACAAGAAGGUAAUCAUAAAAGAACAACAGAAUUGUUGCAAUAUAUUCAUAUGAAAUGUAAAACAAUUUUGAGAAAAAAUAUUGGGAAGAUGAUUUUUUUUUUCAUAGAAGUUGCAAUCUUUACGUUAUAUGCUAGUUUGACUAUGCUAUAUAAGGAAGCUAUAUGAAAUUAGAAAAAUAAGCUAUACUAGGAAAGAAUAAAUAUAUGUACAGAAAAUGAGGCUAUAAUCCCUGACUUUCAACAAAUUUAAUAUCAAUUUUCUUCUGGAAGUUGUCUCAAAUGGGGUGCAUCAGUAUUGUAACAUACUGUGAGAUGCUUAAACUCAACAAUAUAAGCAUGGUAAAUUAGAGAAAAAUGAUGCAAUUUUACCUUCCCAUUCAUGUAUGCCAAGGCUUUUUGGGCUUCCUCUUCUGUACUGAAAGUCACAUACCCGUAACCUUUUGAUCUAUUCUUACCUUUAUCCAUUAUUAUUGUAGCUGCAAAAAGAAAAGAACCGGAUAUUACAAAAUAGUGAAAGGGAAGAGGGGUUGAGACUUAAAACAGAAAUAGACCAAACCCUCAGUGACUUGGCCAAAUUGUGAAAAAGCAUCAGCUAACAUCUCUUUAGUGGUCGAGAAAGAUACGCCUGCAAAGAAUGCCAGUUAAUUUUAUCAUAAUUAGAUGGUAAGAUUGCAAAUUCUGCAGCCAAAGGUGGUACGGAACUGAAUGAAGGAAAUCAAAUAUGAAUAUGUUUUCAAUCUUAAAAUAUUAAGAGUAGCAUAAGUAACUUGUGAAACAGUUAUAAGUUCAAGGGAAUUAGAUGAUGGCAUGGUUGAAUUUUAUAAAUAUUUGAUAUUUUGGACCGAACAGGGCAAACAGAUGGAUCCAGAUAAUCAAGAAAAACAUCAAUUCCAUGCAGCCAAAUUAGUGUGGGCAAUGCAAUUGAGCAACACUAUAAAAUUAUUCAAAGAAAUCUCUAGGUCAGUAUCCAAAUAUAUGGCUCCGUCCGUUCCACCACCACAACCAAAAAAAUCAGAUCCCCCCAUUUGGAUUCGAUUGAUUAAUUUGAGCAUAAAAAAUCGGGUUUUAAACUUCCCUAAGCAAAAUUUAUAUUCCACAGAAUCAGUUCCUUUAACAUGAUGCAUUACAUAAUAUUUUGUUUGCAAAAUAAAGAAGAAAGAUGACAUAAUAGAAACACUCACAGAGAGAGAAUACCUUUGACGAAAAGCUUAGAAGUGAAUCCUCUGUAAAAUACGAGUUGAGCUGCUGAAUUUUUCGAGUUUGAAUGAGAGACUGCGGCAAUUCUGAAAAUGUUUUUUUCUCAUUAGCGCCGCCAUUUUUGUAAUAGAGGGUAAAGAAAUAAGUAACAAAGUAAGAGGUGAGCAGAAGCGGCCCAAUUUAGUUAUAUGCCAUGCAUGCGAUCAAAAUUGAAUGGUUAAAUGGCAGCCACUAUGUUACAUCUUGUGUAAGUAACAAACCGCCUACAUGGAUCGUUGGAUUUGGGAAUAUGAAAUCCAAUGGAUAAUAUUGAAUUUAACGAAAAAUAGAUUACAGGUUGCAUUAGUCCAAGUUUAUUUCAAACAAACCAGCUGAUGAAAUAGCCGCUAAUCGAAUUUAAAAGGGAAAAAAAAUCAAAUUAUAGGUUAUAGAUCUUAUUUCCAUCUUAAAUCUAUGUCUUUCAUGGUGACUCAAUGUGUAUACUAAUUUAUAAUUUGGAUCUAUAUUAGAGGCUUAGAGCCAAUGCUUCCCUAAAUAACUAAGAAAAUUUUCUUUUCAUUGAUUAAAUAUUUAUUUCCAAUAUCUUGUAUAUGUAGGAUUUGAAAAGAGGGAAAAUAGUAGGGAUGAUGAUGAGAGAAGAUAAAGAUGUCGAUUCUCAAAUCUAAUAUUAAUGCUAUACUUAUAUUCCUAUAGUAAAUAAAUUAUCCAAGGUUCGUGGUUAAUGAUACGUUGCGAAAUUUUAACUGUCUAAUAUGGCUUUUCAUAAAGCUUAGAGAAAAGUAGGGCUUUUACAAAAAAAAAAAUUUAAUUAGAAUUGUCAAUGAUAAAUUUUAAAAAGUACUUUAAUAAAUAAGCUUUUAAAAUUAUAUAUAUUAUGAAAGAAAUGAAAUAAGAUUAUAUAAUAAAUUAAGAGUAUCUUAGAUAAUUGAACUUUAAAAAUAAAACUUGCUAAGAGGUUUAAAAUUUGAGUUUUUAAUAGUGGAUACAAAAUAGUUUAUUUAAUUCUCAAAAGUACUAUUCAAAAUACAACCAUGUAACACAAAAAUUUUUAAUAAGUUUUUUGGACUAGUUAAGUACUUUUUUUGAAAAAAAAUAUAUUUUUUUCAUUGAGUAAAUAAUACUAAACAUGCACUAAAGUGUUAGGACCAGAAGUUGUACAAAUAAAACCAUGAAAUUAUAUGUUGUUGGAUGGAUAUUUUUCAAAUUUGCUGUAGUUUUUUUUUUUUAAUUUUCUGCUGGGAAAUUGAAAUGAUGGCUACAACUUAAAUUAUGAAUGGAGUAAUCGGAGAAUAUUGAAACCCAUUUAAUUUGGAUCGUGCAUUGAGGGACGAAAGGAUAAAAAAUUUAAUUUUGAAAUUGCUGUUGGGUACGGUACAAUGACUUACCGUUGACAGCUUUUGCAACCGGAUUACAAUCGGUUAGUUCAAUAAUUUUAUAUCCCUAUUUAACCGCCACGUGCUGCUGUUACAUGGGUCAAUUAAUCAUGUCUUUACCGAUACUUACAACUGCUGGUUAAAUUCUGUUGUUUCCAAUAAUUUUAUGCUGUAUCUUCUUUAAUAAUAAAGAAAACUUGCAUUAAAAUUAAAAUUAGGGUAAUACCUGAUUUUAUAAAUAGAUUGCAAUGUAAUUUUGAAAAAUAAAACAAUAAUUUACAAAAUGUUUAUAACAUAAUUUUAAUUUUUUUCAAAAAGGAAAAACAACAAAAGUAAGAAAUAGAGAAUAAGGGCUACCAACUUUGUAUCUUAAACGGCCGUUAAAUUAUUUGUAAAUGAAAGCAACGGUCAGAUAUUGGUGGAUUAUGGAAACAUGUAAUCAUAAGGACUACGAGUUUUUUUUGUUACAUUGAUAUAUUACAAUUAAAAUUCUAUUGGUAUUUACAACUAGAAUUUCAUCUGACUAUCUUUGAUAAUUCUAAACUAGUACAGCCCAAAUUCUUAUUCUCAUAUAAUAUCAAAGAUAGAUAUAUAUUCUUUUCCUCCAUUAAUAACGAGACAUUUUUACUUCUAUCCAAUUUAAAUAGAACAAGAAUUAAGUCAUUUUAAUAGUUAGGACUCAGAACUCAUACACACUAGUUUGAGAGUGUGGGGUGUGACAAUGGGCCAAGAGACCAUUGACAAGUACAAAAGAGUGGUAGAAAUUAAUUCAAACCGCUACACACGCUAUUGCAACCAAAUUGAGGGCCCAUUUUUGUUUAUUUCGUUGAAAAGUAGUCUGUAAAAUUAACUCAAACCGCUACAUACGCUAUUGCAACCCAAUUGAGGGCCCAUUUUUGUUUAUUUUGUUGAAAAGCAGUUUGCGCAAUUAAUUCAAACUGCUACACACGCUAUUGCAUCUUUUGAAAAAGAAAAAUGGAAUAGUUUUUCAAAAUUAGUUUAGAGAAUAAGAUUUACUAAUAAUGAUGUUAGAAAUCUUAAUAUUUGAAUCUUAAUAUUAUCUAUCACUCGUUUAUUAAAUAAUAGAUUUCAUAGUUUGUAAAAUUACUUAACCACUUGAUAAAUGUUAUAUUUGUUGGGACUAGAUUGGGACUUAAAUAUUGGAAUAUCUAGUAUUGCAUAAAAAAAAAAAAACUUAACAAUUUAUCUUCACACGACUAAUUGUUUUUACAUCACAACUAACCUUAAUUAUUUUAAAAGUUAUAGUAUUAUUAAAUUGCCCUAACUAGUUAUCAAAAGGUGAAAGCAUGUUUAAAAAAGAAAUUACUAAGAAACAUUUGUUUAAACGAAGGUUAAGGUUAUGAUCAAUUAAUUAAGAAGAAACUUACUAUCAAAGGUUAAGAUUAUGAACAAUUUAAGGAAGUUAUUGAGUAGAGAAAGGGACAGAAUGGUUGUCUGAUUUGUCGGUGACAAGAAUGCUUGUGUUGUGAAAAGAAAGCCGAUGGUUUGUAAAUUUGUUGAAUUGGUCCCAAUUAGUAUAGUAACCAUCUAUUGAGCGGUAAAAUAUUAAUUUAAAUAGUCAUGAAAUCUAAUAUAUAAUAGAUUACUAACACACAUAAAUUAAAACUUAAUUGUCAGAAAUCAUAACAUUAUUCUAAGCUUCAGUGGAGUUCUCUUAACAGAUUAUGUGAGAUUGCCUAUAUUAAAAAUAUGUUGAGACUGCUUGUUGAAAGCAAUAUUCGCUUUUCCAUUAUAUCCAUAACUUUGAAUUGAUAAAGUUGUAUUCAGCAGCUCUUGAAAAGACUAAUUUAUUUUAACUAGUCAUAGAAAUAAGAGAGAAAAGGGGCUAUUUCUUGACUCAAAGUCAAUUAUAAUUAUCAAAACUUGAGGGGACAUCGCAUGCCUAAAUUCCACGCACCCUAAUACGGUUUGAUUUGCUUUCACGCGUUCAUGAAUUUCCAUGAAAGAGCCUGCCUUUCGUCUCUUUCGGGACAGUGACUACAAUAAUGGAAAAAAUUAUAAUUCUCGUUAGAUUGUAACCAAAUUAUUAUCCCUAAUUUUUUUAAGUUACAUAUAAUAAAAUUCAUGCUUAAGUAUUUAGUAAUUAGAGAGAGAUAGAGAGGAUUGAGGGCCAAUGUUUCGCGAUUUGGGGUCAAUUCAAAGUCAACUAACGUGAAAAACACGUGUAUGCAUAGAAAACGCUUAGAUUAUUUGUGUUCCAAGUGCAAGAAAUUAAGAAAAGAAAAAUUGAUUUCCUUUCAUGAACUUCCAAGAAAGAAAGAAGACCCUUCACCUUCUUCGUUACAACAAAUGAAUGAAUGAUGUUGAUAUGACAAAUACAAGCGCUAUUACAGGGAACAACAUAAGACUGAGACUUGAUAAAGUGUUUGUUAAAUUACAUGUUAUUUUCUUUUAACUUGAAUGAUGUUGAAAAUAAAAUAAAAUAAAAUUGUAAUCAGGGUGAUGUGUGGAAUAUAGUGAAAUAAAUAAAUAGAGAAGAGAAAUUUGUUGAUCAAUAUUAAAGACACAUCCAAAGUGAUCGUCAAAGUCUAGAGGUUCGGUAUGAUUAGCAUUUAUUUUAUUUUUUUUGGCUUAGCAUCAUAUAUAGUCACCUGUCGUGUGAUCUAGGACAGGUUUAGAAAUCCUUUUAUUUUAACUUCUGUAUUCUUAUUAUUUAAUUAGUUAUAGGGUUUUUAAGUAUUUGAGUAUUGAUCACAUGUCUCCUAAUCUAAAAAUAUGUUUUUACGAGUACAAAUAACAAACUAGGAUUUUAACAGCCUUUUAUACUAAACCCUAAAAAUACAUGAAUUUAUCAAAAUAAGUAAAUUAAUUUAAAUUAGUAUGGCAUAGUAGAAGUUUUACCUGCCGAAACAAAUUAAAAAAAUAUUACACUUAAAUCAAAUAUUGACAAAAAUAGAUAACAAUCUAAUGAGAAUCUUAACUAGACAUUUUUACUUCUAUCCAAUUUAACUGGAAUGAGAAUUAAGUCAUGUCAAUAGUUAGGACUCAUAACUCAUACACACUAAUUUGAGAGUGUGGGGUGUGACAAUGGGUCAAAAGACCAUUGACAAGUAUAAAAGAGUGGUCGUAAUUAAUUCAAACCGCUACACACGCUAUAUUGAGGGCCCACUUUUGUUUAUUUCGUUGAAAAGUAGUUUUCACAAUUAAUUCAAACUGCUACACAUGCUAUUGCGUUUUUUUUUUUUUUUUUUUUUUUGAAGGGAAGCAAUUUCAUUAAACCAAAACGAAUUACAGACUAUGUAAUAACCACAAAGGUGGAACGAAAUUCCACUCUUGGGGACCUGACAUAGAACCUACUGCCCUUGCAACAGAGUGAGCAGCCAGGUUCGUAGACCGACGUACAAACGAGAAUUGUACUUCUCCUAAAGACUUAGCUAAAGCUCGACAUUCAUCAACUAUUAAACCAAAACCGUUAGGCCCUGAAAACUCCUCAACUAGAGCUUGAAAUACUUGUAAACAAUCAGUUUCAACAAUGACACAAGGAAAUUGUAAGCCUUUAAGCCAACUAAGGGCCUCCCGAAUACCAAGAGCUUCAGCCUCCCUUGCUCCAAAAUUCCCAGCCAUUCCAGCACAUCUUGCUGUUAAGAAAACACCCUCUGAAUUUCGAAGCACACACCCAAAACCAAUAUUUCCCUGAGAUGAAAAGAUAGCAGCGUCAACAUUACGUUUGACCCAACCAAACUUUGGCCUCUCCCAACAUAUUGCCCCAUGGACCAGCUUAUGGACAUCAGUAUCAGCAUAGAAUUGUUGCUUCUUUGCUGCUUGCCACUGAUAGAGAAGUUGCCCAGCAGAAUUGAGCACUUGAUUCACUGAACCAGUUUUGUUAUUCCAUACUUUGUCAUUCCGAUUAAUCCAAACUCUCCAGCAGAUCAUCAUGGCAACAUGGCAUUCUUCUUUGCUGCAGCGUGUAAAGAUGUGAUCAAGCCACUCUAAGAAAGAAUAACAAUGGCCAACAAAACCCACAGAGGAAGAAAUCCAGCAAGCCUUAGCAACAUUACACUCAACCAACGAAUGGAGAAUAGUUUCAUCAGAAGCAAGACACACAGCACAAGUAGGGGGGAUAUUCACCCUCUUAGAAAUUAAAUUAACUGCAGUAGGCAGCACAUUAGUUGCCGCUCGCCAAACAAAAUUCUUAACCUUAUUCGGCACAUUCAAGUUCCAUAGUUUUCGCCACACAUCUGUGAAAGGGCCAGGGGUAAGAGAAUGUAAAACGUUAUAACAGCUACGGACUGAAUAGCAUCCGCGAGAAUCAGCCAACCAAUACCACACAUCAUCAUUUCGGCGGGAACUAAGGGGAAUUUGAAGAAUCAACUCCUUGUCUCUUGCGUUGAAAAGAUCCAAAACAAGAUCAUAAUCCCAAGCUCGUUGAUUAGGCACCAGUAAACUACUAACAGGAGCUGCAGCAAGCUCGGCAUGGAGAUUAGAAGGAACAAAUCCAUUAUUAGUAUCAGGAAGCCACGGAUCCUUACCAAUGAAGAUCGAAUUUCCACAGCCAACUUGCAGUCUACUCCCUUGAAUUACCACAUCCUUUGCAGCCAAAAUAGAGCGCCACAUAUAGCUAGGAUUAUGCCCCGCAGAAGCUUGAAGAACAGAGGUGCGCGGAUGGUAGCGAGCUUUAAUUAUCUUGGCCACAAGAGAUUCCGGACAAGUUAACAGCUUCCACAUUUCCUUUCCUAACAUCGCUAUAUUGAAUAAAUGAAGUUGUUUAAAACCAAGGCCACCAUAUCCUUUUGGUUUGCACAGAUUUUCCCAUUUGGACCAGUUUAAAAAAGAAAAAUGGAAUAGUUUUCCAAAAUUAAUUCAGAGAAGAAGAUUUACUAAUAAUGAUGUUAGAAAUCUUAAUAUUAUGUAUCACUCAUUUAUUAAAUAAUAGAUUUCAUAGUUUGUAAAUUUACUUAACCACUUGAUAAAUGUUAUAUUUGUUUGAAUUGAUCCAAUAGCUCUUGAAAAGCACAUAAUAAUCAUUAUAAAUUUAAUCAAAGACUAAGCAGGUCUUCUUUGCAUUUGAUCACUGGCAUUUCAGUUAAGUUUGUCAUUUAUUUAAAUUUUUCUUGCUUUCAAUUUCCACUGUUGUUUUUUUUAAUAAAAUAAUUUAUUUAAACUAGUCAUAGAAAUAAGAGAGAAAGGGCGCCAUUUCUUGACUCAAAGUCAAUUAUAAUUAUCAAAACUUGAGCGGACAUUGCAUGCCUAAAUUCCACGCACCCUAAAACGGUUUGAUUUGCUUUCACGCGUUCAUGAUUUUGCAUGAAAGAGAGUGCCUCUCGUCUCUUUCCGGACAGUGACUGCAAUUAUGUUAACGUGACGAAUACAAAACGUUAUUACAUACAAGAAUAAGUUUUUGGAGCCGAUACUUGAGGGAGGUUCUAUCUAAUUCUAAAGAUUGUAACCAAAUCAUUAUCCCUAAUUUUUUUAAGUUAAAUAAAAUAAAAUUCAUGCUUAAGUAUAAAUAAUUUUUUUAAGUUAAAUAUAAAAUAAAAUUCAUGAACUUCCUAGAAAGAAAGAAGACCCUUCACCUUCUUCGCGACAACAAAUGAUGUUGACAUGACAAAUACAAGCUCUAUUACAGGGAACAGCAUGAGACCGAGACUUGAUAAAUAUUAAAUAUAUAAAAUAAGUGGAGCAAACGAACAGAAUAAUAGAUUUUUAUAAUAUUCUUCAUAAAAAUCCAAGUUUUGAGCUGGCCUAUAAGCUUAUCUAGUGAAGUCUGGGUAUCCGCGUUGCCCAAGGUUCCGUUUGAAUCCAGGCCGUGUAGAUGUUUAAGACAUCGCAUAUGGACGGAGUGGAAAUAUUUUCAGUUGACUGAAUUAAAUAAAAAUAUAUUACAAUCAUAUUAUAUAUUAGCAGCAAAAAUAAAAAGAAAUGAAGAAAAACGCAUGCAAGACUUAGACAAGUCAAUUAAAAGCUGGGAGUAUCAUCAGUUCAAUUGAUUAUAAAUAGCGUAGAGCCAUCCUCUCGUUGUUGCAGAACUGAAGCAAAGAGACUCAGAAAGAGUGUGUGUAGGUGAUUAUAAUUAAGAAGAUAUAAUGUGUGGUUCAAAAAGAGUGUGGGUGAGUGAGUUAAUUUUCAUAUUAUUAGUAGUAAAAGGGUGGUGGAGUGAGGGAUGUUUGGAGCAAGAGAGGUCUGCUCUCCUACAACUCAGACAUUUCUUCAAUGAUGAUCAACUUCUUCAAAACUGGGUAGACGAUGAGUAUUAUUCAGAUUGUUGUCAGUGGGAACGGGUUGAGUGCAACGACACCACUGGAAGAGUGAUUGAAUUACAACUACUAGAAACUCGAAAACAGGGAUCAGCAGAGUGGUAUAUGAAUGCCUCUCUGUUUACUCCAUUUCAACAAUUAGAGUCUCUUGAUUUAAUGGGGAACAAUAUAGCCGGUUGUGUUGAAAAUGAAGGUCCUUAAUUUACUCUAUUUUAAUUCUUCCUCGUAAUUUCUUACAUUUAUCUGAUCCCUUUUGAUUUUUGUUUAAUUUAUUCGUGAUACAAUAAAAUUACUUUUUAUUUUUUGUCAGGUCUAGAUAGGUUAUCAAGGUUGAACAACUUGAAGUUUCUUUACUUAAACCUUAACCACUUCAACAACAGCAUCUUUUCAUCCAUAGGUGGUCUUUCAUCACUCAGACGCUUAUCAUUGGCUAGUAAUGAAUUGAAUGGAAGUAUUGAUAUUAAAGGUAAGCAAGCUUCAUCCCUUCUCCCGUGUCCCAUCUUUUGUGGAUCUUAUUUUAUUGACCGGCUGGAAGUAUUGAUAUAAGAUCUGGCUAGACUCUUGCUAGUUUAAGCUUCAAGGAUUUAAAUAUUAUAAAAAUAGGUUUAAGAAAUUAUCAAUAUAUGCAAUUUUCAAUGCUUCUCAUAAUCAGACACAAUUCAAUCUAAUUAUUUUGUAUGUCCUGUCUUCAAAAGUAAAGAAUUGUACACUAAAUGGAAAUCGACAUCGUAGCUUUUUAUUUUUUCUAAUGCUCUUUUUUCGUUAACGAGUUUAUAUCCUAAGAGGGAUUGGAUUGAAAAAAAAAAAAGUUUUGAUGUUCAAGGUAGGCCAUAAUAACCCGCAUCUUAUUUGUCUGCCUGUAUCUAAAUUUGUGCACUGAAUUUAGUAUUUUGGUUAUUGUGAAGGGAUCAGAUAUUGGCUUCCAUAGACCAACUUGUAUUUAGUUAAUUAAUUAAUUAACGACAUUUAAUAUUUAACAAAUUAAAAUUUCGUGUUUAAUCUAUUUUAAUUUUUUUAAGAAAAAAGAAAAAGAUAUAGCAAUAGGUAAAGCUAAAAUAAAUUUUAAUUCCUUACAAAUUUAAAUUCAUGGUUGUCAGCUAAAUAUACUUACUUAAAGCCACUCAGUCGAGCCCUUUGAGAGCUGCUUUAAAUUUUUAGCCAUAUUCUUUUCUUAUUAAUAAAAUUCUUUUCGCUGAGAUUUAACAUAAAAAAAGGAGAAAAUAAGUUAUUUAAUUAACUCUGUUUUAAGUGUUGGAAUAAAUACAGGACUGGAAUCCUUGAGUAACUUGGAGGAGCUGGGCAUGAGCGACAAUGCAAUCGACAAUCUAGUGGUUCCUAAAGGUAUACAAAAUGUUCAAAUAUUAAUAAUUUGGAGGACAGUUUAAUUGAUUUGAUUAGGGAAUGCCCAAUGACACUUACCCAAAAUAAUUUAAUCCGAAAUUGUAUCCCAAAUAGAUUACAGAGGUUUGAGGUAGUUGAAUACCUUUUAUUUGGGGAGGGGGGGGGGGGGGAGGGAGGGAAAUUGCAGUGAUAUAUGGAAGCAAGGUGUUGCAAUAAAUAAAGAAAUUCGUUGGUCAAUAUUCAAGGACUCAUCCAAAGUAAUCGUUAAAGUCUAAAGGUCUGCUCUCCUCCAACUCAAACAUUUCUUCAAUGAUGAGAAUUAUUCAGAUUGUUGUCAGUGGGAAGGGGUUGAGUGCAACAACACCACUGGCAGAGUGAUUAAAUUAGAUCUAGGAGCCACUAGAAAUCGGGAAUCAGCAGAGUGGCAUAUGAAUGCUUCUCUGUUUUCUCCAUUUCAACAAUUAGAAUCUCUUGAUUUAACUGGGAACAAUAUAGCCGUUUGUGUUGAAAAUGAAGGUCCUCAAUUUACUCUACUCUAAUUCUCCCUCGUAAUUUCUAGCAUUUAUCUGAUCCCUUUUAGCUUGUGUUUAAUUUGUACGUGAUACAAUAAAAUUAGGUUUUAUUUUUUAUUUUUUAUUUUUUGGCAGGUCUAGAUAAGUUAUCAAGGUUGAACAACUUGAAGUCUCUUUAUUUAGACUUUAACCACUUCAACAACAGCAUCUUUUCAUCUCUAGGUGAUCUUUCAUCACUCAAACACUUUUCAUUGGCUGGUAAUGAAUUGAAUGGAAGUAUUGAUAUUGAAGGUGAGUAAGCUUCAUCCCUUCUCCCGUGUCCCAUCUUUUGUGGAUCUUAUUUCAUUGAGCAGCUGGAGGUACUGAUGUUAGAUCUAGCUAGACUCUUGCUAGUUUAGGCUUCAAGGCUUCGAUUACUAUAAAAAUAGGUGUAAGAAAUCAUCAAUACAUGCAAUUUUCAGUGCUUCUCAAAAUCAGACACAGUUUAGUCUAAUUAUUUUGUAUGUCCCGUCUUUAAAAGUAAAGAAUUGUAUUGUAAUUGGAAAUCGACAACGUAGCUUUUCAUUUUCUGUAAUGCUCUUUCUUCGUUAACAAGUUUAUAUCUUAAGAGAGAUUGGAUUCGGAAAAAGUUUUCACGCUCAAGGUAAGCCAUAAUAACUUCUUUCUUCGUUAACAAGUUCAUUAGUUCAAUUGGCAACUGUUUUUUAAGUUUUUCUGGUUAGCCGUAUACUUUUUUGCUUAUUAAUAAAAUUCUUUUGCGCCGAGAUUUAAAAAUAAAGGAGGAGAAAAUAAGUUAUUUAAUUAACCUUGUUUUAAGUGUUGGCAUAAAUACAGGACUGGAUUCCUUGAGUAACUUGGAGGUGCUGGACAUGAGCUUCAAUGCAAUCGACAAUCUUGUGGUUCCUAAAGGUAUACAAAAUGUUCAAAUAUUAAUAAUUUGGAGGACAAUUUAAUAGAUUUGAUUAGGGAAUGCCCAAUGACACUUAUCCAAAAUAAUUUAAUCCGAAAUUGUAUCCCAAAUAGAUUACAGAGGCUUGAGGAAGUUGAAUACCCUUGUCUUAGGGGGAACGGAAAUUGCAAUGAUAGAUGGAAGUAAGGCGUUGCAAUCAAUAGGAUCACUACUGUCCCUCAAAACACUUUACCUUUUGUAUACUAAUUUUACAGGAACAGUAGUUAAUCAAGGUAAGUAAAUCUUUUAUGUCGAAAAUAAUUGAAUUAAUAUAUAUAGCUAAAAUUUAUUGUUUCUAUUUCUUUCUAAAUAGAAUUACACAAUUUCACCAACUUGGAAGAAUUGAUAUUGGUCGAGUCUGAUCUCCAUGUAAGCCAGCUUCUGCAAAGCAUCGCAUCAUUCACUUCGUUAAAGUAUUUGUCAAUGCAAGUUAGUGUACUCAAGGGUGCCCUGCAUGGUCAAGGUAAAUUACGGGUAUCUGAAGCUUUUGUGAUAUUAAUUCGAUAAUGAUUCUUUCUUUUCAAGUUUAUUUUCUCCCGUAAAAUAAUAUUUUUUUCUUUUAAAUUUUAUAUACUUUCACUGUCCAAUAGUUCUACCUUCUCUAAAUUGUAGGAUUCUUGAUUAAGGUUAAUGAAUUUUUAGUUCUGUUAUGUUAAGAAUAUUUCGAUCGCUUAGAAGAGUAAGGAAAAAUAAGUAAAUUAACCCAAAAAAGAGAAAAGAACAGGACCGGAUUAUCCUUAUUCCCUUGCAUUAUGUGAUCAAUAUCAAAAUUAUAACCAUUUCUUGUUUAUUGCUUGUAGAUUUUCAUAAAUUCAAGAAUUUGGAACAUCUGGACAUGGAUUGGGUGCAGGUUAACGUCAACACCAGUUUUUUUCAAAUUGUCGGCGAAUCGAUGCCUUCUCUCAAGUUUUUAUCACUGGCAAAUUCAAGUCUUAAUAAAAACACCAUUCUUGAUCAAGGUUAAUUAAUGAUUCUCCUUCUCCCUCUCUCGCAUCAUAACUAAAUUUAAUUGAGAAUAUCUAUAAUGCUAGCUAUUUAUAAACUUAAUGAAAGUUGAUGAGGAGCCAUAUUAAUGACAAAAACAACUGUAAAAUAGUGCGCUGUUGUAGCGUUGAUUGAAAAAUAAUGCUAAUGUUUUACUUAACAACACUAUAAGUGAUCAAACUUAAUUUUUAAUGUGUACUUUAAAGAUUUUAUGCAAUUAUUUAAGUUUUAUGCAAUUAUAUUUUUCAGGACUUUGUCGGUUAGUGCAUCUGCAAGAGUUAUACAUCAGCGGUAAUGAUUUGAGAGGUAGCUUGCCAUGGUGCUUGGCAAACAUGACAUCCCUCCAAGUGUUAGAUGCCUCUUCUAAUCAACUUACUGGAAACUUUUCCCCAGGCCUUUGUGAGUUGGUGCUUCUGAGAGAGUUAUACAUUCACAACAAUGAUUUAAGAGGUAGCUUGCCUUUGUGCUUGGCAAAUUUGACUUCCCUUCGAGUAUUAGAUGUCUCUUACAAUCAACUUACUGAAAACAUCUCAUCUUCCCUCAUGCAUCUAAUAUCUAUGGAAAAGCUCAUACUUUCAAAUAAUCACUUCUUCCAAAUCCCUAUUUCACUUAAACCACUUUUCAAUCUCUCAAAACUCAAGACUUUCGAGGGUGAAAUAUGCGCAGAAACUGAGUCACAUUAUAAUUCUUUGACCCCAAAAUUCCAAUUGACUUCUAUCUCACUGUCUGGUUACAUAGAUGGUGGCACAUUUCCCAAAUUCUUGUACCAUCAGCAUGACUUGAAGAAUGCUGAUCUCUCACACCUUAACUUGAGUGGAAAUUUUCCAAAUUGGUUGGUAGAUAACAAUACGAACUUAGAGACGCUUCUUCUUGCCAACAACUCUCUUUUUGGAUCAUUUCGGAUGCCAAUUCAUUCCCACCAAAAAUUGGCAAAAUUGGAUGUCUCCAACAAUUUCUUUCAAGGCCAUAUUCCGGUGGAAAUCGAAACAUAUCUGCCAGUCUUAAUGGGUUUAAACUUAUCUAGAAAUGCUUUCAACGGUAGUAUUCCCUCUUCAUUUGCUGAUAUGAAAAUGUUGGAAAGGUUGGACAUAUCCUACAAUCAGUUGACUGGUGAAAUCCCUGAGCGCAUGGCCACGGGUUGCUUCUCAUUGGAAAUUCUUGCAUUGUCAAACAACAGUUUGCAAGGUCAUAUAUUCUCUAAAAAAUUUAACUUGACAAAUUUAUUAAGGUUGCAGUUGGAUGGUAAUAAUUUCAUUGGAGAGAUCCCAGAAAGCUUAUCUAAGUGCCGUUUGUUAGGAGGAUUAUAUCUGAGUGAUAAUCAUCUCACUGGUGAGAUUCCAAGAUGGUUGGGUAAUUUGUCAUUUUUACAAGAUAUUAUAAUGCCCAAUAACAAUCUUGAAGGGCCAAUUCCAAUCGAGUUUUGUCAGCUUGAUUCUCUGAAGAUUUUAGACCUUUCAAACAAUAGUAUUUUUGGAACUUUACCAUCUUGUUUUAGUCCAGCAUCUAUCGAACAAGUUCAUUUGUCGAAAAACAAGAUAGAAGGACGGUUGGAAAGUAUAAUCCAUGACAGCCCCAAUUUGGUGACAUUAGAUCUCAGUUAUAACCGCUUACACGGAAGUAUUCCAAAUCGGAUUGACAGACUACCUCUGUUAAGCUACCUUCUUUUAGCUAAUAAUUAUAUUGAAGGCAAAAUACCAGUUCAAUUAUGCCAGUUGAAGGAAGUGCGGUUGAUUGAUCUUUCUCAUAAUAAUCUAUCUGGUCAUAUUCCUCCUUGCUUGGUUAACACUUCACUCAGUGAAGGUCAUCAUGAGGCAAUAGCUCCAACUUCUAGUUCGCGGGAUCAAGCGUCUGCCUCUGUACUUCCAUCUGAGGCUCCAAAUGGAUCUCCGAUGGGAAAGGAAGAAACUGUACAGUUCACAACAAAGAAUAUGUCCUACUAUUAUCAAGGAAGAAUUUUGACGAGUAUGUCUGGGAUUGAUCUUUCUUGUAACAAACUGAUAGGUGAGAUUCCUCCUCAAAUUGGAUAUCUUACAAGGAUUCAUGCGCUAAAUCUAUCUCAUAACAAUUUGACGGGCACAAUCCCGACAACAUUUUCAAACCUGAAGCAAAUCGAAAGCUUGGACCUCUCCUACAACCUAUUGCAUGGGAAAAUCCCUUCUCAGCUCACUGUGCUAACUACAUUGGCGGCCUUCAGAGUAGCAUACAAUAACUUAUCAGGCAAAAUUCCGGAUAGAGUUGCACAAUUUUCAACUUUCGAGGAAGAUAGCUAUGAGGGGAAUCCUUUUCUUUGUGGAUGGCCACUGUCUAAAAGUUGCGAUGAUAAUGGAUUAACAACAGUGACAACAGAAGCUUACACUGAAAAUGAAGAAGUUGAUAGUUUAAUUGACAUGGACAGUUUCCUGAUCACUUUUACAGUAUCUUAUGGAAUUGUGAUAUUAGGAAUUAUUGGAGUUUUGUACGUAAACCCCUAUUGGCGGCGAAGUUGGUUUUACCUUGUUGAAGUAUGUAUGACCUCUUGCUACUAUUUUGCAGCAGACAAUCUUGUUCCUAGAAAAUUCUAUGGUGGAUGGAUGUAAUUUCAUUACAUUACAACUUAUAUGUAAUUUUCAAAGAAUUUUCUUUUGCAUGCAUGGAAUAGCAACUCAAUAAAAGUAUUUGAUGCAAAUUGUCCAAGAACAACUUAGUAAUUUCAUUGCUACUAUUCGGUUGUAUGUAUACAGUUAAUGAAAUUUUUAACCAUUCGCAGAAUACCCUUAGGAAUUUCUUUAGAUGGCGGCAAAAAACUAAGAGAUUCGGGGCUCUACACGGUCUGAAUGAAGAUUAACUUAAUGCCCUCAGGAUUAUGUGUAAGUUCUCUUUUAAAUUUAAGGGGUUGAGAUUUCAGGUCCGGAUGAAAGUUGAAUGCAGGUGACGAGACUUCACUGGGACAAACUUAAAAUAAAAAAUUAUAGUCCACAGUAAGAGCAAUGGGUAGCUUAACUUAUGGAAGAUAACUAGAACUUGGAAUAACUUAAAUUAGCUAUAAAAUUAAGACCAUUAUACAACUAAAAAGAAAGAAAAAUUGUUUGCUACUACAUAUCAAAACUAGUAAUAGCAAUGAAAGAUGGCAGACUUCUUACUUAAACAGAUGAGAGGCUACAAAUAAAAAAUUUGUGCAAAUAAAUAUAUGAUAAAGAGCAUAAUACUUUCUUGGGGGCUAAAAAUAAUAUACAACUUGUGAAAUAUAAAUUGAGCUACCGUUACCUUUUAGAUGUGGCAACUUUCGACUUUUGAGGCACUUUGGAAUAUGCAUUCAGAAUCCUGCAUUUGGAAGCCAAAUAAAUAAUGUUAAUAACAAUUUUACAAUAGAAAAAUUAAAAAUUGAUAAAUGGCAGUUGUAAUUUAUGUAUGUGUAAAGAUAGCAUCACAUCCAGGGUCCUCCCAUAAACAUGCUUGUAACAAGAAUUAGUUUGCCUCAACUGCUAGCAACUAUACAAUAGUAAAAAUCACUCUUAUGAACUCAACAAUACUAGGCACCAAUAAGAGUAUGAUACAGCCAUUCUAAAUGGAAGAGAAUACAACUGUUUUACAACUAUGUUGCAUCAGGAGAUAUGUUAGGAGUUUUAAUCCAGAUACCUUCCAACCCAAUUAGGAAAACUCGAGUCAGAAACCAGGAGCUGCAACCGAACCUUACAAUCUUGAAGGAAGAAGGAGACUUGGGGCAUUUUUCUAGAUAGGUGACUUACUAGAUCUACUGCCAAGAAAAUAUCUAUUGCUUUGAACCUCCAUUGAAAUUUCUUUUCCCUUUUUCUUAUUUUGACUUGGAACUUUCCAGCAUCAUCUAUUUGAUCUUUUUUAAAGCUAAAAUAGCAAUCUACGGGUUGUCAACAUCUUAUCCCCCCCCCCCCCCCCCGAGGGGCCCCCAAAAAAAAAAACAUCAAUGAGUUGUCAAUAAAUAGCGCCUACUCAACUUAUGUUCUCCAAUGGAUGACAAUGUGCAAAUCGACCUAGCAGCCACAUUUUUCCCCCCUUUCAACCACCAUUAGGCAACUUUUCUAACCUUUCUUCAUUGCCCACGUCUACAGAACUAUCAUAUAAAGACUACAAGAUAGACGCACGGUAUCUAAAUAAUUGUACCAACCCCCUCUCCUGAUUGUCAUAAAACGGCCAAUAUUUAACGCUCGACAACAAAAUUGCAAAUACUCUAGCCUCUAUAUUAUUGGCAUAUAAAUAUUUUCGGUUAGGUACAUUAUAUUCUUCGUUCUAAAACCUCAAUUAUUAGCUAGUACUGUGAUAAAAUGAUUCAUCACUGAAAUUAAAACUAGUUCACGUACAAAUAAUCAAAACUGAAAUAGAAGCAACGAUAAACCAACCUGUAUUACGUCGAUUCAUCACAACAAACUGAAAUCGAGGCUGUGUGUUCCUGAAAAUUGAAAAAAAUAAUAAUUUCACCAACUUCAUAUGUAAUACAAUCUCCAAAACACUGAAUAUCAAAUGAAAAAAUGGAAAGCAUAAGAUAGAAAAGAAUCUAAUUUUAUUGACCUUUUGACGACGACGAGAGAGCCUUCAACAUCCUUACGACUCCAUUGGCUGAGGUCGAUGUUGAACUCGUAGAAGGUGACAUGAGCGGCCGUGAUGAGGAUCUCCUCAAUGAAUGGAUCGAUUCGCUGAAGAACUGUCAGGUUCAGGAGUUUUGUGCUCUGCUGGUCCAGAUUAAGCAUCAAUUUUCCGUUAUGCGACAUUUUUCAUAGUCGUUUUGGGCUCUGCCCCGAGCACAAGCCCCAGGGUUUUUCUGUGAGCUCUCUCUUUUGUAAAUAAAGUGUUUGAUGAGAUAGCCGAGAGAGAGUGAAAGUGUUGAACAGCCAAACACGGUCUCGAGAUUGAUCUUCCUUUAACUUCUUUUAAACAUUUGGGAAAUAGCAUUUAUUUCUUUUAGUUUCUCUACUUUUUUUUUCCUUUAUGUCAUUUAGACCCCAAAAUUAGAUUUAUUAUAAUCCUAUUUUACCCAUACACUAUUAACCCCUUUUAUUUUUAAAAUUUGUCAAUAUUAAUGUGUUAGAAUAAUGUUAAAAAUCUCAAUUAUUAUCUCAAUGUUUCAAUCAUAACUAAUGUGAUGACUCAUUGGUAACUGCAACAUUAACUUAAUUAUUAAUGUAACACAAUAAAAGUUUGCCACUUCGGCAUUGGUCGGAGUGGUGGGAUGCUUGUGAGGGCAGCGGUUCAAGCCCCCACAAAAGCAUUUGUGGGGGCUAACGUUGUGGGGGCUAACGUGCUUAUUUGUUUAAUAUUUCAAAAAUUUCCUCUCCCUCGUGCAAUACGAGUGGAGUAUGGACAUCCCUCUUCUGUAAGGGAUUAUUUGUCUGGGCAUGUACUUCACAGAAUUCAAUGUAAUAAUAUAAGUCCCAAUCAUGUAUUUCUGAUUGUAAAUAUCAGUGUAAUAUAUCUGCUGUUGAUGCGAGAUUCUGGUUCUCCUCGUUCUACGACCAGGAUCUCUGCUCGAUCAACUUUACCACGACCAGGAGGUCUCCUAGUAAUGCUUCUUCUCCAGAUGUCCCUGCACACACAGACAAGUCAGAGUACGCCGGUUGUUCUCCCGGCGCAAACCCUCCGACGCUCAAGUCAGAUAUGAAGGUUCGGGGAACGCUUGCCACAGGUCUUAUGGCUUUUUCGUGGUUUUCUCUUUUAUCUUAAAAAUGCUAACCCUUUUACCUUCGUUGGCUACCUUUUUAUAGGCUUCUCCGAAUCCCCGUUUUCCGCUUUUUGCCAGACGGUAUGGGACUCUGACUGCUGCGUCAUGGGCGAAGGUGGGAUCUUGCGUGUUACGCCACGGUUCUGGGGAAAGCGUGGCUGUCGUGCCUAGAUUCUCGGGCUGGAGAGCAUGUCUUGCCAACUGCCGUCGACCGGGUCUCCUCGCUUCUCGACCUCUAGCCGGAAUGAUCUUAUGCCUCUUACAGGAAAUUGACCUCGCGGAUGACGUGCUCGUGGACGAGCAGGAUAUUUCUGCUCCUGUUCCCCCGCGCAUCAGGCUUUUACGGAACACACCGGCUCGAGGAACUCUGCCCCCAGAUAUCUGCUCACCAUGCCUGGUCUCGUCGACGUAUUUCUCCUAAACACCGGUCCCCCAGUUUCUGGUGUUGGGUAAUGUAGUGGACCAGCAGUAGAAACUCGAUAGUACUCGCUCACGUGGGACUGGAAAAGGCUGCCAAGAGUCGUGUCGCAUUUAAUUGCGGACGGGGUGACGUGGCGAAAAUCCCCCCCUCCAUUUGAAUUUCAAACCGACGGUUAUGAGGCCCUCGGGAUUCGGCGCUGUUAAAUGCUGGCAACCCAAGAGUCCGUCCCCAUUAGAAAAACCAAAUCCUCUCGAACGGCAUAUUCAUCAUCCACUACGUCUCCGUCUCUGUCUCUCCGGCAAAGAAGUUCCGGCAUAAAAGUCCUCCAUCUCUGAUUUUCACCGACUGAACCAUUACUUCAGGUAUUUCUUCUAUCUCCUUGGCCUCGGAUAGUUGUAGAUAAUUUCUCUUUUCUUCUGUUUGGGUAGUAGUUGGUGGUGUUGUGGUUAGAGCUUAGGGAAUGUCGAAAGGCAAAGAGAAGGUCAUUGAGGUUGACGACGACGAGUUGGACUUCCUGCCUAGUCUGCUCACCGACCCUGCUUUUGACCCCGGGAUUCCCUUAGAGCCCACUAGGUCUAGUGUCGGGACUAGUGCUAGGAGGAUGUCUCCCCAAACAACCUCUACGAGCGGAAGUAGUGGUGAGGAGAGAUCUUCUGACUCUGAGGAUACGUUGAGUGAGAAUGGCGAAGGUGAUUCUGGUGAGGUGUCUCCAUCUAGAACAUCACGACCAGGAGAACGGGGUACAGUAGGAGGCAGAGCCUUGUCGCGCGAUUAUGCCAUUGAUUACAUGACGUGCACGACCUCGUUUGACGAGCUCAAGGACCUCCGGCUUAGGUAUAGCAUUCCUGGUGAGAUACCUCUCAAGGUCCCAGGAAAGAAGGAUGCUCCCAGCCGGCCUCCUAGGGGAUACGUUACCCUGUUUUUAGAGAGCUUUAAGUACGGGCUGAGGUGUCCCUUGCAACCCUACUUUGCCCGGAUACUUAACGGGCUAAACCUAUCUCCUGGUCAGCUGAAUCCCAAUGGGUGGAGAGUGCUCUCUGGUCUGUUCAUAUUGUGGGACAGAUGUUGCCAGAGCGAGCCCACGGUUGAUGAGGUGAGACACCUGUACCAGCUAAAGAGCAGCCCCAAAGAUGCCGGCUGGUACUACUUCCAAUCUAGCACCAAGAGCAGGAAACCUAUAACCGACCUCCCCACUGGUGGUGGUGGGAAUUGGAAGAGAAAGUUCUUUUUUGCUGGGGGUCCUUGGGGUCAGGUUGCACAAAUGAACGGGAAGGAUUAUCGGGUCCCACCCCGUUUCACGGUCCCAGGUUGCCUGCUUGCUUUUAGAUGUCUUGUAUCCAUAAGUGUUCUUGCUUUAUUGGCUUGUCUCUAACCAAGUGUCUGUUUGUGUUGUAGUUUCUUGGGGUGUUCACUUCCCGCUCCCACCCGACCAGCUCAAACGGGUCGAGGAUGUGCUCGCCAAUUCCUGCUCGAGCCGGGAACUGUUAACUACGUACAACUUGCUCGAGUCUCGCUUGAUACUUCCUGGCCAUAGGAUGGAGGACGCUGUGAUUGGGGCUCUGACCCGAAAACGUUCUCGACCCCCAACCACGAAGAGGGACCAGAGUAAGGAUGCCCCUGUGGCAAAGCGGGCCAACAUCGUGCAGCAGGUCCCACCCUUGAAGAUUUUACCUCCUGCUCCCGUAAAAAUUGGGGAAGCUGGUGGAGCUGCCACAGAUCCUGCUUCCUCUCCUCCUCCUGUCGGGCCCCGAUCUCACUUACCUGACAGCCGAGCAGAACAUCUGGUCCUCUACUUCAAUGAGUUAACUAAACUCGUGAGCAGGAAGGAUCUGGAGGACUUUGACGGCCGCACCUUGGGUGAGUUGGUGGGGGCCAUGCAGCAUAGCGCUUUCCACCUCAGCUGCAUGACCACCUAUUACAAGGCUAAGGUUGGCCGCUAUGACCGGAAGAUGAAGGAGGAUAUUCAAUCGGCGACGACCAGAGCUGACGUUGCCGAGAAGAAAGCAGGGGAGCUGAAUCUCGAGAAUCUGAAGCUGAUGGAGCAAGAAUCACUUGCUCAAGCAAAAGCCAUCGCCCUCGAGGAGGAGCUUAUCAAGGUCAGGGAGGAUCUGCAAAGGCAGAAGACAAUGUAUGAGGCUCAGCUCGAAUCUCUUCGCGACUCCCACCGAGCUCAGGCCGAGAACUUGGAGAGGGAGGCCGACAACCAGUACGACCAGGGACUUCGGUAUUCCUAUCGUUGCAUCAUGGCCGUCCUCGGGAAGCAACACCCUGAUCUGAAGAUGGGUGACCUUGCGGCUGGUGUUGCUCAACAUAUGGACGAGGAGGCGGCCAAGGAGGAUGCCAAAGGGGUAGAGCCGAUCGUGAUAGAGGAGGAAAACUCUCCUCCUCAUGUAGUCCCUGCUGAUGUUGGCGAGGCGAGCACCCACCCCAAUGCCUCUAGUGAUACCCCUCCUGCACCUGAGGAGGUCCAGCCAACCGAUGCCGCUGGGCUCACUGAUCCACCAUCUUCUUGAUAUAUUUCUUGUAUUGUAAUGACAAUGUUUAUGAAGAUUAUUCCCUCUGUUAAUUAUUAACAAAUUAAUAAAAAUGUUUUUGAUCACCUUCUUGUGUCGUAAUUACGAAUUAAUUUUCGUUUGAGAAUCUGCUUGUCUUUGUCUAAACGAGCAGGUUCCGGCUUGGCUCAUGGUUUUGCCACAUGCCUUUGAAGAUUUUUCAAUGCUUGGGAUUCGGUUUGCCUUCGCGCAGUUGAGCAGAUCCUGGCACGCUUGGCUUCUGUCUCGCCAUAAGAUAGGCUUUGAGACUUGACGAGCCUUUGCAUGCCUUGGAUUCUUCAAAGCUCAGGAUUCUGCUGCCUUCUCGUGGCCGAGCAGAUCCUGGCAUGCUUGGCUUCUGUCUCGCCAUAAGACAGGCUUUGAGACUUGACGAGCCUUUGCAUGCCUUGGAUUCUUCAAGGGUUGGGAUUCUGCUGCCUUCUCGUGGCCGAGCAGAUCCUGGCAUGCUUGGCUUCGGUCUCGCCAUAAGACAGGCUUUGAGACUUGACGAGCCUUUGCAUGCCUUGGAUUCUUCAAGGGUUGGGAUUCUGCUGCCUUCUCGUGGCCGAGCAGAUCCUGGCACGCUUGGCUUCUGUCUCGCCAUAAGACAGGCUUUGAGACUUGAUGAGUCUUUGCAUGCCUUGGAUUCUUCAAGGGUUGGGAUUCUGCUGCCUUCUCGUGGCCGAGCAGAUCCUGGCAUGCUUGGCUUCUGUCUCGCCAUAAGACAUGCUUUGAGACUUGACGAGCCUUUGCAUGCCUUGGAUAAUUUCUUGGUUUCAAGCGUAAAAUUGCUUCAUUAAUGGCAGGAUUCGACUUACAUAAAAUUGUUUGGGACAUAAAGCGUAAAAGAUAAACGAUAAUGAGCAUGAGCAGAAAUAGCUCUCAAAUGUGAACAAAUCUUACUGGAAGUAUUUUCGGAGGUGUGCUGCGUUCCAUGGGCGUUUCACCUCGUGGCCGUCCGCGCGAACCAGCCUGUAAGCUCCGGGUCCCGCUAUCUGCUUGACUCUAUAUGGCCCUUCCCAAUUCGGUCCCAGCACUCCUUGAGUCGAAUCUUUGGUGCUCUGAUUCACUCUUCUCAGUACCCAGUCUCCGACCCUGAAUUGCCGUAUGUUCACCUUCUGGUUAUAAUACCGAGCAACCCUCUGUUGGUAAGUGACUGAUCGCUCGGCUGCUUGCUCCCUCCUUUCCGUCAGCAGAUCAAGAUUCAAACAUAUCUGCUCGUCGUUCUCCUGCUCAUUGAAAUGAUCUGUCCGGUGUGUGGUCGUUCCUAUCUCAGCCGGCACGACCGCUUCGUGUCCGAAAGCCAAAGCGAACGGUGUCUCCCCCGUUGCGGUUUUGUGGGUUGUUCUGUAUGCCCAUAGCACACCUGACAGCUCGUCAACCCACGCACCCUUUUUUGCACCAAGCCUGGUUUUCAAAAGCCUCUUGAUGGUCUUGUUGGCUGCUUCUACUUGUCCAUUCGAUUGAGGGUGAGCAGGCGAGCAAUACUUCAGCUCUAUCCCGAGGUUCUGGCAGAAAUCCCUGAAGCUGUGAUUAUCGAACUGCCUGCCAUUAUCCGUUACCAAGGCAUAAGGGAUCCCGUAUCGACAGACCAGGUUUCUCCACACGAAGUCUGUUGUUUUCUUCUCCGUGAUCCUGCUAAGGGCUUCCACCUCUAUCCACUUCGUGAAGUAAUCUAUAGCAACUAUUGCAUGUGUUGCUGCUCCUCGUCCUUUUGGCAAUGGGCCGAUCAGAUCAAUUCCCCAUUGAGCAAACGGCCAAGGGGAGGCCAUAGAGGUGAGCUUCUCUGGUGAUUGGUUGGAGAAAUUUACAAAACUCUGGCAGCUUGCACAACCCCUGGUCUUCUUUUGCGCAUCCUGGUGCAUUGUCGGCCAGAAAUAUCCCUGCCUUAGGACCUUGUGGGCCAGGGACCUCCCGCCAGAAUGAUUUCCGCAAAUUCCUUCAUGUACUUCUCUCAGCACGUAAUCCGCGUCGUCGUCAUCCAAACACCGAAGGAACGGUAAUGUGUAUCCUCGCCGAUACAGUACCCCAUCGAUCAUCGUGUAUCUCGAGGCCUGAGCUCUAAUCUUCCGAGCUCGCAGCUUAUCUGGUGGUAAUACCCCGUCUCUAAGGUAUGAAACUAUCGGGUCCCUCCACGAGCAUUUUUGUUCUAUCCGCAACACCCCCAAAUUCUGCUCGAUACUUGGGCUGGACUUCACUUCUAGAGGGACGGACUUUGGCAUUUUUGGGUCGGCUACUGCUGCCAUCCUAGCCAAAAUGUCUGCUCGACUAUUCUGCUCCCUGGGGAUUUGUAUCACCUCCACUGCUUCGAACUUCCCCAUCAUCUGCCUGACUAUCUUCAGGUACUGUUCCAUCUUCUCCUCUCUUGGUUGGAAUCUUUCACUGACAUGAUUCGCAACCAGCUGGGAAUCAGUUCUGAUCUUAACUCUGUCUGCUUUCACGGCCCUAGCCAAUUCCAGGCCUGCUAUCAAGGCUUCGUACUCUGCCUGGUUAUUUGUGACUGCAAAUUCCAACUUUACAGCAUAAGAGAUCUCCUCCCCCUCUGGGCCUUCCAGGACAAUCCCUGCUCCUGAACCCCGCUCCCCUGAUGACCCAUCUACAGACAUCUGCCAUACUUGAGUUUCGUCAUUGCCUAUAACUGCAUCUUGUUGACCUAAGCAUGUUUCGGGCUCUGUGAAUUCAGCUACGAAAUCGGCCAUUGCCUGGGCCUUUAUCGCUGCGCGGGGUUUAUAGUCUAUGUCGAACUCGCUCAGCUCUACAGCCCACUUGACGAGCCGCCCAGAGGCAUCUGGCUUGUGCAGAGUCUGACGCAAUGGCUGGUCUGUUAUUACCGAGAUCGGGAAGGCUUGAAAAUAUGGCCUCAACUUCCGAGCAGCAACCACAAGGGCAAGUGCCCAUUUCUCCAACGGUGGGUACCUGGUCUCAGCGUCGAGCAGGGCCUUGCUGGUGUAGUAUAUCGGAUACUGAACUCCUUCUUCCUCUCUCACCAGAACAGAACUGGCGGCCCGAUCCGAUACCGCCAAAUACAGAUACAACUUGUCCCCAUUCCUCGGUGUGGACAGCAGCGGAGCUUGCUGCAAGUAUUGCUUCAAGUUCCGGAAGGCUUCCUCGCAUUCUGGGGUCCAUUCUGUUUUCUUUCCCCUCCUUAUCACUUGAAAGAAUGGCUGACACUUAUCUGUAGCUUUGGAUAUGAAUCUGCUCAACGCCGCCAACCUCCCCGUGAGGCCCUGCGUCUCCUUCAGGUUACGAGGAGACGUCAUUUGCACAAUCGCCUGGAUUUUCUCGGGAUUUGCUUCAAUCCCCCUAUGGCUCACCAUGAAUCCCAGGAAUUUCCCUGACUCGACCCCAAAAGCACACUUCUCCGGAUUGAGCUUCAUCUUAUACUUCCUCAAAAGCUCGAAUGUCUCCUCGAGGUGUCUGACAUGUUCCUUCGGGAUCUUGGACUUGGUGAUCAUGUCAUCCACGUACACCUCCAUGGUUUUCCCGAUCAACGGCUUAAAGACUUUGUUCACCAGCCUUUGAUAGGUGGCCCCAGCAUUCUUGAGACCGAAUGGCAUCACCCUGUAACAGAACAAACCUUGGUUAGUGAUGAAAGCCGUGCUCUCCUCAUCCUGCUCGUACAUGGGGAUCUGGUUGUAUCCCGAGAAUGCGUCCAUGAAGCUAAGCAGACCAUGUCCAGCUGUUGAAUCUACUAGCUGAUCGAUCCUUGGUAAAGGGAAGCUGUCUUUUGGGCACGCCUUGUUGAGGUCUGUGAAAUCCACACACAUCCUCCACUUGCCGUUUGCCUUCUUUACCAACACCACAUUUGAUAUCCACUCUGGGUAACUGACUUCCCGAAUGAACCCUGCUCUCAGGAGCUUCUCCACCUCGUCAUUUACAGCCUCAUACCUCUCCUGGUUGAAGCACCUCCUCUUCUGCCUUACUGCCCGAGCACCUUUCUUUAUUGCCAGCUUAUGACACGCUACCUCAGGGUCAAUCCCUGGCAUGUCUUCAUGUGUCCAGGCAAACACAUCAGCAUGAGCCUGUAAGCAUUUCACCAACUCCUGCUUUUGCUCUCCCUUCAGUCUCGACCCGAUUCUGAUCGUCUUUCCCGGGUUCUCUGGUCCCAUGCUUACCGUUUCCAGAUCCUCUACAGGUUCUUGUCUGCCAGUCUUGUUUUCUACUCGGGUAUCGAAGGAUGUUAUCUGCAUUGCCUCCCUUGCUGCCGAGGAGUAGCAGCUUCUUGCGAUCCUCUGGUCUCCUCGUACCACUCCUACUACCCCAUUCACCCGGUACUUCAGAGCCAGAUAAUGGUUGGACAAUACCGCUUUGCUCAUCCUUAAAAACGGCCGACCUAGGAUCAUCUGGUAAGGACCUUCCUCAUCCACUACGACAAAGUCCAGUAUCAUUGUUCUUUCUGUUAGGGGGCUCCCAAUUGUGAUAGGUAGUUCGACCACGCCCAGGGGAACCAGCUUCCCUCCUCCGAACCCCUUCAAGGAGGUGUUGGUGUAUUCCAACUUCCGGUCGGCUAUUCCCAUCUCUUCCAGGGUUGACUUAAAUAACACAUCAACUGAGCUCCCUGUAUCAACCAGUAUCCGGUCAAACUUCUUGCUAGCGACCGUAGCCUUGAUGACUAAGGCAUCCUCGUGGGGGUAUAGGAUCCCUUCCUCAUCCUCAUCCGUCCACAUGAUUGGCACUUGCCUGACCCUUGCCCGUUUGGCUGCUGGGGUGUUGAGGAGUACCUCUUUACUGGUCAUGGCGUACCUAGCAUAAUUUUUUCUCGAUCUGUUUGAAUCUCCGGCCAACGUUGGGCCCCCCGCUAUCACCCUUACUGCGGGCUGCUCGUGCCUCAAGAUUCUAUCACUCUGCUCCCCUUCAUCUGUUGUGGCCACCAUCGGGAAAGUCCCAUCCAUAAACUCGUCCAGGUACCGAUUUCUCACCAAAUCUUCGACUUGGGUCUUGAGAUCUCUACACUCUGCUGUGGUAUGGCCAUGGGUGCCAUGGAACUUACAAUAACGUCCUCUAUCCCUCCUGUUGGGUAGCUUUGUUAUUGAUGUAGGGAGGUGCAGCAGCCCUCGAUCCUUUAUAGCCUCGUACACCUCAUCCAGGGACAUCUUCAAGGGAGUGUACCGCCCAUAGUCCUGGUGCUGGUCGAUCCGAUGUACUGCUCUUUCUCUGUUUGUCCCGCUCUGAGUUGGGGGCGGUAGAAGUACUUCUGGUCUGCUCGUCCUGCUACCGUGGGAAUGUUGAUGAAGACCACCAGAUGCCGGAUCAUUUCUUGUCCAAGGUUCCCUAGCUGGGGAACGAGGAGGUUGCGCCCUGCUGCGCUGAUACUGUGGUGGCCUCUGAUGAGGCUGGUAAGCAGUGACCCUGCCUCCUGCUCCACUACCGGAGGCCUGGUGGUCCCUCCUCCUGAUCGGCCCGUUCCCUGGUAAUGCUUUCAUCUCUCUCCUCCCCAACCCUUCUAUCUGGUCUGUCUUGAUCCGUGCAGCCUUCUCCUCUUCAAUCUCGAUGUCUCUUUUAGCCUGUUCGUAUGCGGCCGCAUACGUUUGAAUAGCUGGGCUUCUCAAAUUGUACCACAGCCUUCCUAUCUUCACCCCUUCUUUCAAUCCCCUUAACGCCUGAGGGUGGUUGAAGGCUCCCAAGUCGAGGACAGCCCGAUGAAACCUCUUGAUGAAUUCCGGAAGGGUUUCUUGCUCCCCCUGUUUCAUGCUUUUUAGCUCCAUCAUGUCAUCUUCCGGUGACAUUGCCCUACUGAACUGCUCCGCGAAUUCCUGGCACAUCUGCUCGAAGGUUUUAAUGCUGCCCCGAGGAAGUUUCAUGUACCAUUCUCGUGCACGUCCCUCAAGGGAUAGUGGGAACACCCUGCACCUUUGGGAUUGAGAUAAUCCUUGUACCCCAGUUAUGUCGUUGAAGCGCUCUAUGUGCAUCAGCGGGUCAGUUCUUCCCGUGUAUCUGAAGUCGGGGAGGCGGAAAUCUCUCGGAAUAACUGCCCUCAUGAUCUCUGCUGCGAGCGGUGAUUCUCCGUCCAGCAUUAUCCUCCAACCAGGGGCUCUGUUCCUCCCUUGCAUAUCGUCAAUUAUCUGCGCUAGUCUGCGCACUUCCUCCUCCAGCUGCCCUGCACGACCAGGGUCACGUGCUGCAACUUGAUCCCGCUCUUGCUCUACAUCUUGCAAGUGUUGCCUCAACUCGGUUUCCUCUGCAUUCACCACCCCGUCGUCCGCGUCACAAGUCUGUCUUGCCGGGGACCGCUCUCUUUCUCUAUGAAAUUCUCCCCGUAGAGGUGCGUUACCUCUCUCACCACCAAAUCUCCCUGUGGUUUGACUUCUCCCCGCACUAUCGGGACCUGGUGCCACUCCACCGCCUCUCACCCUUCCCUCUUGAGUUACCCUUCGCUCGCUCCGUAGCUCAUGCAGGAUGGUUGUCAAGGUCUCCAUCUGCUUUUCCAUCCGUUCCAUCCGGUCGAACAUGACUUUUCCCGUGCUUCACUGACUAUCUCCCUCAGCGUCACGAAAUCGUUAAGCCUCAUAUCACCCCCUUGUGCACUACUUCCUCCUGUCUCCAUUGCUUUUUGCUUACUCCACCCCUCUUCUUGCUAUCAACAGAAGCUUUUUGCUCUGGGUCCCCACAGACGGCGCCAAAAUGUUGAUGCGAGAUUCCGGUUCUCCUCGUUCUACGACCAGGAUCUCUGCUCGAUCAACUUUACCACGACCAGGAGGUCUCCUAGUAAUGCUUCUUCUCCAGAUGUCCCUGCACACACAGACAAGUCAGAGUACGCCGGUUGUUCUCCCGGCGUAAACCCUCCGACGCUCAAGUCAGAUAUGAAGGUUCGGGGAACGCUUGCCACAGGUCUUAUGGCUUUUUCGUGGUUUUCUCUUUUAUCUUAAAAAUGCUAACCCUUUUACCUUCGUUGGCUACCUUUUUAUAGGCUUCUCCGAAUCCCCGUUUUCCGCUUUUUGCCAGACGGUAUGGGACUCUGACUGCUGCGUCAUGGGCGAAGGUGGGAUCUUGCGUGUUACGCCACGGUUCUGGGGAAAGCGUGGCUGUCGUGCCUAGAUUCUCGGGCUGGAGAGCAUGUCUUGCCAACUGCCGUCGACCGGGUCUCCUCGCUUCUCGACCUCUAGCCGGAAUGAUCUUAUGCCUCUUACAGGAAAUUGACCUCGCGGAUGACGUGCUCGUGGACGAGCAUGAUAUUUCUGCUCCUGUUCCCCCGCGCAUCAGGCUUUUACGGAACACACCGGCUCGAGGAACUCUGCCCCCAGAUAUCUGCUCACCAUGCCUGGUCUCGUCGACGUAUUUCUCCUAAACAUCUGCUAUAAUAGCAGUUGUAAAUAUAUGUGUAAUGCAGUAAUAUGAUGAUUAAUCAGUAUUCAAAACACAAUAAAAGUUUCGUACAGAUUUUGAUAUUGAGAGUAACACAAUAAAAGUUUCAUACAGAUUUUGCAAACGAAAAGCACAUAAUACACUUAACUAGGAGGAAAAAUUAAGGUGUAUUUAUUACAAAUUGCUAACAAUAUACAAUUGUAAAAAUCACUCUUAUGAACUCACAAAUACUAGGCAGCAAUAAGAGUAUGAUACAACCAUUCUAAAUGAAAGAGAAUACAACUGUUUUACAACUAUGUCACAUCAAGAGAUAUGUUAGCAGGAUUAAUCCAGAUACCUUCGAACCCAAUUAACGAACUCGAGUCAGAAACCAGGGGCCCCUAACUAAACCUUACAAUCUUGAAGGAAGAAGGAGACUCGUGGUCCAGAUAGGUGACUUACUAGAUCUCCUGCAAAAGAGAAUAUCUAUUGCUUUGAACCUCCAUUGAAAUUUUUUUUUCCCUUUUUCUUGUUUUGACUUGGAACUUUCCAACAUCAUCUAUUUGAUCUUUUUUUAAGGUAAAAUAGCAAUCUAUAGGUUGCCAACAUGUUAUUCUGCCAAACCCCACCCCACCCCCCCGGGGGACAACAAAUCGACCUAGCACACACCUUUCUUCAUUGCCCACACCUACAGAACUAUAAUAAAAAGACUACGUUACUAUUGGGGUAGAGAAAAUAUACAGACUGUAUUAUUAUUACAUCGCAUUUUACUAAUUAACUAGUGCAAGACUUCUUUAGUGUCAAAUCAAGAACUAAUUAGAAAAGACAACUCAUGAUAAUACAGACCUUAAUAAGCAAUUGCUAACAACAUCCCAUAUACUCCUAUUUUAGCCUUCAUUAUCCUGGUAAAAACACAAAUAAGUCUUGCAAACGAACAUUUAUAAGUAAAUUCAACAUUAAUUAAGAUUAGGUAUCUACUGCACCUAAUAGCAUGGUCAACCAUCUAGUUCCUGUAGCCUUCCAUGUACCUAUGUUAGUUACAUUUUACAUAUUAAGCCACGAAAACGAAGAAUCACAGCCUGGUAAAGAAAGACAUUAAUUAAUAGUUUUUGUUUAAAAAGUUCUCCUUUAGAUCUUUCCUAUUCAAUGAAUCAAUGUAAUCUAAAGAGAACUCUUCCAUUUCAAACAGUGUUAGAAGGUAUUUGCAAAGCCUAAAGAUAAUAUACAAGGACCAAGAUAUACACAGAUGGUUUCUUUAUGGAAUUAAAGAGCUUUAUAGAUGUUAAAACUGUUUCAAACAAUUUUUCUUGUUUGGUUUAACUAAGGAAAAGCUUGUGGAAGAUUAAAAAUGAUGUUUCCUAUUCUCUGUAGGAAACUUUUAGGAGAUUUUUUGGGCUUUUUUGAAAGGUUGAAUUGUCAAAAAUACCUUGAUGUUAUUGUUUGCUAAAAGAUGUUACGGACAUCUAAACAACCAACAACAUUUUGUUAAAAGCUCUACUAGUGUAGGAUCUACUUAAAGAAGCUAUACCAAACAGACUCUUAGACUGAAUAACUCGAUCUUAAGUUUGUAAAAUUGGGCUCAGAAUCUCCACUAACAACCCCGCUUCGGUGAGAAAGCCCAAGCCUGUUACUUUGUAUAACCUUAUUCUGUAUGUUUGAUUGCAGGAACUGGCCGAUCAUACCGACGAGGUGAGUGUGCAACAUGAGGUGCUUGACGGGAUGUUUACUUUCUAUGAUUCAACUAAAGCUAGCCUCAACAUAUAUCAGGUGCCUGCUUGUUUUUACCUUCUAGAUACUAAUAUUGUUUAGACGUGUAAUCUCUCUCUCCAUUGAACGCUAGACGGCUCGUCUCAAGCCUUCUACGUACUUCAGAGUCCUUCACUAGCUUUUUAUGUAUAAAGUUUUGAUCUUUUUCCUUCAUUUGCUUGAAGCUCAUUACUGCAGAUUUUUUUUACAGGUUGGUAGUGUAACAUUCGACUUGCUGUUGCUUCUAGUCUUGGGAUCGUAUUUAAUUGUGCUUUUCAGCUUUCUUGUCAUAACAACUAGGGUAUCACUCUUUCUCCAUAUCAAGCUUGAAGUUCUAAAUUUCAGUUUUAUCUUGUAUUUGAUGUUUUAUAAUUUCAUUGCAAACAGAUUAGAAUAGAAACUUCAAAAGUUCCAACUGACUAGUCCCGUGUAACUUUUUCAGGGAAGAUUUUCUCUCAUAACAACUACGAACGUGUUAUGGUUUAGCCCAGUGACACAAAGGACAGUUUUCAACAAUUGAUCCUAGGAAGAUGCCCAUAGCUUGUUGUGCCAAAAAUAGAAAAUCUAAGAUGCGAAAAAAUUUUGUUGAGAUUCAUUUUUCAUCCUGAUGUUACCGCUGGCCUUUUUUUUUUUUUUUUUUGGCAGAGAAUAAUGCUUAUGUGAUUUCUGAACUUGGUGAUUGUUGAAAUGAGCUGAAAAUGAGCUGGAAAUGUGUUUGGUUAAUGAGAAAGAGAGCAAGAAAAUGAAAGAAAUCUAUUUCACUUUUUAUUUAUCAGCAUGAUUACAUUCACAAUGAAUCUAAGCUGCUAUUUAUACUUAAAUGACUACACACGAGAAUCUUCUUGCUAGAUACUUCUAGAAACUCUACACGCACACUCACACUGAGCUAGUGGUUACCAAAACCGUUACAACGAUAUUGCCAGCUCAGCAUAACCAACUUAUAACUAACACACUCAGCUGCAGGGGAAACCAUCAAGCUUACUGUGCGUCCUCUGUAAUCAAGCUUCUUUAAGCAUGCUCUGCAGAUCAUACGUCUGAAUUAUCGAAACAAGAUGAAUUAUUUUUUGUUUAUUGCAGCAGGCGAUCAAUGAGCGGAAUUUCUAGCUUGUAUUCAAUUCGCGAACACAGUUUGAGAAGAAUCAGACCAUUAAUUUUCUUUUGAGCCAAUCAACAGAAUGUACAUUUCUUCUAAGAACUUGUAACCGAAACCGCAGUUUUUCAGGUUUGCUCCUUCCUCAUAGCAGUUAAUCAAACGAUAAACAGAGAUAUCCCAUGUCAACAAGAAGGUAAUCAUAAAAGAACAACAGAAUUGUUGCAACAUAUUCAUAUGAAAUGUAAAACAAUUUUGAGAAAAAAUAUUGGGAAGAUAUUUUUUUUUCAUAGAAGUUGCAAUCUUUACGUUAUUUACUAGUUUGACUAGACUAUAUAAGGAAGCUAUAUGAAAUUAGAAAAAUAAGCUAUACUAGGAAAGAAUAAAUAUGUGUACAGAAAAUUAGGCUAUAAUUUUCAAAUUAGAUGCCAGUUAAUUUUAUCAUAAUUAGAUGGUAAGAUUGCAAAUUCUGCAGCCAAAGGUGGUACGGAACUGAAUGAAGGAAAUCAAAUAUGAACAUGUUUUCAAUCUUAAAAUAUUAAGAGUAGCAUAAGUAACUUGUGAAACAGUUAUAAGUUCAAGGGAAUUAGAUGAUGGCAUGGUUGAAUUUUAUAAAUAUUUGAUAUUUUGGACCGAACAGGGCAAACAGAUGGAUCCAGAUAAUCAAGAAAAACAUCAAUUCCAUGCAACCAAAUGAGUCUAGUCAAAGAAAUUAUUCAAAGAAAUCUCUAGGUCAGUAUCCAAAUAUAUGGCUCCGUCCGUUCCACCACCACAACCAAAAAAAUCAGAUCCCCCCAUUUGGAUUCGAUUGAUUAAUUUGAGCAUAUAAAAUCGGGUUUUAAACUUCCCUAAUCAAAAUUUAUAUUCCACAGAAUCAGUUCCUUUAACAUGAUGCAUUACAUAAUAUUUUGUUUGCAAAAUAAAGAAGAAAGAUGACAUAAUAGAAACACGCUAUUGCAUCUUUUGAAAAAGAAAAACGGAAUAGUUUUCCAAAAUUAAUUCCGAGAAGAAGAUUAACUAAUAAUGAUGUUAGAAAUUUUAAUAUUUGAGUCUUAAUAUUAUGUAUCACUCAUUUAUUAAAUAAUAGAUUUCAUAAUUUGUAAAAUUACUUAACCACUUGAUAAAUGUUAUAUUUGUUGGGACUAAAUUGGAACUUAAAUGUUGGAAUAUCUAGUAUUGCAUUAAAAAAUAAAUAAAAACUUAACAAUUUAUCUUCACUUGACUAAUUGUUUUUACAUCACAACUAACCUUAAUUAUUUUGAAAGUUACAGUAUUAUUAAAUUGUCCUAACUGGUUAUCCAAAGUUGAAGCAUGUUAAAAUAAAAAAAAUUACUAAGAAACAUGUGCUUAAACAGAGGUUAAAGCUAUGAACAAUUAAGAAGAAACUCUUAAUUUGGUCCCAGUUAGUAUAAUAAUCAUCUAUUGAGCGGUAAAAUAUUAAUUUUAAUAGUGAUGAAAUCCAAUAAAUAAUAGAUUACUAACACACAUAAAUUAAAACUUAACUGUCUGAAAUCAUAACAUUACUCUACUCUUCAGUGGAGUUCUCUUAAACAGAUUAUGUGAGAUUGCCUACAUUAAAAAUAUGUUAAGACUGCUUGUUGAAAGCAAUAUUCGCUUUUCCAUUAUAUCCAUAACUUUGAAUUGAUAAAGUUGUAUUCAGCAGCUCUUGAAAAGACUAAUUUAUUUUAACUAGUCAUAGAAAUAAGAGAGAAAAGGGGCUAUUUCUUGACUCAAAGUCAAUUAUAAUUAUCAAAACUUGAGGGGACAUCGCAUGCCUAAAUUCCACGCACCCUAAUACGGUUUGAUUUGCUUUCACGCGUUCAUGAAUUUCCAUGAAAGAGCCUGCCUUUCGUCUCUUUCGGGACAGUGACUACAAUAAUGGAAAAAAUUAUAAUUCUCGUUAGAUUGUAACCAAAUUAUUAUCCCUAAUUUUUUUAAGUUACAUAUAAUAAAAUUCAUGCUUAAGUAUUUAGUAAUUAGAGAGAGAUAGAGAGGAUUGAGGGCCAAUGUUUCGCGAUUUGGGGUCAAUUCAAAGUCAACUAACGUGUAAAACACGUGUAUGCAUAGAAAACGCUUAGAUUAUUUGUGUUCCAAGAAAGAAAGAAGACCCAUCACCUUCUUCGUGACAACAAAUGAAUGAAUGAUGUUGAUAUGACAAAUACAAGCGCUAUUACAGGGAACAGCAUAAGAUCGAGACUUGAUAAAGGGUUUGUUAAAUUACAUGUUAUUUUCUUUUGACUUGAAUGAUGUUGAAGAGAAAAAUCAAAUAACAUUGUAAUCAGGGUGAUGUGUGGAAUAUAGUGAAAUAAAUAAAUAGAGAAGAGAAAUUCGUUGAUCAAUAUUCAAGAACUCAUCCAAAGUGAUCGUCAAAGUCUAGAGGUUCGGUAUGAUUAGCAUUUAUUAUUAUUUUUUUUGGCUUAACAUCAUAUAUAGUCACCUGUCGUGUGAUCUAGAACAGGUUUAGAAAUCCUUUUAUUUUAACUUCCGUAUUCUUAUUAUUUAAUUAGUUAUAGGGUUCUUCAGUAUUUGAGUAUUGAUCACAUGUCUCCUAAUCUAAAAAUAUGUUUUUACGAGUACAAAUAACAAACUAGGAUUUUAACAGCCUUUUAUACUAAACCCUAAAAAUACAUGAAUUUAUCAAAAUAAGUAAAUUAAUUUAAAUUGGUAUGGCAUAAUAAAAGUUUUACCUGCCGAAACAAAUUAAAAAAAUAUUACACUUAAAUCAAAUAUUGACAAAAAUAGAUAACAAUCUAAUGAGAAUCUUAACUAGAUAUUUUUACUUCUAUCCAAUUUAACUGGAACGAGAAUUAAGUCCUUUCAAUAGUUAGGACUCAUAACUCAUACACGCUAGUUUGAGAGUGUGGGGUGUGACAAUGGGCCAAAAGACCAUUGACAAGUACAAAAGAGUGGUCGCAAUUAAUUCAAACCGCUACACACGCUAUUGCGUCUUUUAAAAAAAAAAUGGAAUAGUUUUCCAAAAUUAAUUCAGAGAAGAAGAUUUACUAAUAAUGAUGUUAGAAAUCUUAAUAUUUGAAUCUUAAUAUUAUGUAUCACUCAUUUAUUAAAUAAUAGAUUUCAUAGUUUGUAAAUUUACUUAACCACUUGAUAAGUGUUAUAUUUGUUGGGACUAAAUUGGGACUUAGAUGUUGGAAUAUCAAGUAUUGCAUAAAAAUAAAAAAUAAAAACUUAACAAUUUAUCUUCACAUGACUAAUUGUUUUUACAUCACAACUAACCUUAGUUAUUUUUUAAAGUUAUAGUAUUAUUAAAUUGCCCUAACUGGUUAUCAAAAGAUGAAAGCAUGUUAAAAUAAGAAAUUACUAAGAAACAUGUGCUUAAACAGAGGUUAAGGCUACGAACAAUUAAGAAGAAACAACUUACAAUCAAAGGUUAAGAUUAUGAACAAAUUAAGGAAGGUAUUGAGCAGAUAAAGGGACGAAAUCAUUGUCUGAAUUGCCGGUGACAAGAAUGCUUGUGUUGUGAAAAGAAACCUGAUGGUUUGUAAAUGGGUUGAAUUUUUUAUUCGGUCGCUCCAACUGACUUACUAAUGCCAAAUUUAUUACUUUGCACAGUAGUGUUUAGGAUCCUCAAGAUCAACUCUUAAUUUGGUCCCAAUUAGUGUAGAAAUCAUCUAUUGAGCAAUAGAAUAAGAAUUUUUCUAGUCAUGAAAUUCAAUAUAUAAUAUAUCCUUGACACACAUCGAUUAUAACUUAACUGUUAGAAUUCAUAACAUUACUCUACUCUCAAGGGGAGUUCUCUUAACAUAUUAUGUUAGGUUGCCUACAUUCAAAAUAUGUUAGGCUGCUCUUUGAAAACAAUAUUCCUUUUUCCGUAACUUUGAAUUGAUCCAAUAGCUCUUGAAAAGCACAUAAUAAUCAUUAUAAAUUUAAUCAAAGACUAAGCAGGUCUUCUUUCCAUUUGAUCACUCGCAUUUCAGUUAAGUUUGUCGUUUACUUAAAUUUUUCUUGCUUUCAAUUUCCACUGUUGUUUUUUUUUAUAUAAAAUAAUUUAUUUAAACUAGUCAUAGAAAUAAGAGAGAAAGGGCGCCAUUUCUUGACUCAAAGUGAAUUAUAAUUAUCAAAACUUGAGCGGACAUUGCAUGCCUAAAUUCCACGCACGCUAAAACGGUUUGAUUUGCUUUCACGCGUUCAUGAUUUUCCAUGAAAGAGAGUGCCUCUCGUCUCUUUCCGGACAGUGACUGCAAUUAUGUUAACGUGACGAAUACAAAACGUUAUUACAUACAAGAAUAAGUUUUUGGACCCGAGACUUGAGGGAGGUUCUAUCUAAUUCUAAAGAUUGUAACCAAAUCAUUAUCCCCAAAUUUUUUCAGUUAAAUAAAAUAAAAUUUAUGCUUAAGUAUAAAUAAUUUUUUAAAGUUAAAUAUAAAAUAAAAAAAUUCAUGAACUUCCUAGAAAGAAAGAAGACCCUUCACCUUCUUCGCGACAACAAAUGAUGUUGACAUGACAAAUACAAGCUCUAUUACAGGGAACAGCAUAAGACCGAGACUUGAUAAAUAUUAAAUAUAUAAAAUAAGUGGAGCAAACGAACAGAAUAAUAGAUAUUUUAUAAUAUUCUUCAUAAAAAUCCAUGUUUUGAGCCUGCCUAUAAGCUUAUCUAGUGAAGUCUGGGUAUCCGCGUUGCCCAAGGUUCCGUUUGAAUCCAGGCCGUGUAGAUGUUUAAGACAUCGCAUAUGGACGGAGUGGAAAUAUUUUCAGUUGACUGAAUUAAAUAAAAAUAUAUUACAAUCAUAUUAUAUAUUAGCAGCAAAAAUAAAAAGAAAUGAAGAAAAACGCAUGCAAGACUUAGACAAGUCAAUUAAAAGCUGGGAGUAUCAUCAGUUCAAUUGGUUAUAAAUAGCGUAGAGCCAUCCUCUCGUUGUUGCAGAACUGAAGCAAAGAGACUCAGAAAGAGUGUGUGUAGGUGAUUAUAAUUAAGAAGAUAUAAUGUGUGGUUCAAAAAGAGUGUGGGUGAGUGAGUUAAUUUUCAUAUUAUUAGUAGUAAAAGGGUGGUGGAGUGAGGGAUGUUUGGAGCAAGAGAGGUCUGCUCUCCUACAACUCAGACAUUUCUUCAAUGAUGAUCAACUUCUUCAAAACUGGGUAGACGAUGAGAAUUAUUCAGAUUGUUGUCAGUGGGAAGGGGUUGAGUGCAAUAACACCACUGGCAGAGUGAUUGAAUUAUAUCUAGGAUAUACUCGGAAAUGGGAAUCAGCAGAGUGGCAUAUGAAUGCUUCUCUGUUUACUCCCUUUCAACAAUUAGAGUCUCUUGAUUUAAGUUGGAACAAUAUAGCCGGUUGUGUUGAAAAUGAAGGUCCUUAAUUUACUUUAUUUUAAUUCUUCCUCCUCGUAAUUUCUUACAUCUAUCUGAUCCCUUUUGGCUUUUGUUUAAUUUGUACGUGAUACAAUAAAAUUACUUUUUAUUUUUUGUCAGGUCUAGAUAGGUUAUCAAGGUUGAAGUUUCUUUAUUUAGACUAUAACUGCUUCAACAACAGCAUCGUUUCAUCUCUAGGUGGUCUUUCAUCACUCAGAAACUUAUCAUUGGCUGGUAAUGAAUUGGAUGGAAGUAUUGAUAUUAAAAGUAAGUACGCUUCAACCCUUCUCCCCUGUCCCAUCUUUUGUAGAUCUUAUUUCACUGAGCAGCUGGAAGUAUUGAUACGAGAUCUAGCUAGACUCUUGUGAGUUUAGGCUUCAAGGCUUUGAAUAUUAUAAAAAUAAGUUAAAGAAAUUAUCGAUAUAUGCAAUUUUCAAUGCUUCUCAUAAUCAGACACAAUUCAAUCUAAUUAUUUCGUAUGUCCUGUCUUCAAAAGUAAAGAAUUGUACACUAAUUGGAAAUCGACAUCGUAGCUUUUUAUUUUCUAUAAUGCUCUUUUUUCGUUAACGAGUUUAUAUCCUAAGAGGGAUUGGAUUGAAAAAAAAAAAGUUUUGAUGUUCAAUGUAAGCCAUGAUAACCUGCAUCUUAUUUGUCUGCCGACAUCCAAAUUUGUGCACUGAAUUUAGUAUUUUGGUUAUUGUGAAGGGAUCAGAUAUUGGCUUCCAUAGACCAACUUGUAUUUACUUAAUUAAUUAAUUAACGACAUUUAGUAUUUAACAAAUUAAAAUUUCAUGUUUAAUCGAUUUUAAUUUUUUUAAGAAAAAAGAAAAAGAUAUAACAGCAUGUAAAGCUGAAAUAAAUUUUAAUUCCUUACAAAUUUAAAUUCAUGGUUGUCAGCUAAAUAUACCUGCUUAAAGCCACUCUUUUCGCUGAGAUUUAACCAAAAAAAAAAGGAGAAAAUAAUUUAUUUAAUUAACUCUGUUUUAAGUGUUGGAAUAAAUACAGGACUGGAAUCCUUGAGUAACUUGGAGAUGCUGGACAUGAGGGACAAUGCAAUCGACAAUCUAGUGGUUCCUAAAGGUAUACAAAAUGACACUAACCCAAAAUAAUUUAAUCCGAAAUUGUAUCCCAAAUAGAUUACAGAGGUUUGAGGAAGUUGGAUACCCUUUAUUUGGGGGGGAAGGGAAAUUGCAGUGAUAUAUGGAAGCAAGGUGUUGCAAUCAAUAAAGAAAUUCAUAGGGUCAAUAUUAAAGGACUCUCCUCCAACUCAAACAUUUCUCAAAUAGAUUAUUUAAUCUGAAAUAGUAUCUCAAAUAGAUUAUAGAGGUUUGAGGAAGUUGAAUACCUUUUAUUUGGGGGGGAAGGGAAAUUGCAGUGAUAUAUGGAAGCAAGGUGUUGCAAUCAAUAAAGAAAUUCGUUGGUCAAUAUUCAAGACUCAUCCAAAGUGAUCGUUAAAGUCUAGAGGUCUGCUCUCCUCCAACUCAAACAUUUCUUCAAUGAUGAGAAUUAUUCAGAUUAUGGUCAGUGGGAAGCGGUUGAGUGCAACAACACCACUGGCAGAGUGAUUAAAUUAGAUCUAGGAGCCACUAGGAAUCGGGAAUCAUCAGAGUGGCAUAUGAAUGCUUCUUUGUUUACUCCCUUUCAACAAUUAGAGUCUCUUCAUCUAAUUGGGAACAAUAUAGCCGAUUGUGUUAAAAAUGAAGGUCCUUAAUUUACUCUAUUUUAGUUCUUCCUCGUAAUUUCUUACAUUUAUCUGAUCCCUUUUGGCUUUUGUUUAAUUUGUACGUGAUACAAUAAAAUUAUUUUUUAUUUUUUGGCAGGUCUAGAGAGGCUAUCAAGGUUGACCAACUUGAAGUUUCUUCAUUUAGACUAUAACUGCUUCAACAACAGCAUCUUUUCAUCUCUGGUUGGUCUUUCAUCACUCAAACGCUUAUCAUUGGCUAGUAAUGAAUUGAAUGGAAGUAUUGAUAUUGAAGGUGAGUAAGCUUCAUCCCUUCUCCCGUGUCCCAUCUUUUGUGGAUCUUAUCUCAUUGACGGGUUGGAAGUAUUGAUACGAGAUCUAGCUAGACUCUUGCUAGUUUAGGCUUCAAGGCUUUGAAUAUUAUAAAAAUAGGAUUAAGAAAAUAUCAAUAAAUGCAAAUUUCAAUGCUUCUCGUAAUCAGACACAAUUAAAUCUAAUUAUUUUGUAUGUCCUGUCUUCAAAAGAAAAGAAUUGUACACUAAAUGGAAAUCGACAUUAUUGUUUGCUUUUGAUUAGUGGAUCAAAAAUCGACUAAUUUUGAUUUAACAUAAAAAUAAAAAAGAGAAAAUAAGUUAUUUAAUUAACCCUGUUUUAAGUGUUGGCAUAAAUGCAGGACUGAAUUCCUUGAGUAACUUGGAGGAGCUGGACAUGAGCGACAAUGCAAUCGACAAUCUUGUGGUUCCUAAAGGUAUACAAAAUGUUCAAAUAUUAAUAAUUUGGAGGACAGUUUAAUUGAUUUGAUUAGGGAAUGCCCAAUGACACUUACCCAAAAUAAUUUAAUCUGUAAUUGUAUCCAAAACAGAUUUCAGAGGUUUGAGGAAGUUGAAUACCCUUCGUAUAGGGGGAAGCAGAAUUCGAAUGAUAGAUGGAAGCAAGGUGUUGCAAUCAAUAGGAUCACUACCGUCCCUCAAAACACUUGACCUUUGGUAUACUAAUUUUACGGGAACAGUAGUUAAUCAAGGUAAGUAAAUCUUUUAUGUCGAAAAUAAUUGAAUUAAUAUAUAUAGCUAAAAUUUAUUGUUUCUACUUCUUUCUAAAUAGAGUUGCACAAUUUCACCAACUUGGAAGAAUUGAUAUUGCUCGGGUCUCAUCUCCACGUAAGCCAGCUUCUGCAAAGCAUCGCAUCAUUCACUUCGUUAAAGAAUUUGUCAAUGCCAGUUUGUACCCUUACAGGUGCCGUACAUGGUCAAGGUAAAUUACGGGUAUCUGAAGCUUUUAUGAUAUUAAUUCGAUAAUAAUUCUUUCUUUUCAAGUUAAUUUUCUCCCGUAAAAUAAUAUUUUUUUCUUUUAAAUUUUAUAUAUUUUCACCGUCCAAUAGAAGAGUAAAGAAAAAUAAGUAAAUUAACCCAAAAAAAAGAAAAGAACAAGACCGGAUUAUCCUUAUUCCCUUGCAUUAUGCGAUCAAUAUCAAAAUUAUAACCAUUUCUUGUUUAUUGCUUGUAGAUUUUCGUAAAUUCAAGAAUUUGGAACAUCUGGACAUGGGUGGGGUGCAAGUUGAUGUCAACACCAGUUUUCUUCAAAUUGUCGGCGAAUCAAUGCCUUCUCUUAAGUUUUUAUCACUGGCAGAUUCAAGUCUUAAUAAAAACACCAUUCUUGAUCAAGGUUAAUUAAUGAUUCUCAUUCUCCCUCUCUCGCAUCAUAACUAAAUUUAAUGGAGAAUAUCUAUAAUGCGAGCUAUUUAUAAACUUAAUGAAAGAUGAUAAGGAGCCAUAAUAAUGACAAAAAUAAUUGUAAAAUAGUGCACUGUUGUAGUGUUGAUUGAAAAAUAAUGCUAAUGUUUUACCUAACAACACUAUAACGUCGGAUAAUUUUUAAUAUGUACUUUAAACUAUCAGUACUCAAACUAUCAGUACUCAAACUUAAUUUUUAAUAUGUACUUUAAAGAUUUUAUGCAAUUAUUUAAGUUUUAUGCAAUUAUAUUUUUCAGGACUUUGUCGGUUAGUGCAUCUGCAAGAGUUAUACAUCAGCAGUAAUGAUUUGAGAGGUAGCUUGCCAUGGUGCUUGGCAAAUUUGACUUCCCUUCGAGUAUUAGAUGUCUCUUACAAUCAACUAACUGAAAACAUCUCCUCAUCUCCCCUCAUGCAUCUAACAUCUAUCGAAGAGCUCAUACUUUCAAAUAAUCACUUCUUCCAAAUCCCUAUUUCACUUGAACCACUUUUCAAUCUCUCAAAACUCAAGACUUUCGAUGGUGAAAUAUGCGCAGAAACUGAGUCACAUUAUAAUUCUUUGACCCCAAAAUUCCAACUGACUUCUAUCUCACUGUCUGGUUACAUAGAUGGUGGCACAUUUCCCAAAUUCUUGUACCAUCAGCAUGACUUGAAGAAUGCUGAUCUCUCACACCUUAACUUGAGUGGAGAAUUUCCAAAUUGGUUGCUAGAAAACAAUACAAACUUAGAGACGCUUCUUCUUGCCAACAACUCUCUUUUUGGAUCAUUUCGGAUGCCAAUUCAUUCCCACCAGAAUUUAGCAACAUUGGAUGUCUCUAAAAAUUUCUUUCAAGGCCAUAUUUCGGUGGAAAUCGGAACAUAUCUGCCAGGUUUAAUGGAUUUAAACUUAUCUAGAAAUGCUUUCAACGGUAGCAUUCCCUCUUCAUUUGCUGAUAUGAAAAUGUUGGAAAGGUUGGACAUAUCCUACAAUCAGUUGACUGGUGAAAUCCCAGAGCGCAUGGCCACAGGUUGCUUCUCAUUAGAAAUUCUUGCAUUGUCAAACAACAGUUUGCAAGGUCAUAUAUUCUCUAAAAAAUUUAGCUUGACAAAUUUGACGACGUUGCAGUUGGAUGGUAAUAAAUUCGCUGGAGAGAUCCCAGAAAGCUUAUCUAAGUGCUAUUUGUUAGAAGGAUUAUAUCUGAGUGAUAAUCAUCUCACUGGUGAGAUUCCAAGAUGGUUGGGUAAUUUGUCAGCUUUGGAAGAUAUUAUAAUGCCCAAUAACAAUCUUGGAGGGCCAAUUCCAAUCGAGUUUUGUCAGCUUGAUUCUCUGAAGAUUUUAGACCUUUCAAACAAUAGUAUUUUCGGAACCUUACCAUCUUGCCUUAGUCCAGGAUCUAUUGAACAACUUCAUUUGUCAAAAAACAAGAUAGAAGGACGAUUGGAAAGUAUAAUCCAUGACAGCCCUUAUUUGGUGACAUUAGAUCUUAGUUAUAACAGCUUACACGGAAGUAUUCCAAAUCGGAUUGACAGACUACCUAAGUUAAACUACCUUCUUUUGGCUAAUAAUUAUAUUGAAGGCGAAAUACCAGUUCAAUUAUGCCAUUUGAAGGAAGUGCGGUUGAUUGAUCUUUCUCAUAAUAAUCUAUCUGGUCAUAUUCCUCCUUGCUUGGUUAACACUUCACUCAGUGAAGGUCAUCAUGAGGCAGUAGCUCCAACUCCAAGUGGAUCUUCGAUGGGAAAGGAAGAAACUGUACAGUUCACAACAAAGAAUAUGUCCUACUAUUAUCAAGGAAGAAUUUUGACGAGUAUGUCUGGGAUUGAUCUUUCUUGUAACAAACUGACAGGUGAGAUUCCUACUCAAAUUGGAUAUCUUACUAGGAUUCAUGCACUAAAUCUAUCUCAUAACAAUUUGACGGGCACAAUCCCGACAACAUUUUCAAACCUGAAGCAAAUCGAAAGCUUGGACCUCUCCUACAACCUACUGCAUGGGAAAAUCCCUUCUCAGCUCACCGUGCUAACUACAUUGGCGGUCUUCACAGUAGCAUACAAUAACUUAUCAGGCAAAAUCCCAGAUAGAGUCGCACAAUUUUCAACUUUUGAGGAAGAUAGCUAUGAGGGGAAUCCUUUUCUUUGUGGAUGGCCACUGUCUAAAAGUUGCAAUGAUAGUGGAUUAUCAGCAGUGACACCAGAAGCUUACACUGAUAAUGAAGAAGGUGAUAGUUUAAUUGACAUGGACAGUUUCCUGAUCACUUUUACAGUAUCUUAUGGAAUUGUGAUAUUAGGAAUUAUUGGAGUUUUGUACGUAAACCCCUAUUGGCGGCGAAGAUGGUUUUACCUUGUUGAAGUGUGUAUGACCUCUUGCUACUAUUUUGUGGCAGACAAUCUUGUUCCUAGAAGAUUCUAUGGUGGAUGGAUGUAAUUUCAUUUACUUUACAACUUAUAUGUUAUUUUUAAAGAAUUUUCUUUUGCAUGCAUGGAAUAGCAACUCAAUAAAAGUAUUUGAUGCAAAUUGUCCAAGAACAACUUAGUAAUUUCAUUGCUACUAUUCGGUUGUAUAUAUACAGUUAAUGAAAUUUUUAAUCAUUCGCAGUAGGAAUUUCUUUAAAUGGCGGCCAAAACCAACAGAUUUGGGGCUCUACCUCUACACAUCAUAACAGGCAAAAGGUCUCUCUUUUACACUAUCUGAAUGAAGAUUAGCUUACGCCCCUGGAGUUCUCUAUUAAACUUGACGGUUGAGAUUUCAGGUCCAGAUGAAAGUUAAAUGCAGGCGACGAGACUACACUUUAAGUAAACUGGGACAAACUUAAAAUAAAUAAAAAUUAUAGUCCAGGGUAAGAGUAAUGGGUAGCUCAACUUAUGGAGUAUAACUAGGACUUGGAAUAACUAUCAGAUUUGCAACUCUUGUUAUAUGCUUGGGAGUUACAGUAAUCGAUUCAUUUCCUCCAUUUCUGAUGGUAACCCAGCUCUAUACAAGAACAAUCAGAGAAGGUUCAUUUAAGAAAUUUCACAACCCACGCUUUUUUUUCCUUUUUGCCCUCUUCCUCACAAUAAAAACACCUAACACACCAAGCCGUGCACAAAAUAGUCCUAUUUUAUUCAUGUCAUGAAUCCAAAAACUAUCCCAGCUCACUUUGUUUAACCAGCAUAACUAAAUUGUGGGUAUAAAUGAACACACUUUCGAAGCCUGUAACUUAUAAUAAGCUCAAACCCAAAAAUGACAUUUAAAUCCUGCAAGUGUUUUUCAUCAUCCCUAACAAAAAGAAACAAGAAUAAUUAUAUACCAAUAAUUUUUCCAUAAAAAAUACUGAUACCAAUAAUUUUUCCAUAAAAAAUACUGAUUUGAGUUGAAACACUAUACAAACUGGGUUUUAUACACUUGCAGAAAGCUACACGAUAGACAAAAUCUAGCAGCUACAUAAUGGUAUCACUUUCAGCUGGUCAUGAAUGGUGUGCAUUCAGCAGUGCUCGAUAGACCAUGUCUAUGAAUUGAUUGUCCUAUUACAUAUAAAAGCUGGUCAGCUAUACAAGGAAAAAAAUAAUAAUUGAAAAUGCAUCACAAAAAAUAAGUGUCUCGCAUUAGUGUUUGCACUCUAAGCAUGGCAAAGUGGUGCGGGUUCAUGAUUUUGAAGACUGGGAUAAGUGAAAAAUAGUUCAAUCCACUGAUGAACAUAAAUUUAUUUACAUGUCAAUUUAGAUAUCAUAAAAAAGUAAACAGUAAUUCACAGUCACUUAAAAGAGUUGAUAAAAUGCGUGCCGUGAAUGCAUUUUUGUACAUAAGAAAUCCAAAGAGUAUUUCUGACAAUACAAAUAUGCUAGCUUUAAAUCUGCUGUCAAUAUGCAAUUAAGAAGAUUAUACCAGCUGCAUGAUAAAGUUCCCCUAAUCUUAAUAACAGUAAACAUGAACAUGUCAGAUGCAAUUAUAGCUUCGAGCAUUUGCAUAACCAGAAAUCCUAACCUGAACAAGCACCAGAAGUGUCUCUCGGACUUUCUCCUUGUUGAUAAAUGGUCCGCUGUUUGAAGUAAGAGCAGGAGUAAGAGAUGGUGGAGGGGUUGGUAGUGGAAAAGGUUGAAGCAUUGGGGCACCAUAUGGGCGUUGCAGACUCAGGGGAGGAUUAAGUGGCGGAGCUGUUGGUGUAGAUGAAGAGACAAGCUGCAUCAUCUGUGCAUAGGAGGAUGGAGGAGGAACAAAGAAUAAGGAAGGCUUUACAAGAUUAGGGGUAGGUGCUGACAGAGGUGGAGAUGGUAUUUGCAAGGUUGGCACGAUAGGAGAAGCAACACUGGCGGGAUGAGAAGGUAAAGAAAUAGUUGUAUUGGACUGGUAAGGUUGUGCAGAGAUUGCUGCAUUAGAAGUAUUCCCCACAGUCAAAGCUGUCUGCAAUGAUAAGGACAGAUGUCAUAUACAAGGACAAGUGAUAACAUAUGAAAAUAGUAUGACUUGCUGCAGUUUUGUGGUAAUGUUGCAUACUUAUGCAGAAACAUAUUAUUUCAAAGAAAACAUACACUGAAGUAGUUCACAAAAGCAGGAUCUUCAGGAACAUCAGCAGCAUUUGAGGGAGUUGACUCUAGAGGACCAUCCAUAACUGCCAUAGUUGGAACAGCUUCCAGUUCCUCAAACUCACUGCAGUUUAACAUAAAAGGAACUUGAUGACCAAUUUAAGUAAUAAUUAGAUGAUAUAAGAGGUUAGGGAAAAUGAUGAGUGGACCCUUAUGGAAGGUGAUUUCACCUUAGCUAAACACGAAAAUAAAAAGAAAUCAAAGCUGAAUCCUCGAGUGCAAUGCAAAGAAUUUUUUCUCGCUCUUCUCUAACUCCUCUUAUUCGAAAUUGCUCAUCAUUGUGCUGUUCUUCGAGUUUUCGCUAGAGUAGAGAAAGCUAUUCUCUCGUUAAGUGCAGAGGAAAGAGAAGGGCAAGGGCCUGGUAUGAUGCUAUUCUAUAGGAAGUGAGAAGGUGAAGGGUUAAAAUAUUUUGUAAUUUGGAGGUGGUGUUUGUUAGUGUGUGUGUACUUCUGAAUUUAUUACCUCUUUAGGAUCCAUAGAAAUUGCCUCUUGUUCAGCAUGCACUGUGCCUACGAGUAAGACGAGCUUGCAUGGUAUCUAUUGUCUAUUUACUUGGAUAUUCAAACAUGACUACCAGCCACCAAACACAAAUCCCCAAACAAAACACUCUUUCAAGUGCAAGGAAAGAGUAACUUGGGCAUAUUUAUAGUUCAAGCACUACAAUAACUAAGAAUGUGAUGACUGUCCACAAACACUAUAUCAGUGCCUUUUGAACUACAUUACAUGCUCGAAGACUUUUUUUUUAGUCAUACAUAAAUUAGCUAUAAAAUUAAGACCGUUAUACAACUAAAAAGAAAGAAAAAUUGUUUGCUACUACAUAUCAAAACUGGUAAUAGCAAUGUAAGAUGGCAGACUUCUUACUUAAACAGAUGAGAGGCUACAAAUAAAAAAUUUGUGCAAAUAAAAUAUAUGAUAGAGAGCAUAAUACUUUCUUGGGGGCUAAAAAUAAUAUACAACUUGUGAAAUAUAAAUUGAGCUACCAUUACCUUUUAGAUGUGGCAACUUUCGACUUUUGAGGCACCUUGGAAUAUGCAUUCAGAAUCCUGCAUUUGGAAGCCAAAUAAAUAAUGUUAAUAACAAUUUUACAAUAGAAAAAUUAAAAAUUGAUAAAUGGCAGUUGUAAUUUAUGUAUGCGUAAAGAUAGCUUCACAUCCAGGGUCCUCCCAUAAACAUGCUUGUAACAAGAAUUAGUUUGUCCAACUGUUAGCAACUGCUAACAAUAUACAAUAGUAAAAAUCACUCUCAUGAACUCAACAAUACUAGGCACCAAUAAGAGUAUGAUACAGCCAUUCUAAAAUGGAAGAGAAUACAACUGUUUUACAACUAUGUUGCAUCAGGAGAUAUGUUAGGAGGAUUAAUCCAGAUACCUUCCAACCCAAUUAGGAAAACUCGAGUCAGAAACCAGGAGCCGCAACCGAACCUUACAAUCUUGAAGGAAGAAGGAGACUUGGGGCAUUUUUCCAGAUAGGUGACUUACUAGAUCUCCUGCCAAGAGAAUAUCUAUUGCUUUGAACCUCCAUUGAAAUUUCUUUUCCCUUUUUCUUGUUUUGGCUUGGAACUUUCCAGCAUCAUCUAUUUGAUCUUUUUUAAAGCUAAAAAAGCAAUCUAUGGGUUGUGAACAUCUUAUCACCACCCCCCCCCCCCCCCCGGGCCCCCAAAAAAAAAUCAAUGAGUUGUCAAUAAAUAGCGCCUACUCAAAUGUUUUCCAAUGGAUGACAAUGUGCAAAUCGACCUAGCAGCCACAUUUUUCCCCCCUUUCAACCACCAUUAGGCAACUUUUCUAACCUUUCUUCAUUGCCCACGUGUACAGAACUAUCAUAUAAAGACUACAUUAUUAUUGGGAUGGAGAAAAAUAUACAGACUAUAUUAUUAUAUCUCAUUUUAUUAAUUAACUAGUGCAAGACUUAUUUAGUGUCAAAUCAAGAACUAAUUGGAAAAGACAACUCAUGAUAAUACAGACCUUAAAAAGCAAUAGCUAGCAACACCUCAUAUACUCCUAUUUUAGCCUUUAAUAUCCUGGUAAAAACACAAUUAAGUCUUGCAAAAGAACAUUCACAAGUAAAUUCAACAUUAAUUAAGAUUAAGUAUCUACUGCACCUUCAAUCAAUGACUGGGUGAAUAGCAUGGUCAACCAUCUAGUUCCUGUAGCCCUCCUUGUACCUAUGUUGGUUACAUUUUACAUAUUCAGCCACGAAAAUGAAGGAUCACAGCCUGGUAAAGAAAGCCAUUAAUUAAUAGUGUUUGUUUAAAAAGUUCUCGUUUAGAUCUUUCCUAUUCAAUGAAUCAAUGUAAUCCAUGGAGAACUCUUCCAUUUCAAGCAGUGUUAGAAGAUAAUUGGAAAGCCUAAAGAUAGUAUACAAGGACCAAGAUAUCGAUUAGGUCAAAUAGUGAAUGUCAAAUAUAAAAAAUAAAUAAAAGAAGUUGUACAUGAUCAUUUACUAUCAAGUUCUGUAAAAUUGAAAAUACCAUUAUCACUGUAGAGAUUCUCAAACAACUCUUUAGCAAAUUAUAAAAUAGUUAAAAAAAGAACAAAAGUUUUUUUUUAAAAAAAGAAGAACAUCCAUAUCAGGAGAUGUUUUUCUUCUCAAUCUCAAUAUUUUCUAGCCGUGAAGCAAUUGAAAAGCUUAACACUAAGUGAAUUAUUAAGAAUUCAUCAUUUAAAUUCCCAAAUCGCAAAAUGUUGGUGCAACUAGGAAAGUGCAAAUGCAAUCACUUAACUAACACAAGAAACACCAAUAGUGAGAGCCCACUUUGUAUCAAAUUUGAAACAGAUAGAGGUCAAAAAAAUUAUACACUCAAUUAAAAGCCUUUCAAACAGCUUUUGCAUGGAACAAGAACAAAUCAAAGGCAAUGUGAAUGUAUUCAAAGACUAAUUUACAAUGAUCUACAGGACAUAAAUAUCUUGGAUACCUACUCUCUAUACCUUACUGUCCCACUAGAAAUCAUCAAAUCCCUCCAAACAAAAAUGACAAAAUGGAUAAGAAUUGUGUCGUUAAACUUCAAUAACUUAGCAGCCACAGCAAAAACUUAUGUAGGCACGCAAGCCACUCAAAAUAGUCAUAUUUUUUGCUUUCCAAACAAAAGCCACUUUGUAAUGAAUAUUCAUAAAUUGCUACUAUCAUGUUUGUUAAAACACGUGAAAACCACCAUAACUAACUAAAUGUAACUGAUGAUCAUCAUCAAGUUCAUGGAAUCACAUAUCUGACAGUAUUAAUUAGUGCAAAUGGCAUGCUUCUUAAAACUCCGUAUUUAUCACAUGGGCGCCAUUCCAAUCAACCAAUGAUUCUGAUCUAGUCGGCAUAUUCAACCCACGAGCGAGUAAUACCUCCUAUUGCUUCUUUACAUUUCUCAACGAAAUUCCACAUUCUAACCAUACUUCUGAACAUGUUGCUCCCAUAGACUAAUACAAUAUAAAGAUUUCUUCCCACACCACCUCAGCCCACACUCCUGAAAAACCAAUUUAAAUUCUCAUUGGCUGUACAACCUAUAGUCCAUACCAAAUUGAAAAAUUUACAAAUAUAGAACCUCAAAGAAUCUUCUUGUGUUCCAUUUUUUACGGCAAGAAAUUUGACUUUUACCACAUGCAAGUCAACAAAUAAAAAAAUCAUGUCUUUGUGAGAUGCACAUUUUCAGAUGAAUCUAAAGAGCAAUGAAACCGUAAAAACCGAAUAUCAGAACACCGAGGACUCCAGAUAUCACCUAUAGAAUCUUUGGUCCACACUUGCACGAUGAAAAUGAUGAAAAACAAUUGAAGGCUUCAUCACCAGCUCCCCAGGUUGUUUUGUUCUCCUAUCUCCUAAAUAUAAAGGAAACGCAACCCGUUCUUUUUUCCAAUCUUAAGGGGCACAAAACGACUCUGGUAUAAAAUAGUCAGUUUCUAUACAAAAAUAACUCCUUUGCACUUGGCAUUGCACAUCUCGAAAUAAAAAGCAUGCUAGAAAGAGAAUAUAAUAGCAUUAAACAAGUUUUAUUAACCAAACUUCAUGCCACACAAGGCAAAAAAGGAAUCUGUACAUGCCAGAUUCCAAGAAUAAUAAUUCCAAUAUACAAUUCAGGAAAACAAUAACUAAAACUAGGUUCACGAGGCCUCGGCAGAAGCAACAUGUAAUAACCAUACUCUAUUAUUUGAAACACAUUUCUAAGUUUGGUUAAGAUUCUAAACUAUUCUCUGUGUCAAUUAUUAACAUGUAAAACAUAAUAAUAUACACUUAAACUACUACACAAACUACUACAGUAGUAAAACCAGUAAAACAACAAUACCUGUUGAAAAGAUUUGCUACCUCUUCACAUUCACGAGCAUUGUAGAACCAAAUCCCAUUUACUUCUUGGGAUGCAUUUCGAUAUAACAAAUACAGAACCUGAACUUCAAACUCAAAAUCUCCCAAAAGAUUUUCCACUAAAUUAUCUGCACAUAUACAAGAUAUUGAAGCUUAUCAGUGCAAAAACAUAUACAAAAAGACAUGAAGGUUAGAAGACAUAACUAAAACUUAGCAACAACUGAUAAGCACAACAAGACAUGAAAUAUAACACUAGUUGUAAACAAGAUAGACACAUGGUAUCUAAAAAAUUGUACCAACCCCCUCUCCUGAUUGUCAUAAAACGGCCAAUAUUUAACCCUAGACAACAAAAUUGCAAAUACUCUAGCCUCUAUAUUAUUGGCAUAUAAAUAUUUUAGGUUAGGUACGUUAUAUUCUUCGUUCUAAAACCUCAAUUAUUAGCUAGUACUGUGAUAAAAUGAUUCAUCACUGAAAUUAAAACUAGUUCACGUACAAAUAAUCAAAACUGAAAUAGAAACAACGACAAACCAACCUGUAUUACGUCGAUUCAUUACAACAAACUGAAAUCGAGGCUGUGUGUUCCUGAAAAUUGAAAAAAUAAUAAUUUCACCAACUUCAUAUGUAAUACAAUCUCCAAAACACCGAAUAUCAAAUGAAAAAAUGGAAAGCAUAAGAGAGAAAAGAAUCUAAUUUUAUUGACCUUUUGACGACGAAGAGAGAGCCUUCAACAUCCUUACGACACCAUUGGCUGAGGUCGAUGUUGAACUCGUAGAAGGUGACAUGAGCGGCCGUGAUGAGGAUCUCCUCAAUGAAUGGAUCGAUUCGCUGAAGAACUGUCAGGUUUAGGAGUUUUGUGCUCUGCUGGUCCAGAUUAGGCAUCAAUUUUCCGUUCUGCGACAUUUUUCAUAGCCGUUUUGGGCUCUGCCCUGAGCACAAGCCCCAUGGUUUUUCUGUGAGCUCUUUCUCUUUUGUAAAUAAAGUGUUUGAUGAGAUAGCCCAGAGAGAGUGAGAGUUGAACAGCCAAACAAGAUGAGGUGAACAGUUUCGGAUUGAGACUCGAGAUUGGUCAAGCUUUAACUUCUUUCAAACAUUUGGGAAAUAGCAUUUAUUUCUUUCAAUUUCUC